Molecule: long non-coding RNA, 119013 nt
Filed under: Citrus maxima (pomelo)
Lineage: Eukaryota; Viridiplantae; Streptophyta; Magnoliopsida; Sapindales; Rutaceae
Description: long non-coding RNA (CMAX_LNC001224)
Source: RNAcentral
UGGAUGUCAUACCGCCACUCCAUAUUCUUGAAAGUCCGUAGUGUUUGUCUCAACUCUGUCUGGGGCCAAUGUAAGUCCAAUUUGCGCAAGCUCUUUAUGCACCACAGCUCUUCUGGAAGCUUUCUCAAGUAAGCACAUGGGUUGACAAUUAAGCUUUCAAGUUUCGGCAUUGCUCCAGCCCCCAUCGUCCACUCAUCUAGCCAAUACAUUGAUUUCAGGUGCAAAACCUUAAGUUCGGGAAAGCUACUCAAGCCAACACAAGCAAGCUUUCUUCCUAAAUACGAGUUCUGCUUCAGUUUCAGCACUCGAAGGCGUGGAAGAUUUUCCAGAAUUGGCAUGGGAUCCUCCAUUAGCUCAGUAUUUGAUAAGCUCAGUUGGAUCAGACUUGGGGGAAAUUGGUAUUCAGACUGGACCAUCCGUGAGGGCUUGCUCUCAUUCACCAGCUUCAAGCAUUCAAGUUUGUGGAGUUCGCAAAGGCUUUUGGAAACCCCAGAUUGAUAGUAACUCAAAUCUCCAGAUAUCCGAAGAGUCUGAACACUUGGUAGUCUGCCCAAUAUAUCAGGAGUACAACUACUAGGGUUUAAAGCUGAUAUGAAAAUGAGUUUUUUCAGAGAGCUAGAAUAAUUUUUUGGAGGUGCGGGCAGAGUGAUAGAACCAAAGUUUAGAUGCAUGAGUUUUUGCAUCAUCCAAAUAUCCUCUGGUGACUGAUCUAUGUAGCUAGAUGGCAUUUCUAGUGUUUCAAGGUUUAAAAGGGUGCAUAGCAGUGAAGGAAGGCAUUUGAGCGAAGGGAUAUUCAAUUUCAAAUACUUCAAAAGAUAUAAAUUUUCUAAUGCGGGUGGAUAUUGGUCCAGGACUGCAGAACCCAUGUUCAAUACCCGAAGGUAUUUGAACCUUUUAAAAAAAUUCUCGCAAUCUUUCGGAUUAAGAUGAUUGCUUUCUGAACUGUGAUUCAGAAAUGAUUGGAGAUACAUGUCAGACUGUUGUAAAAAAAAGAACUCAAGCAGAUCUUCCAAAAUGAAGCACCGUUUAGCAUUUUCAAUUGAUUCCCCUAUCCAUGCAGGCAUUCGGACAAAUCUCGUCUUCUCUGCCACCAAACCCAAUGAAGUAAAUACAAAACUUGGAACAUAACACGCUUUAAUUGUGCCUCCGGCUCUUCUCGUACUCACUUUAAUGAAGCCGCGAUGGAUUAGUUCUUUCAAGUAAUGUUCGGCAGUUUCUUCACCGUUGUAUGGUAUGAAACCUUCAGCUACCCACAACUGAUAUAAUUGCCUCGUGGAUAUCUCGAUGCCUGGAGGGAAGACACACAAAUAGAUGCAGCAGACUUUCAAGUGAAAAGGUAACUCCAUCACAGAGAAAAUUUGUCUCCAUACUGUCGGAAUCGCUUCGCUUUGAAGAUAAUUUUCUAAUGGCAUACUUCCAUAGUGUAGGAUGAAAAAUUGCCAGGCCUCAUGCUUUAGUCUGAUCAAUGGUCCUCCAACGAGCACUGAACCAUGCCGAAUCUUCUCUCCAUUUUCCAUUUCCAACGACUCAAGGAGGUCUGGAUCAGCGGCCAAUAUUAAUACUCUGCUUCCAUUCUCAUUAUCAGGGAGAACUUCUUCGAGAUCAUCCCAUAUCUCACGGUCAUUGAAGACGUCAUCAAGCACAAUAAAGUACUUCUUGUUUGUUAGGUAAUCUCGAAGAAUAGAUUUCUUCAAUUGAUAAUCUUCACCGAUAAUUACACUAACCCGAGCUGGAGGCAUCACAGACUUGAUUAUGCCAUCCAAUAUCUUGCCAAAAUCAUAACGUAGAGAAACCCUGACCCAAGCAUGACAGUCAAAAUAGAACUUGACAUGAUUACUGUUAUAAGUAUGUGCAGCAAAAGCAGUCUUAUCGAAGCCACUGCUGUCGAGAAUUGCAACCACUGAAAGCCCAGAUGGUCCCUCAAUCAAUAGAUCAAAAAACUUCUCUCUGCCCCUUUCAAAUUCACUGAUAUCGAGCCGAGGUUGUCCCUCACUCAAUAGGCGAAUGAUUUCGUUACGUUUUUCACUGAUAUCAAAACCAUUGUCGCCGGGUGGAAGUUGUUGCGUCCGAUUUCUAAUAUCAAUGAUUUCACUGAUAUCAAAACCAUUAGUGCUGCUUUCACUUUCGUUUUCACUGUUUUGCUGCUGCAUAAUGUUGAUGAAGAAUGUGUCAAUGGCUUCCUCAGAUUCAUGGACAAAGUGAUUGAUGUCCUUAAGAAUUUCCAGAAUGUCUGAUCUUUUAACGUCUUCUUCAUCACUUUCUUCUAAGUCCAACAGUUGCAAUAAAGGCAAAGACAUAUUGGAUUCAGCGAAUUCUUGUCUGAAUAGUUGAGACAAAAUCCGAGCCAUGUCAGCUUCAUAGUUUCCCGACAGAGUAGUAGUAAUAAUUUCAGACUCCGUAAGAAGGUUUUGAAAAAGCGGGGCUAAAUUUGUUGAAUCAGUCAACGUUAACGUGCCUUCUUCACCUGCUAACACCCUUUUCAACCUCUCACAAAAUAGUCGGAGGUGGACGUCCAGCAUAUCUCCUUCUCUCUGUAGCACCCAGAGGUAUUGUUUUUUGCUCCAAGAAAUAUUAAAAGGAUUGGUUCUAUCUCAAAGUGGUUACUGGUGUAAAAUUAAACGCCAUGGGAGAAUUUGAAGGGAAGAUGCCAAGGAACUGGCGAUGUGGCUAAAUUACACAAAUACGGCAUUAUUGCUCAUUUUUAACUCAAAAAAUUGAUACCAAGACGCUUGCCUUUUGAAAAGAAGAGGUAUCCAACCUUUAUCUUAUUUAAUUACUACCAUGACAUGAUUGAUGGUGCUUAAAUCAAUUGUUUCUUUAUUAAUUUAAAGAAUUUUUCAUUAAAAAAAUUAUUUUAAUAUCAAAUACCCUUCAAUGGCAUAACUGCCGCAGGCCCAGAAACAGGAUUAAUUAAAAUUUUUUGAAUUUUUGGGCAAGGAAAGAUUUGAAAUUCUAGUUAUGCAACCCAAGAGGGAGUGAAUUAGAAUUCUAUAAAUUAUUUAAUUUAUAAAGAAAACCUUAAUGCAAAUAUAAACCAAAUUCAAAGCAAUAACAAAUAAGGUGAUCACAAUAUAAAAAGAUAAGGGAAGAGAGAUUCAAACACAUAGAUUUUUACUUGGUUCGGCCAACCUCGCCUACGUCCGCGCCUCCAAGCUUUCCGAGCUUAAAGAUUCCACUAAGCAAGCCUCCAAGGCUUCAAAUGCUUACACUUGACUUCCAAGGUGUCAAUAACCUUUACAACAAGAGAUUAUCCCAAUCUCUUUAACCCAAGUGUAUCCCAACACUUACAAUCACUCAAAACAAAAGAUUACAAAUUUGUUUUGACUCUCACAAUAUUUAAGAUUACACAAUGAUGCCCAAUAUGUCAAUAGAUGAAGCAAGAAUGUGUUCAAAGCUCUAUGAAGAUUGUAUUCUCGAGUAUAAGCUCAAUAGUCGUGUUGUGAUCAAUCUUGUUUGAAUUUGAAUGAGCUUAUUUAUAUUUGGAGCUGAAAAACUAGCCAUUACAAACUGUCGGCCCGAAAACGGUUCGCUGUUAACCAUUAACGGUUAACCGUUUAGGCUGGUCAAAAGUUACCGUUGGGCCAAAUUUCAAAUAAACGGUUUGCCGUUUAGGAUUACCCCUUCGCCGUUAAAUUCUAGAGACCUGCAAGAUGAAUAUCAGUUAUCCGUUUACAUUAAACGGUUAAAGAUUUGCAUGAAGUGACUUCUCUGGAUAUUAUCGGUUAACCGUUUGUAAUAAAUGGUUCGCCGUAUGUUUCCAGUAACCUGCAAAACAAUUUAGCCUUAUCCGAUUUUGUUAAACGGUGCCAGAAGAGUACAACCUUCAAUUCUGGAUUUUAUCGGUUAACCGUUUAAAUAAACGGUUCACCGUUAAAUUCCAGUAGCCUUCCCAGCUUUUUGUGUUUUCCAUUUUUCUUAAUCGGUUAGAGCUUAGGCAAUAUGUUGCUCUCUGGUUUUAAUCGGUUAACCGUUUGAAAGAAAACGAUUCACCGUUUAUUUCCAGAAUCACAUUUUAAACCAGAUUUUGCAGAAAGUCAUUUUCUAAUUUGAAAGUCCAUCUUUUAUGAAUAUGAUUGGAAUGAUUAUAAGGCUUUCAUUUAUUAAGGAAUAGCUCCAACAUUUUAAUCAAAAACCAUUUAAAGUUUGUUAUCAUCAAAAUCAAUAUUAUUAACAUAUUCAUGUUAACAAUAGUAGUAUUAAACAUCAGAAAGCUAAGGUUGUUCUGUUAAUGAAUUGAUAUUGACAUAAUUUUAUUUUGGUUUCCGGGGAAAAAAAAACAUUUGUUGACAAGCAAGAAAAUAUUUUUAAAUUUUACAAUUUAUUAUACAUAUUUUAUCAUAUUACAAUAAUUUUAAUAAUAAAUAGAAACAUAAUAUUACAAUAAAUAAGUUAAAGUUUAAAUUAUUUUAAAUAUUAUAAAAAAUAAUUUUAAUAUUAUUAAUAGGAAGACAUUUUGUUAAUUUUAAAACCUUUUUAACCCAAAGGUUUAUUUAAAAGCUUUAUAAUAAACAUAAAUAUAAGAUUAAAAUAAAUAUCAUAAUUUGAAAUUUUUAGUAUUAUUUUAAAUAUUAAAAAUACUUUAAUAUUAUUAGCCUACUACAUUGAUUUUAUUAUUUAUAUUAUAUUCAUAUUGAUUAAAACUUUUUAAAGUCAAUUUUUUAGUCAGUAUAUUCAAGAGGUAUCAUAGUUAAAGAAAAGAUUUUGGUGUUAUUUUUUGAAAAUUUUAAGGUUUAAAUGAUAAUUUUUUAAAAUUUUAAGGAUGUAGGUAUUAUUUUUCCGACAAUUUAUUUUAUUUUUGAGGAAUUCGAUGAGAAAUAUCAUGAGAGAAGGUUAAUUUUACAUUCUUUACCUUUAUGAAAAAAGUGGAAACCAAGAAGUAUUCAAUUUUGUAUUUUUUGUUUGUAAUUCAAAAAAUGCAUCCACCAAACAAUCUUAUCUUGAUUUUUUCACUUUAUUCAUUUUCGAUCCUUUAAUCCAUCUAGUAUCUGCAGCCCCCGCCAUUUUUACAAAUCUCCAUCCGACAUCUACCCUAUCAAACAAAGUUGAUGGAAAUUGAACAAUUGCUUUUUGAAGUGGACCCAAUAAGUGGACAUUUUAUUAAUAUUAAACAAAGUUGACGGAAAUUGAACAAUUGCUUUCUAUGAGCCACUUAUUUUUAACAUUAGCGAUCUUAUCUGGACUACUCCAAUUAUUGAUGUAACUCCAAUGGUUGCAUCAACAGUUGAAUGUAAGAUAGUGUUAGCUCUUCUUUGAGAAUAUAGAGUGAUCUUUCUUUGUUUCUCUGUUGCGACGUGCUACUAUAAAUUUCUUUACCUUGCAGUUUAUAUAGUCUUGCUGUUAAUGAAUUCGCGGAGGCAUUAUUGAUCCAAUCUCAGUGAAGUAAUUGUGGGUGGAAAAUGAAUAAAGGGUAAGAGAACGUAGCUCAAGUGCUGAAUUGGCUAUUAAAGAAGAGUGUCACUUGAUCACAAUCACAUUGAUGCACAACUCACUCGAGGCAAAUUUCAUCUAUAUAUGUACUGCAAAUUCAGCCAAACCAUACAUGCAGGAACAAAACUAAAAUGUAGUUCUAAUCAAAACUGUAAUUAAAGCUACAAAAGGCUUGCUCAAUCCAAAAACUUAAAAGGAAGAUUUUACUCAAGUUUGUCCCCAAAAGACAGCUGAAUUGAAAAAUAUUGACUAUUGAAUCAAUGCUCAAUUACAUUUGAAAUGGAAAGCUUGGCUGCAGUUACGAUGUUUUUCCCUCUGAUUUUCUUCCAAAACAAAUUCAUUUGUAAACAAUAACGGAAGUAGCAAUAAUUUAUUCAUCAAAGAAAAUAUCCAAGUUUUCAACUAACAAAUCCUUUUGUCUAAACUAAAAAAACUUAUAUUUUUAAAAUCUAUCUACAAAAUGUUGGAAAUAAAGAGUGAUCUAUCAACUCGGUAAAUAAACUCAUACAUAAUGUUUACAAUAAUGAUAAAUUACAUAAUAAUUAUUAUAAAGAAUCAUAAAUUAGAAAAAUAUUUUAAGAUCAAAUUGCCUUCAAUGCUGAAUUACAUUUGAAAUGGAAAGCAUGGCUGCAGUUACGAUGUUUCCCCCUCUGAUUUCCUCCAAAACAAAUUCAGUUGUAAACAAUAACGGAAAUAACAAUAAUUUAUUCAUUACUCAAAUUUUUUCAACUAACAAAUCCUCUUGUCUAAACUAAAAAAACUCAUAUCUCUAAAAUCUAUCUGCAAAAUGUUGGAAAUGAGGGGUGAUCUGUCAAUUCGGUAAAUAAACUCGUGCAUAAUGUUAACAAUAAUGAUAAAUUACAUAAUAAUUAUUAUAUAGAAUCAUAAAUAAGAAAUAUUAAUCAUUUCACAAUCUAUUACGUAAGUAAGAUAAAUUUCAUAAUAAGUUAAGUUAUAAUGUAAUAAAUAUUUUCAAUAUGCUAAGAUAGGAUUGGUCCUAUCUCAAAGUAGUUAGUGGUGUAAAACUGAUGGUUGUCGAAGCCAGCAAAAAUAAAUACCUACUCUAAAUAAAUUGUGUAUAGUGAUUGAGCAGGGUCGUGUCCACAGAGAUCGGUAAUUAUUUAAAUCAUUUUAAAAUGUAAAAUGCAAAAUGGGGGAAUUGUUGACAAUAAUAAAAAUCAAAUUAAAAUAACAAGAAUGUAAAUUAAAAUUGUAAUUCAAAUUGGGGAAAAAGUAGUAUUAGACUUCAGAAAGCUAAGGUUGUUAUGUUAAAGAAUUCAUAUUGACAUAAUUUUAUUUUGGCUUUCGGGGAAAAAAAUAUUUGUUGACAAGCAAGAAAAUAUUUUUGUAUUUUACAAUUUAUUAUACAUAUUUGAUCAUAUUAAAGUAAUUUUAAUAAUAAAUAGACACAUAAUAUUACAAUAAAUAAAGUAAAGUUUAAAUUAUUUUGAAUAUUAUAAAAAAUAAUUUUACAUUUGAAAUGGAAAGAGUGGUUUUAAACACCAGAAAGCAAAGAUUAUUCUGUUAGACAAUUGUUAUUGACAUAAAAAAUAAUUUGGUUUUCAAGGAAAAAAAACAUAUUUGUUGACAAGCAUGAAAUUUUUUUUUUGUAUUUUACAAUCUGUUAUUACAUAUUUUAUCAUAUUAAAGUAAUUUUAAUAAUAAAUGUAUAUGUAUCUAGAUUGUAACUAUAUUUUAAAAAAUAUAAUUUUUUUAAUUAUUGCACAGAAAAUGUAGAAAAAUGUCUAUGAAAUAAUAUUAUUAGGACUAAGAAAAAAUAUUAUUUUAGAUAAGUUAUAUAUUUAUUAUUGAAUGAAUAAUUUAUUAAUUUAUUGAUAAAUAAAUAUUUAUUAAUUUAAAGAGAGAUUUUUUUUGGUUUUAGUAAUAGUUUGUUUGUUACAUGUACACACUUAUAAAGAAACACAAAAAGUGCUUGCUCAAGUCAAUAGUAUUUGCUUUAAUCGCUACUGUUCAUAAUAAUGUAGCUAAGUUAGGAAAUUUGUAAUUAUACUAUGGUUCUGUUUUGUAACGCCCAAAUUUCUAUUAUUUUAUUUUAUUUUUAAUGGAAUUUAUAAAUGGCGUUACUGCCCUUAUAAAAAGGGUUAUUCAUGGGAUAAUUUUUAGGAAAUGGUUAUUUUUCCAAAUUCAAUAGGGUUUCUUAAGACUCCCUAUAAAUUAAUAUUUUUUUUCCCUUCGAUACUCGAAGUCCACGACGAUUCUUCUUCUUCUCUGCUGCUCAUUAUGCUCCUACCCAAACCCUAGGAUUCAAACUUUUGCUUAGGAGAGAAUCAAAGCGAUUGGUGUUGGAGGUGAUUGAGGCUCUUAGAGGCUUAGAGGUCUGUUAAUUCAAAUUCUUUUGUCGAGAUAAGUAAUUUCAUUCCUAAUAUACUGGAUAUGUAUAAGUAUUUUGAUGUUAUUAUAAGAGUUUUUAUACUUCUUAGAAGAUUAAUAGAUUUUCAUACCAAAAUCAGUUUAUGAAAAUGUUUUCAAAUCUGAAUUCUUUUGAUAAAAUAUUUUAUAAAUGCGUUUUAAUAUGUAAAUUAUUUUAUGACAUGACUGCCUUUUAUAAUUUUGUCUAUGAAAUAUUUUUGCAAGCCUAAAUUGUUGCUAUAGACUUUCAUGAAUCUAAUACGAAUGUUUUGUGCCUAUGUAUGAUUUUAAUUAUUUAUGACUGUACGGGGGCCACCUCUUGAGACUAUAUGGGGGCCACCUCUUGAGGGCCAAAGCGCCGCAAAGUGCCACAUAUAGUGCAAAGUGCCACGUAUAAGUCAUUAUGUUUUGGCUCAUUGUCCGUAGUUAUUCUGAUUCUAAUUCUGAUUGUAUUAUACGAUAUAUUUGUUCUGGACUAGUACUAGGUUUAUGUUCUAAGUGUGCACACGAUAUUCUGAUUCUGUUUCUGGUCAGGUCACCGAGACUAUAGGUGAUACUAUGUGACAUGAGCUAACUAUCUGCUUUCUGUAUACACUUUAUACGAUUUGCUUUCAUAAUUGAUUAUUCUUUUGAUACUCUGAAUUACCAUGAAUUUAUGUUAUAUAAUUGAAAUAUGUUGUUUUAUGAAGUUUAUGAGUUAUAAUAUAUGUUUUUGAAUAAAAGAAGGCUUGCAAUAUUUUUGAUAUCGAUAGGCCUAGUGUAUUAGGAAUGAUUUUACCUACCGAGUUGACAGCCCACCCCUCGUUAUUACUUUUUGCAGAUUAAGUUCCUUUUAAGAGGUAUGCGUAGCUUUGGAGUUAGAGAUUUCGUUUCCGUUUGCUAUUUGAAUAAGAAGAGGAAUAGACUCAUGUUUCUUUUUAGUUUAUUUCUGUUAUGAACUUGUAAUUUGGAGUUUGAGACUUUUGUUAUUGUUAUGUUUUGGAAGAGAUUAUUUAGUGUUAGACGUAUUAAUUUGUGGAUUUAUUUGAAUAAGAAUUUGAGGUAUUUGAGUUUGGAAUUUAUAAGUAAGGAUUACGAUUUGUAAGUAACCUCCUUCUUCAUGUGCUCCGCACGUGUUAGAUUUGGGGUGUCAUAUGUUUCGUAUAACUUUUGAAGUAGAGCUUAUUUAAAUAGAGUAUUCGUCAAUAAAGCUUCUAUAAAUAAAGAUUUUACUAAAAAAAAUUUAGUUGUUUGGUUGUCAAUGUCCAAAUUGACGAACUUUUGUUCCUUUGCUAACAUGUAUUUGUUUUAUUUAAUAAUAGAAGUUUGGUUUACAAUUACACCACCUUCAAAUCAGCUGAGCAUUUUUGCAACCGGUCACAUUAUACAUUAUACUAAUAGCAUCGGCAAGAGUUUUCGAUUGUUGCAACUUGCAAUGGACGCGAUGGGAGAAAAUGAGAAUCUUGUUUAAUUGCAAUAUUGACAAACCUAAUCCUUUCGUAGGGAGUAAUUUAAUAAUCGCUUGUUAUAAUUGAAUAUGUAUAAAGAAAGGAAAAUUCUAUUCAUAGAUUUCGACUUAUUUUUUGUUUAAAGUAAUUAAUCAUUCAACCAUCUUCAUUUGCCUCUGGCCAAUGCCCUUGUAGAUUAGUUGAACCGUUAAUUACUUAAUUCAGAUAAUUACAGUGUCCUUUUCGCUAAUUAAUUAUGAUUAUAUACGCUUUCAUAUAGCAAGUGGCUUUGUAGAUCUAAACCAAGUUGCUAUUUCAAAACGUUAAUUAAGUGAUUCUCCUCAUUGUCAUCAGCGUUAUACGCUCUAGGAAAAUAGCUCAAUUGUUUCCCUGCAUUGAUUUUCAUUGGUACGUGAUUUCUUAUGAAAUUCUUUUGAGCUUUCCUUAUUAAAAAUGCUUGAGCUUUUAUCACCCAAUACGGAUAUCAAUUAACUUGUGAACGAUUUUGUAAUGAAACUAGGAGUUAAAUAAGAUUUUUACAUGAUGAAUUUUUAUUUUUUUAAUUUUUUGAUGUAGUCAAUUUGCUAAUUUUAUGUAUUUCAUAUUCAACGGAAUUUGGGCACGGAAAGUUUGGAUUCUAAUAUUUAUAUGUUUAGCUUUAAUCAGUUUGACUUUCGUAAUCUUUUUCCCCUCAUCAUUAAGGGAUUCAGAAUUAGAGAAACGUUAGGAAGAGGAAGAAAAUAAUUUCGGAAAUAAGUAAGAGGGAAAAAAUUAUCAAAUUAGGAAUGAUUUUUUGUAGAGUAUGUUGCGUUUACUAAAAUGAAAUCGAAAUGAGCUGGAAUCAGAAUGGAUAAAAAUGCGAAUGUGCUGGAAUAAGAAUAAGUAAUGAGAAUCAGAAUAAGUUGUUUACUUGAACUGUAAGAAUCGAAAUCGAAAUGAGCUGGAUUGCAAUUACUUUGUCCUACAAUUAGAAUCAAAAUGAGUUAGAUUGUAACAAAUUACUAAAAGGUACUUAAUGAAUUAUUGUCAUAAUUAUUAUUUUAUAUUUUAAUUAUAGUGAUUAUUUAUUCUAAAUUAUUAUUAUUAAUUAUUUUCAAUAAUAUAUUAAUAUGUUAAUUAAUUUUAAAAAUUAUUAAUUAAUUUAUUAUAAUAAUAUACUAAUUAAUUAUAAUAAUUAUAUUAAUAAUUAUUAUAAAAAUAUAUUAAUUAUUAAUAAUGAAAUUACUUAUUUAAUUAUAAUAAUAUAUUAAUUAUUGUGAUUAUUUAUUCAAAAAUUAUAAUUAUUAAUAAUUAUUGUUAAUAAUGUAUCAAUAUAUUUUAUAUUAUGAAAUUGUGAUGUAUUGUAGACAAAUAAGGGAAUUUGGUACAAUAAAUUCUUAAUAUCUUAGUACAAAGUAUGGUACAAUGAUAUUUUAACUUAUUGUAGACAGAUUAAAUUUCGACACACUUAAUCCAUAAUAAAAUUAGUGGAAAAUAAUGAUAAUUUAUACAAUUAAUCUUUUGAGCAAUAAAAAAAUAAAAGAAAAAGAAGUUACUAAAUUAUGUUUACUGUUAAGAGUGAAUCCACAAUCCUAAAUAAUUUAUUUCCAUCGUUUCACUUAAAUUAAAUAGUGUGAAUUUAAAUUCUAAUUUUUUGAUAAAUUAAAAAGAAAUAAAAAAUUAAAAUUUUUCUCUAUGGAUCGACCUCGGAUUGAUCAAUUUAUUUCAUAACAACACACUUUUAUACUUGAGAGUUAUAAAUAACUUUGAAGUUGUGUUAAGUUUUUGACGCUCUUACGGGGGAAAAAUAUUUAUUUUAUUUUAUGUAUGGGUCAAACUUGAAAGUAUAUUUUAAGAUAGCUGCUAAUAUGCUCUAUUAGACAAUGAUAACGUAGUUGUUUGUGGUGUUCAUAAUGAGUUUAAUUAUGAUUCAACAAUUUAAAAUAUGAAAACAUAUGGAAGAUGGCCGUAAUUAAAUUGAUUGCAUGAAAAUAUUUCAAUGAAAUUUUAAAAAUUUGGUACUUAUUAUCUUAUCAAAAGUUUUUUAAAUUAUAUUACUACUUCAACUUAACUCCUCCUGGAUUGAUUGUAUUGAAUUUCCAGCACCGCCAUUGCUUCUACUUGAAAGCCAUUUAAGUUUGUGUAAGCUACCUAUAGUUUGAAUAACAAUUUACUCAUGAAUUGCUGUUCAUGAUAACAAUUUGAUUGAAAGUGCGGCUGCACUAAUUGUUCUCGUACGACCCCAGAAUGCUGUUAAAUCAGUUGUAUUGGAAAUUAAUCAACUGGUUACAACUCUACACCCCAUCAAUAUUUAAGCAGUCCACAGAACAUUAAUUGUGUUUUGAAAUUUUAAUGAGUCUCACGUGUUUUUCACGUGAUAUGCAGUAAAAACAAAAUUAAAAAAAUGAAAACAUUCAGCCCCAAAGCCAAAAUCCCCAACUCCUUCCAAAUUGGUUCCGCAGCCCCCAAAUCCCUUAAACCCAAAGCACUCUAAAACGACUCUCCUCAGCCAAAAAGAAAAAGGUCACCUCACCUCUCCUCUUCUUCUUCCAUGGCGAUCAACGGCGGCACAAGCACGGGCUGAUCUCCUUCGUCAGUAACGAUCAACGGCGGUACAAGCAUGGACAGAUCUUUUUUUUGGCAAUGAUGAACAGCGGCACAAGCAGAGUCGUCCUCAGGUACGGAUUUGAUGUUGGUUGUGUUGUCAAGUAGCGAUUCAUGUUUGGAAGAGAAUCCGCUCACAAGGACCUGGAGCACUUAAUCGAAGAUCUUAAGCGAGGAAUUCGCUUCCUCCUCAUUCCUAAUCGGUGCCUGAUUCAUCAGUAUGAUUAAGGAUGAAAAUUGAGAAAGAAGGACGCAUUAGGUUUGAGACAUUGGUUGAAAAACGCUACCCCGGUGGCCACGCUGGAAACAUAUGUUCCGUGGCUUCUUGCGUUGUCUGUGAGGAAUAUGUACUGCUGUAGAAGAUAAUUAUGAAUCAAUGGUAAUUGGCGUGUUGGUUUUGGUGCCGAUUUCCUCUUAUUUUCCAGAAAAGGCUUGUAAUUUGUUCACCUCAAGAUUCAAUUUUGUUAUUGAAAAUGGAUGGCUGUAAAGACCUAUUGGCCUUUCAUUAUAUUAAUGUUUUUGACAGUAAGUUUGUAAUAGUUAGUGCAGGGAACUUAUUGAUUCUUGAUUAUAUAUAACGGUGGCCCUUAUUACUUUAAAAAAAAAAAAAAAAUUGAUGAUGGGUUUCGUUUUGUAUAAGUGUUUGGAGUGUUGGAAAAUUAACAUUGUAUAUUUUAGAUAGUUGAGUUCCAUAGUAAUAAAAAGCUACGGAUUUGUUUUCUUUUUAUUGAAAUGAAAACAUUUUUCACUUGUAUAAUAGAAAAUAUACUAUAUCUUUAAUACUUUUGUCAAAUUUAUUAUUUAAAAUUUAUAUUUACUACAUAUUAUUAAUUUUUGUUUCAUAGUCAUAGCUUUUUUUCCACAGUAGCUGUAGCUUAAAAGAUACAGCACCUCAAUUCCAAACGCACUCUAAUUAAAAAUUUUAGAAUUUUUGGGCAUGGAAUUGAAAAGAGUAGUAUUAAACAUCAGAAAGCUAAGGUUGUUCUGUUAAAGAAUUGAUAUUCACAUGAUUUUAUUUUGGUUUUUGGGGAAAAAAAAAAUUGUUGACAAGCAAGAAAUUAUUUUUAUAUUUUACAAUUUAUUAUACAUAUUUUAUCGUAUUAAAGUAAUUUUAAUAAUAAAUAGAAGCAUAAUAUUAAAUAAAGUUUAAAUUAUUUUGAAUAUUAUAAAAAAUAAUUUUAAUAUUAUUAAUAGGAAGACAUUUUGUUAAUUUUAAAAUCUUUUUAACCCAAAGGUUUAUUUAAAAUGUUUAUUAUAAAUAAAGAUAUAAAAUUAAAUAUCAUAGUGUAAAAUUUUUAAUAUUAUUUUAAGUAUUAAAAAUAUUUUAAUGUUAUUAGUCUACUACAUAGAUCAUAUUACUUAUAUUAUAUUUGCAAUGAUUAAAAAAUUUUAAAAUCAAUUUUCUAGUUACUAUAUUCGCGAAAUAUUAUGGUUAAAGAAAAGACCUUGGUGUUACUUUUUACAAAUUUGAGUGCCUGCAUGAUAAUUUUUUCAAAAUUUAAGAAUGUAUGUGUCCUUUUCUCCAAUAAUUUAUUUCACUUUUGAGGGGAAUCCAAUGAGAAAUAUGAUAAGAGAAUGUCAAUUACUUGUCAUUUUCUAUUUUUUCUGUAAGCUAUUUAUUUUGAGCACUGGUGAUCUUGUCUUGACUACUCCAAUUAUUGAUGGAACUCCAAUGGCUGCAUCCACAGUUGAAUAUAUGAUAGUGUUAGCUCUUAUUUGAGAAUUCAGAGGGAUCUUUCUAUGUUUAUCAAUUGCAAUGUGCUAGUAUAAAUUUCUUUACCUUACAGUUUAUAUAGUCUUGCUGUUAAAGAACUCACUGAGGCAUUAUUGAUUCAAUUUCAGUGGAGCAAUCGCGCGUAGAGGAUAAAUAAAGGAUAACAGAACAGAGCUGAAGUGCUAAAUUGGCUAUUAAAGAAGGGUGUCACAUGAUCACAAUCACAUUGAUGCACAACUCUCUGGAGGCAAAUUUUGUCUGUAUGUUCUCUAAAUUCAGCCAAACCAUACAUGCAUGAACAAAAAUUAAACCGUAGUUCUCACCACAACAGUAAUUGAAGCUACAAAAGCCAGCAAAUCUGAACAAAAACUUAAAAGAAAGAUCUUAUUCAAAUUUGUCCCCAAAAGAGUGCUGAGAUGGAAAAUAUUGACUAAUGAAUGGGUCAAUGCUGGAUUACAUUUCAAAUGGAAAGCUUGGCAGCAGUUACAAUGUUUCUCCCUCAGCUUUUCCUCCAAAACAAAUUCAGUUGUAAACAAUAACCGAAGUAGAGAUAAUUCAUUCAUCAAAGAAAAUACCCAAGUUUUCAACUAACAAAUCCUUUUGUCUAAACUAAAAAACUCAUAUCUCUAAAAUUUAUUUGCAAAAUGUUGGAAAUGAGGAGUGAUCCGUUAUCUCCGUAAAUAAACUCAUGCAUAAUGUUAACAAUAAUGAUACAUUACAUAAUAAUUAUUAUAAAGAAAUAUAAAUUGGAAACGCUAAUCAUUCUACAAUCUAAUAAAUAAGUAAGAUAAAUCUCGUAAUAAGUUAAGUUAUAAUGUAUAAAUGUUUUUAAUAUAUAAUUAUUUAAGAAGUCAUUUAAUAAUAAAAUAUUUAUUCUAUUCAGUUGAUCAUAUAGCGUUAUCGAAACUCUUGACGAUAUUAUUAUUACACUUUUCUCAAAAAAACAUGAUUAACAUUUAGAGAAAAGUCAUGCCUUUUAGAUAGAAUAUGUACAUAAGCUAUCCAUAUUUUAUCUUACCAUGAAAAAAUUGAUGGUGAUUAAAUCUACUUUUAAAAUAGAUUUAAUGCACAAAUAUGAUGAUUUUUGGCAAAAAUUAGUUUCGGAAGAUACAAUGGUAGAAAAUAGUGAUGAUUAUUGUUUAAAUGUGUAAAUAGCCUAGGCAUAGCCCGUAAUACCAAUAUCCAUUUACCUUCAUUUAGAUUAUCACAUCUCAUGAUAUUUUUUCAUUCACGACCAUUGUUCGAGAUUUGAACUUGAUCAUAAAUUAAGCUGCAACGGAGUUACUUAUGUUUCUAAGCUUUUCAAUCGCGAUUCCUCCAUGCCUUUCUUGGAUACCAUUUUACUGACCUUGUAAUUGGUGUGUAUAAGGAGUCAUGCCCUUUCAGGAUCGUUUUCUUUUUUUUUUUUCCUGAUUGUAGUGUCAAAUAAAUAAAGAACGAACAAUUGAACUUAGUCUAUUUCGAGGAAAACCAAGGCCUGCAAUAUUAGAUGAACUUUGAACAAAAUUAAUCUACUAUUCUACAUCCCCACCAAAAUUUAAACAGUCGACAUUGUGGAAAGAAACACAUUUCGCCACUAGGCUUUUAGUGAGGCUAAUUUCUCUGAAUUUGGACAGAGUAGGUCCUCCAACGAGAACUGAAUCAGGACGAAUCGGCUCUCCAUUUUCUAAUUCGAACGAGCAAAGGAAGCCUGAAUCUGUGACCGUUAUCAAUACUCUGCUUCUAUUCUGAUUCUCAGGAAGUACUUCUUCAAGAUCAUCCAAUACAUCGUCACCCUCUUUGUACUAAUCAUCAAGCACAAUAAAGUACUUCUUGUUUGUUAGGUAAUCUCGAAGAAUAGAUUUCUUCAAUUGAUAAUCUUCACCGAUAAUUACACUAACCCGAGAUGGAGGCAUCACAGACUUGAUUAUGUCAUCCAAUACCAUGCGAAAAUCGUAGGAUAUAGAAACCCUGACCCAAGCAUGACAGUCAAAAUAGAACUUGACGUGAUUAUUGUUGUAAGUAUCAGCAGUAAAAGCAGUCUUAUCGAAGCUAUUGAUGUCUUUCAGAAGCUCCCAAAUGUCUGUUCUUUUAACAUUUUCUAAGUGCAAGAGCUGCCGAUAACGCGAAGGUAUUUCAUCUUCAUCGAAUUGUUCUCUAAUGAGUUGAAUUAAAACUCGAGCCAUGUCAGCUUCAUAGUUUCCCAGCAGAGUAGUGGCUAUAAUUUCGGACUCCGUAAGAAGGUUUUGAAAAAGUGGAGUUAAAUUUGUUGAAUCAGGCAAAGUUAACGUGCCUUCUUCACCUGCUAACACCAGUUUCAACCUCUCACAAAAUAGUGUGAGGUUAAUUUCCAUAUCUUUCCCUCUCUCAGUAGUACUCAGAGGUACGUAUUGUUAUUUGUUAGUGUUGAUGACGAAAGCUGAAUAAUCAAAACAACAGUGUACACAAUCAACAGAAGGCGAAGUAUGUUAAGUUGAGAUCAAAGGAUAUAAAUGAAGGAAAAGUUUAAGUACUCCGUUGAAAGCCAAAGUUGCUUUGGCCAAUUAAUUUAUAAGUGAAGGAAAGAAUAAAGUUAGUCCUCGAUGUCUUUUGAAAUUAGAAAUACAUUUUGAAUGCUUUAAUAGAUGCAGAGCAAGCUGGCUCGAUGUCUAACUAUUUUAAGAGCUAAAAUCAUUUAUUAGAAGUUGUGGCAUUGAAAAAAACUGGCUUGAUAUCCAAUUUUGUUAUUUAAUGUCUCACGUGAGAGUAAAUAACUGUUGUGUUACUGGCAGAUGAUUGAGACGGACAAGUUUGGAACAUUGUUCGAGACUGAAACUACACAUCAGUCUUAGAAAAUUGUAAUUUUGUUGAAAAAUUAUAGAUUGAAAAAUUAUUGAGACGGACAAGUUUGGACCAUUGUUCGAGACUGAAACUACACAUCAGUCUUAUAAAAUUGUAAUUUUGUUGACUUAUCAUGAUUUUGAUUGCCUCCCAUUGAUUUUCCUAUGAUGUCUCUGUAGAGUGGCUAUGCUUACAUUUUUAGGUAUUUAAUUCUAAAAAUUAACUUAUUAGAUGGAAGGAUCAAUUCUACCUGUAAAUCUAAGUGGCUUCCCUUUACUAACUCAUAUAAGACACAACAAUAAUUUUCUUCGAAAAAAACCACCAUCGGAGGGCUAUUUUCGUUCAACAUACAUGAGUUGUUCCGCCACCAUAUUUUGAGGGUUUGCUUCUAAUACAACUUGGGGAAGCUAGGGGUAAGAUUUCCAAGUAUCAACAUAAAAACCUUGCCGAUUGGAUAGAAGGACCAAUCUUACUUAUAAGUCUAAAUGACUAAUUUUUGAGGACACAACUCAACAGACCAAUAUAAACUUUUGGCGUCCCAUUUUAUUACUUUUCAGUGCUUUACUUUUGCUGUCUAUAGCCCUACUAUUCUAUUAAGCAGAAAAUAUUAUCUAUUUUCUUUCCAUUUUAUGUAUACCCCGAUCUUUACCUCUGAUUGGUUGUAGAUUCUUCUGUCGCUUUGGGGUUAGGGGAUGGUUUUCAUCAAGAAAUGAUAAAGGAUUGUUAGUUGUGUGACAAACAGCAUUAAUAUGAAGGAUGAUGAUUGUUCUUUUCAAGAGUUUAUAAUGACAUAAUUCUGCUUUGGUCUUUUAAAAAAAAGUAAUUUAGAAAUGAGGAGUAUGUGAGUGAUGAUUUUUACAAAUAAAUUGCAUGCGUAGUGAUGAUUUUGACACAUGAAAAUGUAAAAAGAAAUAUAACUUGUGAAUAAUAAUCGAAGUACCCUGCUAUUGUUAUAUUGAGUAAUCAAGGACUUCGAUAUUCGGACGAUACAAGCAACACAAUCAAAUAUUAGUUGGAAGGCAUAGCAAAAUUAGAAUGUAGAACAAACUGGGUAUUGAUAAAUGGAUGGUUUUGGAAGAAUUGAAAAUGAUGGCAAAAAAAAAACAAAGUUAAGAGAAAAGAGAAAGAGCAUUUGAACUUUACUUGUAAGUAAAGGCAAAUAUCUUGGUUCAAGAAAAGAUAAGAGAUAUCAAACUAGCAAUAGGAAAAAGGAGGAAGGUUAAGACAGCAUCUUAACAAAAGCUAAAGAAAAGAAAAACUUAGUUCAAGCAAAGAACAAUGUGCUAAUGUAGUGUAAUCUUGUUUAAUUUCUUUUUCUUCUCACAUUUUCCAGGGCUUAAAUAAUACAAUGUACAUUUUCAAGCAAAGAACAACAAAUAAAUAAUACAAUAUACAUACCCAGUAAAUUAAAAAAAAUAUAUUAUUCAAGUUUGUGGACAAUACUGUAGCCAUUGCGUCGUCGAAAUCUACUGACAGCUGAAACAAAGAAAGAAUGGAUGAACGCUGGAUCACAGUUGAAAUUGAAGGUCUGGUAGGUGAUGUUUCCCUCUCUGAUUUUACCUAAACAAAUACAAGAAAAUAAGAAUCACGAAUGAAAAUCUGUUAUUACACUGUUCUUACUUAUUAAAAUACAGAGGUUUCUUUGUUUCUCUGCAGCAAUGUCCAUGGCUAUUAGAAACAAGAACAAUUAGACCAGCAUUUGCAAGAAUCUUUUAAGGUAUUACUGCAGAUAUAAAUCGACUGAGGAAAUGGAAAAAUUGAAUACCAAAUUAGGCAAGUUAACUGAAGAUUCAGUUAUCAUAGAAGAAUAAAACUCAUCCAAUUCAAUCCAUCAAAUUUCAUUAAGCAUUUCCAGAACUCUUGAUUUUCUUUCUCAGUAGCCAAACAACUUCAAUCUCAUUUUUUUUUUUCAACAAUGAGUUCUCAAACCACUCUGGUAUCAUUUUAAGACAUUCUCGGCCUUGUACUCACCAUCAAAAUGGAUUGGUUGAGAGAAAACAUAGGCAUAUUGUUGAAUUAGGUUUGACUCUGUUGGCUCAAGCUCAACUUCCUUUUAAAUUCUGGUGGGAUGCAUUCCAUACUGCCCUAUAUCACAUCAAUAGAUUACCAUCUUCUGCUUUCAAACUUUCGACCCCAUGUGAGAAGAUAUCCAAGCACAAACCUGAUUAUGAUUUUCUCAAAUGUUUUGGUUGUAUUUGUUAUCCUUACUUGAGAGACUAUAACAAACAUAAGUUUGCCUAUCAUUCCAGUAAGUGUAUAUUCAUUGGUUAUAGUCCUUCACAAAAGGAUUAUAAAUGCUUACAUUCUUCAGGUCAAGUCUAUGUGGCAUGACAUGGUAUCUUUGAUGAGUCAACCUUUCCUUAUGCUACUGAAUCUGUUUUUCAUAGUCACACAAAUUCUGAUUCUCAUUCUUCAAAUUUAUUUACUCCACAGCAUGUCUAUUAUCUUUCUACUUUACCUGUCAUACCAGUAUUUCUAAAUAACAACACUGAUAAUCUAAACUCUACAAAACUAAAAUGCCAGCUGUUUGGUGUUAGCGAUAAGAAACAACUUACCACAACCAUUAAUUAUCCAUAAUUUCAUUGUUUAUCCUCAGUUUUCUUCAUAAAUGUUACAGCGUUCUUCACAACAAAGUGCAAGGGCAUCUCAAAAGUUCUGAAAUAAUACCUCAAUUCUAUUGCAAAAAUAAAUAAUCUCAAACAAGAACCAAUAAUCAUAUUUCGUUACUGUCAAACACAAUGCAUCUGAGCAAAACAUUGGAAGCCAACACCAGAAUACAUAUGAAUAAACAAUUAAAGAUAGAGAAAAAAGGCUUAAACCUUGGGGGAAAAAAGUGAAAAAACAUGAAAGACAAAUUACACAUGUGCAGUAACCAUCGAACUUAUCAGUGACAGCUGCAUCCAUUACAUUGCUCCAACAACACAAUGGCAAACCACCAGUUUCAAAUUGAGGAUAGCUAUUGAGAAUGAGAAAGUGUCCAAAACGCCAUAAAUAGACAUGUUCCUAUUAUGCAUAAUUUACAUUAUAGGCAAAUAUUCUUAUACCAUCAAAAGCAAAACAUGACACUAUAACAAUUGACUCCCCCCCCCCCCCCCCCCCCCCCGCACACAAAAAAAAAGGAAGAAACAAUACCGAAAAGAUUGAAACAGGUAAGGCUACACUGAGCACAGGAUGCCAUGAAACAUAAUCCAGGAACCAAAUUAAUAAAGAAGGAAGGCAAACCAUUAUUUAACAAUCUGUUUUGUAUUAGGGAAAGUCCGAUAAAAUCUACUUAGGGAUAAUUAGAGAACCUCAACUAUUAAUCACACCUCAUAAAUGAACUAACAUUAACCAUGUACCAUCCCCACAUCAGACAAACAUUCUCUAUACUUCUGAACCUAAUACUUCCAUCUUCAAUUGGGGUUUUUUUCUUUUGUGGGGGGGGGGAUAAGCUAUCGUUUUUCUAAGCUUGCUUACCUUCUGUGUGGGACUGAAAUACUGAUUUCGAAUCAUUAACAGUAAAAUUGGAAGCUCAUGAAAAAACAAUUUUAUCUUUUAACAAAAGUUAAAAUUACAUCUCCAUAUAAAUUCUCUUUUCAUUUCCUUCAAUUUUCUAAUUAAGCUUAAAAAAAUGUACCUUCAACCACAAAGGGGUUUAAAAUUUAAAAUAUAUAAAAAAAUAAAUUCAGAUAACAAUAAUUAAUUUAAUUAAAAAUAUAAAUAGAGAUUACAGAGAAAGAAAAAAUAGAGAAAGACCUGAUGUUGAGAGCAUCGACGGCCGGCAGUGACCGGCGGAAGAUGGCGAGAGAUGGCGGCGUGGGCCAUUGCUUGCGCAUCAGUGAGUGUCUCGAGUGAGAGAGUGAAGGUAGGGAUGGCAAUGGGGAGGGAGGGAGGGUCCAAUCUCUCUGUACCCAUCUCCCAAUUUGUCCCCGUCCCUCCCCGUCCCCAUUUGCUUAGAAUCUGUCCCCUACUCGAAUAAUAAUUCUCGAAUAAUAACAUAAAAUGCUCGAGGUUCUCGAUUUAUGAAUAAUUAAUAUAUUUUUUAUUUUAAAUUUUAAAUUAACUAUAUUAAAAUAAAAAAUUUAAAUAAAAAUAAAAUUUGAAAUAUAUUUUAUAUUAAUAUUGAUCCAUUAUAAAAAUUACAUACAAAAUAUAAAUUAUCAAAAUAAUUAUCUUUAUCAAUCUUCAUAAUCCUACAAUAAAAAGAAAAAAAAUUUACUUUUAUAUUGAUAAUAAAAUAAAUGUAGAUAAUUAAUUAAUAUUUUUAAUAAAAUAAAAUUAAAAUAAAAUAAAAUUUUUAGGCUAAUAUAAUCUACCCGACUUUUUUAAUGUGUUAAAUAAAAAUUUAAGACUUUAAUUAGUUAAUUAGGCCUAAAAGCUUAAUAAUAUAAAUAUUUUGAUAUUUAUUAUUUUUACUAAUAUUUAUAAUUUUAUAAUAUAUUCAAUUUUUAUUAUUUAUUUACUAGUAAUUUUAAAAAAUAAAAAUAAAAUUAAAAAAUAAAAUGGGGGAAAUGGGGAGGGGAUGGGGAUUCCACCUCAUCCCCGUCCCUUCCUUGUAGGGAUGGCAAAAGUUCGGGUCGGGUCGGGUCUGGGGCUGCCUGGAACUGACCCGGAUUUCACACAUAGCUGCCCGGACCCGGACCGUGCCCGGAUUUUUUCUAUGCGGGCCGGGUAUAUGGCUGGCACUAUCCGGGCACAGGUUUUUUUUGGGUUUUCUCUACCCACAUUUUCAAAACUGGCUAAAAAAAAAUUGAUAGAAAAGGCUAAAUAAGUAAACAAAAUUGCAAUUGGGCCUGGAAAUUCAUAACUUAUCCCUGAAUUAUAUAUAUAUAUAUAUAACUUCUAAUUCUUUGUUGAUACAAGUUUUUUCUAAUUCAUUAUAAAAUCACAUUAUAUAUAUUAUUUCCUCAUCAGAUAAUAAGUGACAAUUGCUCACCAGUUUAUUAACAUCUCUACGAAACCGUCUUUUAUGGCAUUAUUAUUAUUAUUGUUGUGGCUGAAACCAUGUAGUAUGUGAUUGAAGAAAUUGCAUUAAAUGUUGGAGUGGAGGUGAUGUAGGUGAGAAAGGAUUCCCUGGAGACUGUUAAACAAGACACAAGGCAUUUCCGGAAGAAAACAGAAGACAACUGGAUAAGACAAAACGGACAAAAGGGUAAGAGAGGUGGGUGGGAAAUUAAGAUAGGCAAUUUGUCCAGCAGAAACAUAAUAAUACCUCGUGGUCGUGGGUCGUGGCUGUGUUGGUGAAGUUGCAGCUGAACAAGAACAGUUGAUGCUGUCGCGUGGUGGCUGCCGUUGAGAAGAUGACCAAACGAUGAAGAGCUCUGUGACGGGAUGGUUGUGCUUUGCGAGGAGAAAUAGAGUUGACUGAGGAAGGUAAGAGGUUCGUGGAGGGAAAGGUGCGGACAACACUGCAUCAGUGCCGGUGGGUGGUGGAGAGACGGAGAGAGGUGCCGCCGAUUUGGAGAUUUCAGGGUGGGUGCUGACUGCUGCAGUGCUGCGUUGUUCUGCAAGUUGCAAUCGCGAUUUAGGGUUCAGUACCAGUUUUGGGGGCAAUUGGGCAAAGUAAAUUUUAUUUUCGCUUUUAUAUUUUCUUUUUUUUUACUUAAUAAAAAACCGGGCAUUGAAAAUCAAUGUCCGGAUCCGCUUUUUCCAUUCAUGUGGUCCGGGUAAAACCCGAACCGCACACGCCGGGUCUGGGCCGGAUCCGGUCCGGGUGGGUUUUUCUGCCACCUCUACUUCCUCGAAUAAGAAAUUUGGUAAAAAAAAUUUCCCGUCCCUUCCUCGAAUAAAAAAUCGGGUAUAAAAUUAUCUCUGUAUCCUCCCCGAAUGAGAAAAAUCCCCGAAGAUACCCAUACCUGUGGGGAUUUUUACCAUCCUUGAGUGAAGGGUUUUGUUUAGGGUUUUGGGAAAUGAAAAAUGUAAAUGUUUGAUUUUGUUGCUAGAAACUUCUUCUGCCGCUGCUUUUUAUUUUCGCUAUAAAAAUAAUAAUUUGUUAAUCAAAUAUUUUCUUAAAAAAGAUAAAUUUCUAGAACAAAAUUUAUAUUAAAUCAAAUUGUAAAAAUGUGGAAUAGGGCUAAUUUCUCCUUAAUAUUAUUAUUAGUAGAAGUAGAUUGUCGAACUAGUCUUGAUAUAUUUUAGAGUUGUAUUAUAGAUGUAUACGUAUCUAGAUUGUAAUUAUAUUUUAAAAAAUAUAAUUUUUUUUAAUUAUUGCACAAUAAAUGUAGAAAAUAUCUAUAAAAUAAUAUUAUUAGAACUAUGAUACAGCACCUCAAUUCCACAGUAGCUUAAUAUUAUUAGAACUAUGAUACAGCACCUCAAUUCCAAACGCACUCUAAUUAAAAAAUUUAGAAUUCUUGGGCAUGGAAAGAGUAGUAUUAAACAUCAGAAAGCUAAGGUUGUUCUGUAAAAGAACUGAUAUUGACAUUAUUUUAUUUUGGUUUUCGGGGAAAAAAAUAUUUGUUGACAAGCAAGAAAAUAUUUUUAUAUUUUACAAUUUAUUAUACAUAUUUUAUCAUAUUAAAGUAAUUUUAAUAAUAAAUAGAAACAUAAUAUUACAAUAAAUAAAUUAAAGUUUAAAUUAUUUUGAAUAUUAUAAAAAAUAAUUUUAAUAUUAUUAAUAGGAAGACUUUUGUUAAUUGUAAAAUCUUUUUAAUCCAAAGAUUUGUUUAAAAUUCUUAUAAUAAAUACAAAUAUAAAAUUAAAUAUCAAAAUUUAAAUUUUUUAAUAUUAUUUAAAUUUUAAAAAUACUUUAAUGUUAUUAGUCUUCUACAUAAAUUAUAUUAUUUAUAUUAUAUUUGUAUUGAUUAAAAUCUUUUAAAGUCGAUCUUCUAGUUAUUAUAUGCAAAAGGUAUUAUCAUGUUACAAUUUUUUGAAAUUUUAGGGAUGUAGGUUACGAUGAUUUAUUUCACUUUUGACAAAAUCCAAUGAGAAAUAUGAUAAGAGAAAGUCAAUUUAAUGUUCUCGACCUUUAUGAAAAAAAGUAAAAACUAAGAAUUAUUCAAUUUUAUAUUUUUUGCAUCCACCAAAUAAGUUUUGCACAUUUAUGUUAUCAUAAAACGAAAAAAAGGGUUUACCAAAAAAUGGUACCAAGCAUACCUUUAAUGUCCCACGUGAUUUCUUAUUAAGCCCAAUAUUAGAUAUAUUUAUACAUUUUACUGCAUUAAGUAUUUUAAUUAUAAAAGAAGUUGGUCCUUCCUCUAGUUACAAAAGAUAACUUUAUUUCAAGACUACCACUAAAUUCUUACGUAGAAUUAGUGCAAGGCCAAGAGAGAGUAACACAAUUUUACUUUUCCAUUACCAUUUUGAAAAUAGAAAGAUAUGGAUCCGUGUAUUUAAGAGUUAUUGUAAAAAUCAUACAAUUCAAUUUCCUGACGUGUAUUAUGUAUAUUUAGGCACAUUUGCCAAAAGCAUAAAUAGAUAGAAAGUAAAUUUACAAUCCACCCUUACUCACAAUUAUUGAAGUGAAGAUGCAUUACAACUGUCACUACUUUAACUUUAUUUAUUUAUUUGUUUUAAAUAAAAGUGUGAGAGAGACGGUGAACAUCAUGGACGAUAACAAAGGUUAAAGCCUAAAGGUGACCCAUUUUCUUUUUAAAGUGCUCUGCUGAAAGCCUAACUUCCUUUGGAUCCGCCGAAGUGGCCGAAGUGGUGGGCUGCUGCCCUCACAAGCAUUGUGAGGGCAGCGGUUCUAGCCCCCACAAAAGCAUUGUGGGGGUUAAAUGUUCUUUAUAUUUAAAAAUUUUUCUCCCUUGCGAAAUACAAGUGGAGUAUGGACAUCCCUCUCCUGUGAGGGGUUAUUUGUUUGGGCAUGUACUUCAUAGAAUUUAAUGUAAUAAUGUAAGUCCCAAUAAUGUAUAUCUGAUUGUAAAUAUCAGUAUAAUAUCUCUGCUACAAUAGCAAUUAUUGUAAAUAUUUGUGUAAUACAGUAAUCUGAUGAUUAAUCAGUAUUCAAAAAAAAAAAAACUUCAUUUGGAUCCGCCUAAGUUACUGCUUUGUAAAAUUUUAUAAAGCCCCUUAUACUCUAUAUUAUUUAUAAUUUGUUCAUAAAUAUUAUAAAACUUUCUGCAUUAUAUAAUUUUAUUGAGCCCCUUGUACUAUAUUUUAUUUCAUUGAAACCCUUAAAGUACCAAUUCGCCCUCUAUAAUUUUAAAUUACUAAAAUACCCUCCAUUUAAUUAAAAAUAUAAUGAUUAUUAAAUGAUUAUAAUUAUCUGGAGUACAAAUUCAGUAAUAAACAAUAACUAAAGUAUUAACAAUUUAUUCAUCAAAUAAAAUACUCGAGAUUUCAGCCGACAAAUCCUCUUGUCUAAACUAAAAAACUCAUAUCCCUAAAAUCUAUUUGUGAAAUGUUAGAGAUGAGUGGUGAUUUGUCAACUGGGUAAAUAAAUUUAUGCAUAAUGUUUCCGGUAUUGAUAAAUUACAUAAUAAUUAUUACAAAGAAAUCAUAAAUUGGAAACAUUAAUCAUUUUACAAUAUGUUACAUAAGUAAGAUAAAUCUCAUAGUAAGUUAAGUUAUAACGUAAUAAAUAUUUUCAACAUAUACUUAUUUAAGAAGUCAUUUAACAAUAAUAUUUUUUAUAUUUCAGUUGAUCAUGUCAUAUAGCGUUAUCUAAACUCUUGGCCAUAUUAUUAUUACUCAAUUUUCUCCCAAAAAAAAAAAAAAAAAAACAAAAACAAACAUGAUUAAUGAUUAGAGAAAAGUCAUGCCUUUUAGAAAGAAUACGUAUACAAGCUAUCCAUACUUUAUCUUACCAUGAUGGUGAUUAAAUAUAUUUUUAAAAUAGAUUUAAUGCACAAAUAUGAUGACUUUUGGCAAAAAUUAGUUUCGGAAGAUAUAGUGGUAGAAAAUAGUGAUGAUUAUUGUUUAAAUGUGUAAAUAGUCUAAGCAUAGCCCGUAAUACCAAUAUUCAUUUGCACCUUCAUUUGGAUUAUCAUAUUUUAUGAUGUUCUUUCAUUCAUAACCAUUGUUCAAAAUUUGGAUUUGAUCAUAAAACAAAACUAAAAAAUAUUAGAGAUACUAACAAUUGAGUCCCAUUUUAAGUCCCAAUACAAUGUGUUAUUUCUCAAUGUUGUGUCAUUCAUUAAUUAAGUGAUGAAUUUCAGAAUUAAUAAUUAGUUCAGACUUUAAUUAAGAUUUAAAUGUUAGAAUAUCUAGCAUCAUUCAAUCACAAUAAACAAAAUUCAAAUUGAAACGGCAAUAUUGUAUUUUCUUUAAUUAAUUUUGAUGCUGAAGCAAAUAUUUUGCUUGGGUUUUUCACUUCUUGAUUUUGAUUGGAAAAGUUUCUGAGACGAAGUAUUUUGGAUAAUUUUUUCGGGAUUGAAACCACAACUUGGUAGAGGAAAUUAGUUGGAGUAGUGAUGGCUUUGUCUUCAUUUUUGGUUCCUUUUGUGUCGGCAGCCCCUUACUAUUCUCUUGACCCUGAGUUUGAGAUAGAAAUUUAUCAACCUCCAACCCCACAUCCACAAACAAGUUGAUUGAAACAAUUGCUCUUUUAAUUAAGAGGACCCAAAUGAUUUAGGUUUCAGUUCUUAUCAUUUGUCUAUUAUUUAUUUGAAACAUUUAUUUUGAGCGUUACUGAUCUUAAUUAUCUGUAUUUCUCCAAUUAUUGAAGCAUUUCAAGUGGCCACUUUUUCUCCUUUUUAUAUAUGUUUAUUUUUUGGAGUGAUCAAACGGGGGCAAAAUCAAGUAUUCGCUGGUCUGUAGUUUAGCCAACGAUGGCUGAUCCACACAGUUGAUUAUAUGAUACUAUUAGCUCUCAAAAUCUUUCUUAUUUGAGAAUACAAGUUGCCCAAUAGAGUUGAACUAUGUUACCCAACUCCAUGCUCAUACAUUAAAUGUUUAGGUAGUUUUACAAAAUGAUAGCAGCAUGCCAAAACUUGUUGUUGUCAUUUUCGACAUUUCAAAUUGAAAAAUAUGCAAGCAAUCUUCAGUGAACAUUACGUUUUUAUUGAAUAAUUUAAAUGGCCAGUAAAUCAACAGUCCGUGAGUUUUAAAUCUAUUAUGACUUAAUGUAUCUUUCUGUAUUCGUACACAGGUUAUAUUAUCAUAGUUUAAAAUUUUAAUAUUAUUUUAAAUGUUAAAAAUACUUUAAUGCUAUUAGUCUACUACACAUGUUAUAUUAUUUAUAUUAUAUUUGUAUUAAUUAAAACUUUUAAUGUAAAUUUUCUAAUUACUAUAUUGAAAAGGUAUUAUGGUUAAGAAAAAGUUUUGGCAUUUCUUCUUGAAAAUUUGAGGGUCUGCAUGACAAUUUUUCCAAAUUCUAAGGGUAUAGGUUUGAAAAUUUAAUGUUCUUUAACUUAAUGAAACAAAAGGGGGAAACCAAGAACUAUUCAAUUUUGUAUUUUUUGUUUGUAAUUCAAAAAAUGCAUCCACCAAACCAGUUUUACGCAUUAAUGCUGUCAUAAAACAAAAAACAGUUUGCCAAAAAAUGGUACCAAACAUAUCCUUAAUGUCUCACAUGAUUUCUUAGUAAGCCCAUAUUAGAUAUAUUUAUACAUUUUAGGUAUUUUAGUUAUAAAAGAAGUUGGUCCUCCCCCUAUUUAUAAAAGAUAACUUUGUUUCGAUAUUACCACUAAACUCUUACAUAGAAUUAGUGUAAUGUUAAGAGAGAGUAAAACGGUUUUCCAUUACCAUCUUUGAAAAUAGAAAGAUAUGGAUGCGUGCAUUUAAGAGUCAUCGUGAAAAUCAUACAAUUCAAUUUCCUGACAAGAAGUUGGUCCUCCCCCCCUUUUUUUUUUUUUUUCAAUUACAGUGUGAUGGAGACAUUAAGGAUGAGCAUAAUAGUUAAAGAUGACUCAUUUCUCAUUUUCUUUUUAAAGUGCUCUGCUGAAAGCCAAACUUCCUUUGGCUAAUUAAUUUAGAAGUAAAGCAGAGAAUAAAGUCCUAGAUGCCUUCUGAAAUUAGAAAUACAUUUUAUAUGCUUUAAUUAUGAUUAUUUGGUAGACUAAAGACCUAAAAGAUAUGUCAAAAGUAUAAAACAGAGCGAUUAAAGAAAAAAGAAAAAAAAAACAGAGCAUUUGUGACGUAGAACAAUUGGUAAAUAAAUCCUAAAUAUUUGAGUUGUUAAAAGCAAAUAUAACAGAGACAGUAAGAGAGAUGCUGAAACAGAAAACUAUUAGCUUAUCUUGAUUUUCCCACUAUAUUCAUUUUCGAUGCUUUUCAAACGAGAUUCUUUUAAUUCUUCUGGUGUCUCUUAUAGAUCUCCAUCCCACAUCUGCACUACGAACAAGUUGAUUAAAAUUAAAUACUGUUGGAGAUGUGGGGUGAGCGGUCAACUUGGUAAAAAAACUAUGUGUAAUAUUGUUAAUAAUAUAAAAUAUAUAAUAAUAAUUACAAAGAAUCAUAAAUUAGAAAAAUUAUUUAUUUUACAAUCUAUUUCUUAAGUAAGAUAAAUCUCGUAAUAAGUUAAGUUAUAAUGUAAAAAAUAUUUUCAAUUUAUAAUCAUUUAAGGAGUCAUUUAACAAUAAAAUCUUUCUUUUUUUGAUCAAUUGGUCAUGGUACAGAGCAUCAUCUAUAUUCAUGGUGAUAUUAUUAUUACUCCGUAUUCUCAAAAAACACGAUUUAACAUUUAGAGAAAGUUCCUACCUUUUAAAAAGAACAUGUAUGCAACAACUACCCAUACUUUAUCUUACCACGACAAAACUAAUAGUGACUAAAUCAAUUUUCUCGAAUAAAGCAAAAUUUCUUAAAAUUAAUUUAAUAUACAAAUAUGAUGACUUUUUGCAAAAAUUAGUUUUGGAAAAUUAGUGACAGAAAAUAGUAAUGAUUAUUGUUUAGAUGUGUAAAUAGCCUAAACAUGAUCCCUAAUACCAAUAUCCACGUGCAUCUUAACACCUUUCGUCAUAUUCUUUCAUUCAUGGUCACUGGUUCAAGAUUUGAAUUUGAUCAUUAAAUAUGUUCAAUAAUAUUAGAGAUCCCAACAAUUGAGUACCAACUUAAAUCCCAAUGCUAUGUGUCAUUAACAAAUGUUGUGUCAUUUAUAAUUAUUGAAUGAAUAAUUCGUUAAUUUAUUGAUAAAUGAAAAUUUAUUAAUUUAAAGAGAGAUAUUUUUUUUUUUGGGUUUUAAGAAGAGUUUUGUUGGUACAUGUACAUACUUAUAAAGAAAUAAACUUGUAAUUAUACUAUAUCUUUCUUUCUUUAUUCAGUUUGGUGGGAUAUUGUGAUAAAUCAUUGGAUUAAAAUGCAUUUCUAAAUUAAAACUUGUUAAAAUCUAAUUUAUUUGGGAAGCGCAUAUUAUUUGUCAGUCGUACUUCUCAAGUCUCAACUUAGCAAGUUAUUUCUAACUUGUCAGUCUCUAUUGGUUCUCUAAAGCUAAUAGUCUCGAAUCUCCCGCAUUUGAUAUCUUGCCAUUAUUGUUGGCAUUAACAUGUUACCUGAGAUUGGGAUUCAUUAAAAUCCUCAAUGUAAUCGGUGGAACGAAUGGAUUUCUUCUGUUCACCAAUCCACCAAAAUUUCUGUAAUUAAAUUCAAGAGUCAAGAUCUAUGCUUAUAAUCUAUUCUAACAGCUAAUAUUCUAUUUUAUAUUUACUUAAAUAUGAAGAGCUAUGCUUGUCAUUAACUUCAAAUGUGAUCGAAGCAGCCUUACAUCUGUAUAUUACUUAUUCCCAACCUUUUUUUUUUGACUUCAUAUACUUUAUUUUCAUGUUAUUUACUCUUUUUUUCCCCUUUCUGACAAUUGAGGUAGGGGGUCAAACUUGAAAGUAUCUUAAAAUCAGACAAAUUUUUUUUUUUUUAAGAUAGCUGCUAAUAUGCUCUAUUAGACAAUGACAAGUAAUAACCUAGUUGUUUGCAUUAGAAAUGAUAUUUUUUGUGGUGCUGAUAAAGAGGUUGAUUAUGAUUCAACAAUUUAAAAUAUGAAAACAUGUGGAAGACGGCCGCAAUUAAAUUGAUUGUAUGAAAAUAUUUCAAUGAAAUUUUAAAAAUUUAGUACUUGUUAUCUUAUCGAGAGUUUUUUUAAAUUAUAUUACUACUUGAACUUGGCUGCUUUUGUAUUGAAUUCCCAGCGUUGCCAUUGCUUCUACUCAAAAGCCAUUUAAGUUUGUGUAAGCUACCUAUAGUUUGAACAACAAUUUACUCAUGAAUUGUUGUUCAUAAUAGCAAUUUGAUUGAAAGUGCGGCUGCACUAAUUUUCUAGAUGAAUUUUUUCCUACAUGCUUGUUCUCGUAUGACCCAAAAUCCUGCUACAUCAGUUGUAUUAGAAAUUAAUACUGGGUUACAAUUAUGCAUCCCCACCAAUAUUUCUUGAGGAAAGAAACUCAUAUCGCCCCUAGGCUUUUAAUGAGGCUCAUUUUUAUGAAUCUGGAUGGCAUUAGAUAUCUCUCCGAAUAUUGGUGGGAGUAUAUCGCAGAUCAAUGGGCUAUACUACAAAGUGUAUGUACGUUGACUCUCAAUAAAUACAAACGAUUCUCUGAUAUGAUUCAAAACAUCAGUGCACGCAUCAUUUUAACGAGAGAGAAUAUUCUAAGAACGAAAUUGAAGGUGCAAUCAGCAACUAAAAUGAAGCCAGAAAUGUACACGCAUGAGGAAGUUUUCCUAGAAGAUUGAUAUUUCUUUAACUAGCAAACAAUACAAGUCCAAAGCUAACCAAACCAUACCUGCAAGUCCGGGGCUUAAAUGGAGUACUUGUAAGCAUAAAACAUUAAUCAAAACACAGUAUAGACACACACACACACCCCUACAUACAUACCAGCAAAUUCGAAAUAGAAAAAGGAGUGCAACUAUUCAAGUUUGUUGACAAUAUUGCAACCAUGGCAUAUUAAAGCAAAUCCUUAAAAUCAGCUAAACGAAACAAUGCCCUGUCUCAUGAAUCGAUGCUCAACUAAAAAUUGAAAUUGAAAGUCCGGCUGGUGUUGUUAUUAGAUAGAUAUAACAAGAUCUUUCUUUGACAGUUCUUAUUAGAUAGAUAUAAAAAGAUCUGCUUUGACAGUUCUUAUUAGAUAGAUAUAAAAAGAUCUUUCUUUGUUUCUCUGCUGUAAUUUGUGGCUAUCCCACUCUGUUUUGCCAGUCAAGCUGAGUCUACGUUGAGACAUAAUUUUGACAUCAGAAGCGGCCUCAAUUAGUUUGGCAUUUUUAUAACCUCCUUGAAGGUUUUACGAUAAACAUAAAUCUACUGACAAAGUGGGCAAAAAGAAAAUGCAUGUAAAAGUAUGAGUUAUCAAAUAAGAUUAAAACUCACCCAAUUCAAUCCAUCAGAUUCCGUAAGGAUACAACUGGAUGUCAUACCGCCACUCCAUAUUCUCGAAAGUCCGUAGUCCUUGUCUCAACUGUGUCUGGGGCCAGUGUAAGUCCAUUUUUGCGCAAGCUCUUUAUGCACCACAGCUCUUCUGGAAGCUUUCUCAAGUAAGCACACGGGUUGACAAUUAAGCAUUCAAGUUUCGGCAUUGCUCCAGCCCCCAUCGUCCACUCAUCUAGCCAAUACAUUGACUUCAGGUGCAAAACCUUAAGUUCGGGAAAGCUACUCAAGCCAACACAAGCAAGCUUUCUUCCUAAAUACGAGUUCUGCUUCAGUUUCAGCACUCGAAGGCGUGGAAGAUUUUCCAGAAUUGGCAUGGGAUCCUCCAUUAGCUCAGUAUUUGAUAAGCUCAGUUGGAUCAGACUUGGGGGAAAUUGGUAUUCAGACAGGACCAUCCGUGAGGGCUUGCUCUCAUUCACCAGCUUCAAGCAUUCAAGUUUGUGGAGUUCGCAUAGGCUUUUGGAAACCCCUGAAUGAUAGCAACUCAAAUCUCCAGAUAUCCGAAGAGUUUGAACAUUAGGUAGUCUGCCCAAUAUAUCAGGAGUACAACUACUGGGGUUUAAAGUUGAUAUGAAAAUGAGAUUUUUCAGGGAGCUAGAAUAAUUUUUUGGAGGUGCGGGCAGAGUGAUAGAACCAAAGUUUAGAUGCAUGAGUUUUUGCAUCUUCCAAAUAUCCUCUGGUGACUGAUCUAUGUAGCUAGAUGGCAUUUCUAGUGUUUGAAGGUUUAAAAGGGUGCAUAGCAGUGAAGGAAGGCAUUUGAGCGAAGGGAUAUUCAAUUUCAAAUACUUCAAAAGGAAUAAAUUUUCUAAUCCGGGUGGAUAUUGGUCCAGGACUGCAGAACCCAAGUUCAGUACCCGAAGGUAUUUGAACCUUUUAAAAAAAUUCUCGCAAUCUUUCGGAUUAAGAUGAUAUCUUUUUGGACUGUGAUUGAGAAAAGAUUGGAGAUACAUGUCAGAAUGUUCUAAAGAAAGGAACUCAAUCAAAUCAUCGACAAUGAAGCACCGUUUAACAUUUGCGGGUGGUUCCUCUUCCACGUCAUGCAUCCAGACAAAUCCCGUCUUCUUUGCCACCACAAACAAUGAAGUGUAGUAUACAAUACUUGGAAAAUAACACGAUUUAAUUGUGCCUCCGGCCCUUCUUUUACUCACUUGAAUGAAGCCGCGAUGGAUUAGUUCUUUCAAGUAAUGUUCGGCAGUUUCUUCACUGUUGUAUGGUAUGAAACCUUCAGCUACCCACAAAUGAUAUAAUUGCCUCGUGGAUAUCUCAAUGCCUGGAGGGAAGACACACAAAUAGAUGCAGCAGAUUUUCAAGUGAAAAGGUAACUCCAACACAGAACAAAUUCCAAUGAAAAUUGUCGGAAUCGUUUCGCCUUGAACAUAAUUUUCUAAUGGCAUACUUCCAUAGUGUAGGAUGAAAAAUUGCCAGGCUUCAUGCUUUAAUCUGAUCAAUGGUCCUCCAAUGAGCACCGAAUCAAGCCGAAUCUUCUCUCCAUUUUCCAUUUCAAGCGACGCAAGGAGGUCUGGAUCAGUGACUGUUAUCAAUACUCUGCUUCCAUUCUGAUUAUCAGGAAGAACUUCUUCAAGAUCAUCCCAUAUGUCAAUGUUAUCGCAGACAUCAUCAAGCACAAUAAAGUACUUCUUGUUUGUUAGGUAAUCUCAAAGAAUAGAUUCCUUGAAUUGAUAAUCUUCACCGAUAAUUACACUAACCCGAGAUGGAGGCAUCACAGACUUGAUUAUGUCAUCCAAUAUCUUGCCCAAAUCGUAGAAUACAGAAACCCUGACCCAAGCAAGACAGUCAAAAUAGAACCUGACAUGAUUAUUGUUGUAAGUAUCUGCAGCAAAAGCAGUCCUAUCGAAGCCACUGCUGUCGAGAAUUGCAACCACUGCAAGCCCAGAUGGUCCCUCAAUCAAUAGAUCAAACAACUUCUCUCUGCCCCUUUCAAAUUCACUGAUAUCGAGCCGAGGUUGUCCCUCAUUCAAUAGGCGAAUGAUUUCGUUACUUUUUUCACUGAUAUCAAAACCAUUGUCGCCGGGCGGAAGUUGUUGCAUCCGAUUUCUAAUAUCAAUGAUUUCACUGUGGACAUGAAGAGCCAUAUUAGUGCUGCUUUCACUUUCGUUUUCACUGUUUUGCUGCUGCAUUAUGUUGAUGAAGAAUCUGUCAAUGGCUUCCUCAGAUUCAUGGACAAAGUCAUUGAUGUGCACCAGAAUUUCCAAAAUAUCUGGUCUUUUAACGUCUUCUUCAUCGCUUUCUUCUAAGUCCAACAGUUGCAAAAAAGGAAAAGAUAUUUCGAAGUCAUCGAAUUCUUCUAGAAUGAGUUGAAACAAAUGCCGAGCCAUGUCAGCUUCAUAGUUUCCCAGAAGAGUAGCAGCAAUAAUUUCGGACUCCGUAAGAAGGUUUUGAAAAAGUGGGGUUAAAUUUGUUGAAUCUGGCAGCGGCAACGUGCCUUCUUCACCUGCUAACACCCUUUUCAACCUCUCACAAAUCAGUCGGAGGUGGAAUUCCAGCAUUUCUCCUUCUCUCCGUAGCACUCAAUUAGAAUUAUCUUCGAAUUCUAAUUUAAUUGACUAAGUAGUUAUAGCUAUUCUAUUGAUUAGGUCUAGCUAUUAUAUUCUAAAUGAUUAAUUGAGAGGUAUAGUUGAAAGAUUAAACACCAUGGAAGAAUUUGAAAGGAAAAUGCCAAGAAACUGUGUAAGUGGCUAAAUUCCACAAAUAUGACAUUAUUGCUCAUUUUUUAACUCAAAAAAAGGGUACGCAUUCAUUUAGAGAAAAGUCCAAGACGCGUGCUUUUUAAAAAGAACAGGUAUCCAACCUCUAUCUUAUUAAAUUACAACCAUGACAUAAUUGAUGGUGCUUAAAUCAAUUGUUUCUUUUUUAAUUUAAAGAAUUUUUCAUUAAAAAAAUAUUUUAAUAUCAAAUUGCCUUCAGUGGCGUAACUGCCUCAGGCCCAGUAACAGGACUAAUUAAAAAUUUUACAAUUUUUGGGCAUGGAAAUAGUAGUAUUAAACAUUAGAAAGGUAAGGUUGUUCUGUUAAAGAAUUGAUAUUGACAUAAUUUUAUUUUGGUUUUCGUGGAAAAAAAAUUUGUUGACAAGUAAGAAAAUAUUUUUAUUUUUUAAAAUUUAUUAUGCAUAUUUUAUCAUAUUAAAGUAAUUUUAAUAAUAAAUAGAAACAUAAUAUUACAAUAAAUAAAUUAUAGUUUAAAUUAUUUUGAAUAUUAUAAAAAAUAAUGUUAAUAUUAUUAAUAGGAAGACAUUUUGUUAAUUUUAAAAUCUUUUUAAUCCAAAGGUUUAUUUAAAAUCUCUAUAAUAAAUACAAAUAUAAGAUUAAAAUAAAAAUCAUAAUUUCAAAAUUUUAAUAUUAUUUUAAAUGUUAAAUAUACUUUAAUGUUAUUAGCCUACUACGUAGAUUUUAUUAUUUAUAUUAUAUUCGUAUUGAUUAAAAUUUUUUAAAGUCAAUUUUUUAGUUAGUACAUUCAAGAGGUAUCAUAGUUAAAGAAAAGAUUUUGGUGCAACUGUUUUAAAAUUUCAGGGUAUAAAUGAUAAUUUUUUUUAAAAUUUUAAGGAAGUAGGUAUUAUUUUUCCGACAAUUUAUUUUAUUUUGAGGGAAAUCCGAUGAGAAAUAUCAUCAGAGAACAUUAAUUUAACAUUCUUUACCUUUAUGAAAAAAGUGGAAACCAAGAACUAUUCAAAUUUUUUUUUUUUGUGUAAUUCAAAAAAUGCAUCCACCAAACAAGCUUAUCAUAAUUUUCCCACUUUAUUCAUUUUCGAUGCUUUUCAAAAGAGGUUCCUUUAAUCCAUCUAGCAUCUGCAGCCCCCACUAUUUUACAAAUCUCCAUCCCACAUCUACACUAUCAAAAAAGUUGAUGGAAAUUGAACCCAUUAAGUUAUGUUCAUUACUGGUCAUUAUCUUUCUAUGAGCCACUUAUUUUGAGCAUUAGCGAUCUUCUAAGGAAUCAUGCCUUUUCAGGAUCGUUUUCUUUCAUUUCCUUAUUGUAGUAGUUAAUUAAAUAAAGAACGAACAAGUGAACUUUGUCUAUUUCGAGGAAGAACUAGGUUUCCAACACUAGAGGAACUUUGAAGAAAAUUAAUUGGAAGCCUUUAUUCAUCUUUGAAGAAAAUUACGUGCCAAUGUAACCAAGGCUUUUAUUCAUCUUCGGACUAUGAAUUUAUACAAAAACAUUAACAGAAAAUAACAAAGACACAGCUAAAUGAUAGCAACAAGUGUUGAUUUAGUGGACCACUUCUACAAGUAAAUAAAAACUAAAUAUUUAUUUAAGGAGGGCUUUUGUUAGUAGAGUUUUUAUAAAUAGAAAUUUAACAAAAAAAAAUUAUAGUUAUUUAGUUGUCAAUGUCCAAAUUGAUGAAUUAUUGUUCUUUUUGUUAACAUGUGUUUGUUUUACUUAAUAAUAAAAGUUUAGUUUACAAUUACACCGGUGUCAAAUCAGCAGAGCAUUUUUGCAGCCAGUCACAUUAUACAUUAUAUACUAAUAGCAUCGGCAAGAGUUUUCGAUUGUUGCAACUUGCAAUGCACGCGAUGCGAGAAAAUGAGAAUCUUGUUUAAUUGCAAUAAUGACAAACCUAAUCCUUUCAUUAGGAGUAAAUUAAUAAUCGUUUGUUAUUAUUGAAUAUGUAUAAAGAAAGGACAAUUCUAUUCAUAGAUUCGACUUAUUUUUUGUUUAAAGUAAUUAAUCAUUCAACCAUCUUCAUUUGCCUCUGGCCAAUGCCCUUGUAGAUUAGUUGAAGCGUUUAUUACUUAAUUCAGAUAAUUACAACGUCCUUUUCGCUAAUUAAUUAUGAUUAUGAACAUUUUCAUAUAGCAAGUGGCAUUGUAGAUCUAAACUACGUUGCUAUUUCAAUACGUUAAUUAAGUGAUUCUCCUCAUUGUCAUCAACGUUAUAAACAGGAAUUGUGCAAACAGUACACAAUGCUGCAGCAAGGCGUGGGUGGCUAGAGUUUUGCAACCACCCUUGAGAUCCUGUGCUGCCAGUAGUAAAAGAAUUUUACGCCAAUUUGGUAAGCCCUGGUCAGCACAACAUUUGGGUAAGAAACUCACUUGUUCCAUUAGACUCUCGAGUUAUAAAUGUUUUUUAUAAUUUACCUGCUGAAAUUAAUUGUGAGUAUGCCAAGUUGCUUGACAAAUUGACCCCGCAACAAUGGAACACAAUUUUCACGACACUUACGGUAGAGGGUGCAUCGUGGGCUAAUGAGGAGGGGCAUGUAAUUAACAAGAUAGAUUUAAAACCCAUUGCUAAGGUGUGGGUGAAAUUUCUAAAAUCCAGGCUUAUGCCAACCACCCACACCACUACUGUUUCACAGGAAAGGUUGGUGCUGUUAUAUGCUAUUGUUAGAGGGCUUCCCAUAGAUGUGGGAAGCAUUAUCGAAAAAGAAAUUCGAGAUUGUGCCAUGAAAAACCACAAGGCUGCUGCCUUGUUAUUUCUUUCACUCAUAACCAGCAUAUGUGUAGUAUCAGGUGUUCGUCUUGAUGCAAAGGAUGAAAUUUGUAAUUAUAUUAUGGCUCCAUUUGGUAUAACUUUUUAAUUCGAACUUAUUUAAGGAGAAUUUUUAUUAGUAGAGUUUUUAUAAAUAGAGAUUUUACUAAAAAACAAAAAUUAUAGUUAUUUAGUUGUCAAUGUCCAAAUUGAUGAACUAUUGUUCUUUUUGUUAACAUGUGUUUGCCAGUCACAUUAUACAUUUUUGCAACUUGCAAUGCAAGCGAUGAGAGAAAAUGAGAAUCUUGUUUAAUUGUCAAUAAUGACAAACCUAAUCGUUUCAUUAGGAGUAAUUUCAUAAUCGUUUGUUAUAAUUGAAUAUGUAUAAAGAAAGGAAAAUUCUAUUCGUAGAUUCGACUUAUUUUUUGUUUAAGGUAAUUAAUCAUUCAACCAUCUUCAUUUGCCCCUGGCCACUGCCCUUGUAGAUUAGUUGAAGCGUUAAUUGCUUAAUUCAGAUAAUUACAACGUCCUUUUCGCUAAUUAAUUAUGAUUAUAUACGUUUUCAUAUAGCAAGUGGCAUUGUAGAUCUAAAUUAUGUUGCUAUUUCAAUACGUUAAUUAAGUGAUUCUCCUCAUUGUCAUCAAGUGGAAAAUAGCUCAAUUGUUUCCCUGCAUCGAUUUUCAUUGGUAAGUGAUUUCUUAUGAUAUUCGUUUGAGCUUUCCUUAUUAAAAAAGCUUGAGCCUUGAUCACCUAAUACUGAUAUCAAUUAACUUGUGAACGAUUUUGUAAUGAAAUUAGGAGUUAAAUAUAUAAGAUUUUUACGUGAUGAAUUUUGAUUUUUUUAAUUUUUUGAUGUAGUCAAUUUGCUAAUUUUAUAUAUUUCAUAUUCAACGGAAUUUGGGCACGGAAAGUUUGGAUUCUAAUAUUUAUAUAUUUAGCUUUAAUCAGCUUGACUUUAGCAAUCUUUUUCCCUCAUCAUUAAGGGAUUCAGAAUUAGAGAAACGCUAGGAAGAGGAAGAAAAUAACUUUGGAAGUAAGUAAGAGGGAAAAAAUUAUGAAAUUUGGAAUUAUUUUUUGUAAAGUAUGUUGCGUUUACUAAACUGGAAUUAGAAUGAGCUGAAAUCAGAAUGAAUAGGAAUGCGAAUGUGCUGAAAUCGGAAUAGGUAAUGAGAAUAAGAAUAAGUUGUUUACUUGAACUGUAAAAAUCAAAAUCGGAAUGAGCUGAAUUGCAAUUACUUUGUCUUGGAAUCGGAAUCGGAAUCGGAAUGAGUUAGAUUAUAACAAAUUACUGAAAAGUACUUAAUGAAUUAUUGUCAUAAUUAUUAUUUUAUAUUUUAAUUAUAGUGAUUAUUUAUUCAAAAAUUAUUAUUAUUAAUUAUUUCCAAUAAUAUAUUAAUAUGUUAAUUAAUUUUAAAAAUUAUUAAUUAAUUUAUUAUAAUAAUAUACUAAUUAAUUAUAAUUAUUAUUAUAAAAAUAUAUUAAUAAUAAAAUUACUAAUUUAAUUGUAAUAAUAUAUGAAUUAAUUAUAAUAAUUAUUAUAAUAGUAUAUGAAUUAAUUAUAAUAAUUAUUAUAAUAGUAUAUUAAUUAAUAAUAAUAAUAAAAAUAUAUUAAUUAUGUGAUUAUUUAUUCAAAAAAUAUUAUUAUUAAUAAUUAUUGUUAAUAAUGUAUCAAUAUACUAAUUAAUUAUAAUAAUUAUUAUAAAAAUAUAUUAAUUAUUAAUAAUAAAAUUACUAAUUUAAUAAUAAUAAUAAAAAUAUAUUAAUUAUGUGAUUAUUUAUUCAAAAAUUAUAAUUAUUAAUAAUUAUUGUUAAUAAUGUAUCAAUAUAUUACUUAAUUAUAAUAUAUUAAUUAAUUAUAAUAAUAUAUUAAUUAAGUAUAAAUGAGGACAAAGUGGGUAUUUUUAAUUUCACGAAGGGGCAAAAUGGUCAAUUCUAGUAAUGGGAGACUCACUCCCACCCUCUCCUUUGGGAAUGAGUCUCCCAUUCCUCAUUCCCAAAUUGUGGUGGGCCCCAUGAUUUUGACUCCGAUUUCUAACUCAAUUUUGCGAAGUAAACGCUACCAAUGAUUCCGAUUUCGGAUUCUGAUUCACUUAUCUGAGAAGUAAAAGCAACAUAAAUGUGUAUGAAUAAUUGAUACCUAUGAAUAGUUUUGGGAGUUUUAGCUAGGAGUCAUCUAUUGAAGAUGUUUAGCAAUUGAAGAUCUCUGUCUCAGUAGUUUUCCCAAUCAAAAUCAAGAAGCAAAAAAACUUGCCAUUUUUCUACUUGAUAAUUAAUUGAAAUUUAAGAAAAUACAAUGGCAUUUCAAUUAGAAUUGGUAAUUGUUUAUCUUUUUUCAUUGAUCAAAUUCUAAUCGUGAUCCAAUAGUUAUGGAUGAAGGAAAUAUUAUGAGAGGCGAUAGGCCAAGUGAAGACGUACCAGCAAAUUCAAAAUAGUCGGGAGGUGGACGUCCAGCAUAUCUCCUUCUCUCUGUAGCACCCAGAUGCAUUGUUAUUUGCUCCAAGAAAUGUUAAAAGGAUUGGCCCUAUCUCAAUGUGGUUAGUGGCAAGGGCGGAGACAGCAUAUUAAUUGACUGUGGGCUUACUCAACUGCGAUAAAAAAAAUUUAAAAAAUAAUAAAUAAUAAAUUUAAAAGAUUUAUCAUACUUCAAUAUAUGUUUAUAAUUAUCCUUUACGAGUUUUCAUACAUUGAUAACGUUGUAUUACAACUUCAUUAUCAAUAUUAUUGUGGGCUGUUUAAAAAUUUGAUUAAUAUUAAUAUUUAUAGGCUUGAUUUUAUUUUGUAAAGCCCAUCUCUUUUUAUUUGUUUUAAAAACUUAGAGUGUGAGAAUUUAAGUAUAAUUAUGUAUUAGGAACUUGAAUAUAAAUUAGUGGGGGCUUAGGAAAAAUUUAUUAGAAAUUUUUGGCAAAUCAAAUUAGUUAGUAAAAGAUUUUUUUUUUUUUUUUCAGUGGGGACUUAAGUCCCCACUGGUCCCAAGCUAGAUCCGCCACUGGUUAGUGGUGAAAAAUUAAACACCAUGGAAGGAUUUGCAAGGAAUAUGCCAAGAAACUGGCUAAGUUCCACAAAUAUGGCAUUAUUGCUCUUUUUUUUUUAAAGAAAAAUUAUACACGUUAAUUUAGCAAAAAGUCUAAGACACGUGCCUUUUGAAAAGAAUAGCUAUUACCAUGACACAAUCGAUGCGGCUGAAACCAAAAUUUUCUUUUCUUAAUGUAAAGUUUUUUUUUUAAAUAGAUUUUAAUAUCAAAAUGCCCUUCGAUGUUAUUACUCUCACAAGCCCUGUAACAGGAGUAAUAAAAAAGUUUAGAAUUUUUGGGCAUGAAAAAAGUAGUAUUAAACAUCAGCAAGCAAAGGUUGUUCUGUUAAAGAAUUGAUAUUGACGUGAUUUUAUUUUGGUUAUCGAGAAAAAAAUAUAUUUGUUGACAAGUAAGAAAAUAUUAUUAUAUUUUACAAUCUAUUAUACAUAUUUUAUUAUAUUAAAUAAUACUAAAUAGAAACAUAAAAUUAGAAUAAAAUAAAUUAAAAUUAAAAUUAAAAUUAUUUUGAAUAUUAUGUAAAAAAUAAUGUUAAUAUCAUUGUUACUUGUAAAAUAUAUUUAGCCUAAAGAUUUAUUUAAAAUUUUAUAAUGAAUAAAAAUAUAAAAAUAAAUUAAAUAUCAUAGUUUAAAAUCUUAAUAUUAUUUUAAAUAUUAAAAAUACUUUAAUGUAUCUUAAUAUUAUUUUAAAUAUUAAAAAUACGUUAAUGUUAUUAUUCUACUACACAUGUUAUAUUAUUUAUAUUAUAUUUGUAUUAAUUAAAAAUUUUAAAGUCAACUUUCUAGUAACUAUAUUCAAAGGUAUUAUGGUUAAAUAAAGGUCUUAGUGUUUCUUUUUCAAAAUUUGAGGGUCUACAUGAUAAUUUUUCCAAACCCUAAGGUAUAGGAGUCCUUUUUGUCAAUAAUUUAUUUCACUUUUGAGAGAAUACGAUGAGAAAUAAGAUCAGAGAAAUGUCAAUUUAAUGUUCUCUAGCUUAAUGAAAAAAAAAUGGAAACCAAGAACUAUUCAAUUUUGUAUUUUUUGUUUGUAAUUCAAAAAAUCCAUCCGCCAAACAAGAUUCACGCAUUUAUGUUGUCAUAAAAUGAAAAAACAGUUUGUGAAAAAAUGGCACCAAACAUACCCUUAAUGUCCCACAUGAUUUCUUAUGAAGCCCAUAUUAGAUAUAUUUAUACAUUUUACUGCAUUUAGGACAUGUUUGAUAGCCUGCAUUAUAUAGGAUAAAAACAUAAUUUUGUAUUAAAUUAAUGCACACUCACGUUUGGCGCUAAAAGUAACUCCAGCCGCAUUGCAUUAAUGGGCUGCUACUGCGGCAAUUGCCGCACUAGCUUGCCUCUUUUUCUUUUUAAUUUUAUUUAUAAUAAUAAUAAUAAUAAUAAUAAUAAUAACAUAAUAUAACUUUUAUUUUAAUAUAAUAUUAAGUAUAAUUUUUAUUUUUACAUUAUAAUUAUUGAUAUAAAUUAAUAAAUUUAUUAUUUAUUAUUCAAUAAUAUUAUAUUAUUAUUUUUUUAUUUUUACAUUAUAAUUUAUUAGUAAAUUUAUAAUUUAAUAUAAUUAAUGAUAAUAGAAAAUAUCAUUACAUGUACUACAAAACUCUUACUUGGAUUAUUUAACACAAUUUAUUUUAUUCGUGAAUAUGUUAUAACAAUUGUAUCACUUUAUUGUUUUGUUAUUAUUUUGUGGUAUGUAUAAAUUUUUAUUCUAUUAUUCAAAGAUGACUUUUGAACUAAUCUUAUAGGUUUUAACUAUUUAUUUAUGUUGUUAUAUUAUUAGAGAUUAUUUGAUUAAAUUAUUUGCUUCGAUCUUUAUUUUACAGGUCAUAUAUUUAGAAAUUACUGAAAAAUAAAUGUUCUACUUCCAAAAAAUUUAAGGCUAUAAGCUCGAUCUUUAUGAAUAAUUGUGAUAUUUUUUAACAUUUACACUAAAAAAAUUGUUAAAUUUCUAAAAUUUAAGACUUCUAUAUUUAGUAUUUUUCCAAUUACUAAUAAGUAUUAUUUUCUAAAUAUAUAAUUUAAAUUAAUCACAAAAAAUUAAUACAGUACAGUGCAAUAUCAAAUAUAAUAUAAUUAAAAAUUAUACAGUACAAUGUAGCACCAAAUAUUGUACAAUAUUAUUAUAAAAUAGUACUGAUGCAAUACAAUAUAAUACAAUAUAGUGUGCCAAACGCACCCUUAGAGUGUGUUUGGAACAUGGGAUUAUAGGGUAUUAAAACACUGUUCACAUUAGCUUAAUACCAAUAUCAUGUUUGGAAAGAAAUUUUAAGGGAUUAAAGGGGGGUGAGCUAAUGCCAUAACUGCGCCAUUAGUGUCUUGGUUUUUUUUUAAAUAAUAAUAAAAAAUAUAAAUUCCUAAUUUUAUGUAAUAUUAUAUAAUAUUAAUUUUUAUUUUCUUUGAUCUUUACAUUAUAGUAAUUAAUAUAAGUUAAUAAAUUUAUAAUUUAUUAUUCAUAUUUUAAUUUUUAUUAUAUUAAAAAUAUAACUAAAUAAUUUAAUUUUAAUUAUAUAAUAAUUAAUGUAUAAAAUUGAUUAAUAUUUAAUAAGUUAAUACAACUAGUAAUAAGUGCUUAAAUAAUAUAUAAAAAUAAAAAUAUAACAUAAUAUUACAUUAUUUAAUUAUAUUACAAUAACUAAUAUAUAAAAAUUGAUUAUUAUUUAACAAUUUAAUAUAGCUAAUAAUAGAUACUUAAAUAAUAAUUUAAUAUAACUAAUAAUGAAUAUUGAUAUAUGAAUAUAUUUAAAUAAUAUUAAUACCAAUAUAUAUAAUAAUAUAAAAUAUUAUUACAUGUACUGUAGUAUUCUUACUUGGAUUAUUUAGCGCAAUUUAUUUUAUUAGUGAAUAUGUUACAACUAUUGUAUCACUUUAUUAUUUAAAUUAAUCAAAAAAAUUAAUACAGUACAAGAUAGCACUAAACAUUGUAUAACAUUAUUAAAAUACAGUGUUAAUGCAAUACAAUAUAAGACAAUACAUCUAUAUUAAAAUAAAAUAAAAUAAUUUAAUUUAAUAUAAUACAGUAUGUCAAACGCACCUCGUAUAUUUUAAUUUCAAAAGAAGUUGGUCCUUCCGUUAUUUAUAAAAGAUAACUUUAUUUUCAGAUUACCACUAAACUCUGAAGUAGAAUUGGUGUAAUGUUAAGAGAGAGUAACACAGUUUUCCAUUACCAUCUUUGAAAAUAGAAAGAUAUGGAUCAGUGUAUUUAAGAGUUAUCGUGAAAAUCAUACAGUUCAAUUCCCUGACACAUAUAUUUAUGAGCAUAUGCCAAAAGAAUAAAUAGAUAGAAAGUAAAUUUACAAUCCUCACUUCCUCACAAUUGUUAAAAUGAAGAUGCAUUACAACUGUGAACUGUCACUAUUUUAGCCUUUUUUAUUUUUUACUUUUAGUUAUAGUGCGAUGGAGACAGUGAACAUCAAGGAUGAGAAUAAAAGUUAAAGAUGACCCACCCACUUUCUUUUUAAAGUGCUCUGCUCAAAGACAAACUUCCUCUGGCUAAUUAAUUUAGAUGUGAAGAGAGAAUAAAGUCCUAGAUGCCUUCUGAAAUUAGAAAUACAUUUUAUAUGCUUUAAUUAUGAUUAUUUGGUAGACUAUAGACCUAAAAGACAUGUUAGAUUAUAAAACAGUGCGAUUAAAAAAAAAAGAGUAUUUGUGACGUCAAAUAACAAUUGGUAACUAAAAUCCAAAAUAUUUGAGUUGUUAAAAGCAAAUAAAAAAAAAGAAGGUAAGAGUGAUGCAGAAACACAAUAUUAGCUUAUCUUGAUUUUCCCACUUUAUUCAUUCUCGAUGCUUUUCAAAACAAAUUCUUCUAAUCUUUCUGGUGUCUGCAGCCCCUUGUCACGGGACGAGAGGUUUCGAGCCCGUGCGGUACUCUCGCAUCCCAUACUGCGAGAGUAAACCUAGUGGAAGUGGCACAAUAUCGACUGGUUUCACCCUGUCUUGGGCUCAUCAGGAGAACGGCUCCAGUUCCCAACCAGUGUGUGAAGAGCUUCGCCUAAACCCCUCUUCAACGUUAAGUCCUUGACUAGCGACAAGCUCCCCAAACUCAACCAGGUUGGCCUGCCUGAACUCCAAGAAAUCUAGGAUCAUUGUAUUCCCCACACGACGCCCCUGAAGCACGUCUCCUACAAUCAGCACAACCCUUAUCGAUACCAGCGUACAAACGCAUAUCUUCGGCGUCACAAUUGCAGUCCGUGACACCCUGCUCUUGUUAUAAAACUCCACCCCAAAUCUACACUACAAACAAGUUGAUUGAAAUUAAACAAUUGCUUUUUGAAGUGGACCCAUUGAGUCGUGGUCAUUACUCGUCAUUGUCUAUUUUUUCUAUGAGCCAUUUAUUUUGAGCAAUAGUGAGCUUCUCUGAACUACUCCAAUUAUUGAUGUAACUCCAGUGGCUGCAUCCAUAGUUGAAUAUAUGACAGUAUUAGCUCUUAUUUGAGAAUAUAGGGGGAUCUUUCUUUGUUUCUUUGUUGCAGUGUUCUAGUUUAUAGUCUUGCUGUUAAUGAAUUCACUGAGGCAUUAUUAAUUUAAUUUCAGUGAAGUAAUUAUGGAUGAAAAAUAAAUAAAGGAUAACAGAAUAGAGCUGAAGUGCUGAAUCGGCUAUUAAAGAAAGUGUCACGUGAUCACAAUCACACUGAUGCACAACUCUCUCUAUGUACUCCAAAUUCAGCCAAACCAUACAUGCCUCAACAAAAUUAAACCGUAGUUCUCAUCACUACAGUAAAUGAAGCCCACAAAGACAGCUGAAAUGGAAAAUAUUGACUAUUGAAUGGAUCAAUGCUGAAUUACACUUGAAAUGGGAAGCUUGGCUGCGGUUACGAUGUUUCCCCCUCUGAUUUUUCUCCAAAACAAAUUCCGUUGUAAAUAAUAUUCAAUGUAGCAACACUUUAUUCAGCAAAGAAAAUACCUAAUUUUUCAACUAACAAAUUCUCUUGUCUAAACUAAAAAAACUCACAUCUCUCCAAUCUAUCUACAAAAUAUUGGAGAUGAGAGGUGAUUUGUCAACUCGAUAAAUAAAUUCAUGCAUAAUGUUACCAAUAAUGAUAAAUUACUUAAUAAUUCUUAUAAAGAAUCAUAAAUAAGGAACAUUAACCAUUUUACAGUCUAUUACAUAAGUAAGAUUAAUCUUAUAAUAAGUUAACUUAUAACGUAAUAAAUAUUUCAAUUCAUAAUUAUUUAAGAAGUCACUUAACAAUAAAAUAUUUUUUUAUUUAAUUGAUCAUGUCAUAUAACGUUAUCUAAACUCCUGACGAUAUUAUUAUUACUCACUUUUCUCAAAAAAACAUGACUAACGUUUAGAGAAAAGUCAUGCCUUUUAGAUAGAUAGAAUAUGAUUACAAGCUAUCCAUACUUUAUCUUACCAUGACAAAAUUGAUGGUGAUUAAAUCUAUUUUUAAAAUAGAUUUAAUGCACAAACAUGAUGACUUUUGCCAAAAAUUAGUUUCAGAAGAUAACUAAAUUAAGUUGCAAAGGAGCUUACUUCAAUUUCUAAGCUUUUCAAUCAUGAUUCCUCCAUGCCUUCCUCUGAUACCAUUUUGUUACGUGCCAACGUAAUUGACCUUGUAAUUGGUUUGUAUAAGGAAUGAAGCCCUUUCAAGAUCGUUUCUUUUGUGUCCAUAUUGUAGUAGACUAGUAGUCAAGUAAAUAAAGAGUGAAUAACUGAAUUUGGUCUAUUUCGAAGAAGACUAUGGCCUCCACACUACAAGAAAAUAGGCGAUAGAUAACGGGAAAUAACCGUCAUAAAAGGUGGUGUAUGACAGACAGUUUAUUCGUCAUCUAUGUCACUGUCAUUAAUUUAUGACAGAAUAUUUUCCGUCAUGAAUUCUUGAUGUUAUUUUACAAUCAUAUAUCCAUCACACAAUAUUUUAAUGAGAAAAAAUAAUUAAAUAAAAUUUGAAUUUAUUAAAAUUUUUGCUCUAUUUUUUAAUUUUUUGGCGGAAAAUUAAAUUGUCAUUUGUAAAUUUCUUAUUCAAUUUUGGUGGAAAAUUUUUUUAUGACAGACUUUAUGAUGUGUAUUUCCCAUCAUAAAGUUAAUUUUUUUAAAUUAUAUUGUGAUUAUAGUUUAUUUCUGAAUUCCUGUUUACAAAUUUAAUUAAUUAAUAAAAAAUGAAUAUUGUCAAAAAAUAAAAAAAUAAUAGUAACUAAAAUCCAUUCAAUCCAACAAAUUAAUUUCAAAAUAAAUACAUCUAAUAUUCAAUGUCAUUACCACUAAUACAUAAUAAAACAUCCCAAAUUAAAAAAAAGAAUGUCAAAAUAUAAAACAAUAGUUAAAUUCCAAUUAAAUUCCAAGAAAUGUAAUUCAAAUUCCGGACACCGAGCCAAGCUCCCCAGCAAAACUUCCAAAGAUUAAUGGAAAUAUUCCAAUAGCAAGACUUCCAGAAGCAAUACCCUCUUCCAGUGGCAAUACAUUGACUAAUCUUUGAAGCCAUGACUCCUCAAGCCAAUGCCAAAAAUGUGUGCAAAAUUAAUGCUCUAUCCACAAAAAUUUCAGUCUAUAUUGGUAAGAAGAAACAUGAAGAAACAAUUACCUCAGCAUCAUCGUCAUUGGAAGCCAAAUCAGCUGUAAAGACCACAAAAUGUUUGGUUAGAACUAGUGGAAGUCUUACUCUAAAACUUUUAAUUUUUGAAUUUCGAAAGAUCUAGUAAUGACAAAGAUUCUCAUAUCCAGUGACCAAGUUUUGAAAAUUAGAAUACGGAAUAACGUCAACUAAAUUCACUAAUAUAGGGUGCAUUUGAGAUUGAGGUUGGACAGCUGUAGCUUAAAAGCUACAGUAGUAAAGUGUUUGGUAAACACUAGUUGCUGUAAUUUAAAAACUAUGUUGAUAUGAUUUUUCACUUGUAUAAUGGAGAAUCUAUUUUUUUAAAUAAUUAUGUCAAAAUUAUUAUUUAAAAUUUAUAUUUACUACAUAUUAUUAAUUUUUGUUUCAUAGUCACAGUUUUUUUUCCACAGCAGUUGUAAAGCUACAUCACCUCAAUCCCAAACGCACCCUAAGCUAGAGGAAUCCCUAGUUGAUAUAGCACACAUGCACACAUGAUAUGCAUGCAUCAGAAUACACAAUAAUAAAUUAUCUCAAAGUCAAUAAGAAGCCAAAACUAGAGAUAAACCUUUAGCCACUAUAAGGAAGACUGAUAUUUGCAGUGUGAUUACAAUAAACAAACAGAAACUUCACUACCCAUAAGUAAAGCAAAAUAAAUAAAGGAUAAUAACUAACCAAGAAAUGGAAAAGCUCACAUUCUCUGAACACGCACCCCAAAAAGAAAGAAAGAAAUAAAUGUUCCCAUUGGAUCUGAAGCACAAGCAAUCCACUGACAUCCUUCUAUAAUUAGGUAAUUUAAAGGGGUUAAGCUCACAUCUUUUACGGAAGCAACAAGAGAAUUAACAACAUUCCAGAGGAUUUAGGGAAAAACCACGAGGCAAGAAAAAAGAAAGAUCCUUCUUCAAUCUAGAUAUCUUGACACUGCUCACCAUCUACAGCAGUCUGGGGCUUAAAAAGCAUGAUCUCUCCCCCCCUCUGGCACCAUUUUCUCUCAUGUGAAUCUGUCAUUGCCCGUAGAAACAAACCAGAACUGCAUAAAUUCUCUUAUCUUCCAGCAGCUUCUUUUCUCCAGAAAUAGGCACAACUAUUUGACAUGGAAACAAUUUAUCUAACAUGGCCACCUUUAAAGACAAAGACAUACUAAGGACAUGGUUUUAGAUACGGAUACAAGAAACAAUCACAAAAUGUAAAAUCUAUACAUAUGAUAUUAAUUUCCAAUGGAUACAGCACUUCAUUCUUUGACUUAACUUCAUUAGAUUACUAGGUUUGAUUAGGUUAUACACACAUUUAUUCAUUUAUGGUUUUCAACCUAUAAUCUACAUGCACUUAGAAUGAGAGGUACCUAUAAAAACAAGUUACCAGAAAACAAUACAGCUAGAAAACAUUAAAACAUUAAUCUAAGCAGUUCUAUAGGUUUAACUAACUGCAGGAAAAAACCGUUGAUUUUGUCCGUCGGAUUAUUGAGAUCCUAAUUCUGGUAAAAAGAAAAUGAGAUAAUAGAAAAUCAAAAAUUAAAUAGACACAAAAUGAGAAAUCAAGAUCAUACGGCAACUAAUAUAUAGCAUGGGCUGCAGCUAACAAGCAAUAUAAGCCAUGAUAUUAUGCCAGAUACAAAAUUUUGAGAUCCAAGAGAGAUCAAGAAGCAUGAAUAUUGAAAGAAGUGAGUGCAGAAGGAUAAGAAAUCAGGUUGAUAUUCUUCAUACUUUGGGUCAACACGUAGUGAUGCAAUAAACUUGUAAUUAGCUUCAAGUGUAUAGGCUACCAUGUCAACAUUUCCGAAAACACACAAGAUUGUGCUGGAUUCAUAUAUAGUACAUAUAUAAAAAAACAAUCUGCUUCUAAACUUCAUGAGAACAUCGAAUAAUGAACUUACAAUUUGAUCCCUCAUCAUCUUCAUCGCACCAUUUGUUCCAAUCAACCUUAAUGUAAGGUGCUGGUUUCUCUUCUGACUUGAGUAGCCUUUUCCACCAACCUUUCUCUUCUUUUUGCACCGAGCAUAUUAUGUUCCUUAAGCCAACUUUAGUCUUACAUUUCUGCACCACCAGCAACAAAAUUCAAAGCAUUACAAAAGAGGUAUAUUUAGCCGCUCUUGACUCGAGUGAGAGAACAGGAUAAACAGCCUAGGUAUAUCCACAUCCAUGUUAUGAGAUUAAUUAUGCAACAACUAACUUUAAUAUAAAGUUUGUGCUCCAACAAAGACUAAAAUGUUUGUAAUUGUUAUGCUUCCGGAGCUAAAAUGUUUCGCAAACACUCACUUUUACUCUGCAGCUAAUAUCUAGCACCCAGCCACACAAAGUCCGUAGUCUUUGUCUCAACUUUGUCUGAGGCCAAUGUAAAUCCAAUUUGCACAAGCUCUCUAUGCACCACAGCUCUUCUGGAAGCUUUCUCAAGUACGCACAAGGGUUGACAAUUAAGCUUUCAAGUUUUGGUAUUGCUCCAGCCCCCAUCGUCCACUCAUCUAGCCAAUACAUUGAUUUCAGGCGCAAAACCUUAAGUUCCGGAAAGCCACCCGAGCAAGCACAGGCCAGCUUUCUUCCUAAAUACAAGCUCUGCUUCAGUUUCAGCACUUGAAGGCGUGGAAGCUUUUUGAUAAGGAAAGGGAGCCACGGAGGUCAACAAAGGUUCAUAAGCCUAACUACAGAUACGAGGGCUUUGUUUGAACAUUCGUAAGUCUCAUGCAGCCAUGCAUGCGGUCAUGCAUGUUGCAUGCAAUACCAUGCAAGACUUAUUUACGCAUGGAUUAAAGAGUAGUCUGUUUCUAGUUUUUUAUUUAAGAUUGCUCAGUUAUUUAAAUUGAUUUUAGCCGUGAAUUGUGGCUACAAAUCCUUAGUAGUGUUUGUAUUAACUACUAUAAAUAAGCUCCAGCAAUUAAUAAAAGGAUUAUGCAAAAAAUUAUCUCAAAGUACUAUUCUUGGUCGUUUUCACCGUAAGUAGAACAACGUAAACUUAGCUAUUGUUGAACGUUUUUGAUUGGGACCUAUCACUUUUCCAGCCUUGGCAUGGGAUCCUCCAUUAGCUCAGUAUUUGAUAAGCUCAGUUGGGUCAGACUUGGAGGAAAUUGGUAUUCAGACAGGACCGUCCGUGAGAGCUUGCUUUCAUUCACCAGCUUCAAGCAUUCAAGUUUCUCUAGUUCGCAUAGGCUUUUGGAAAUCCCAGAUUGAUAGUAACUCAAAUCUCCAGACACUCUAAGAGUUUGAAGAUUAGGUAGUCUGCCCAAUAUAGCUGGAGUGCAACUACUAGGGUGUAAGGCUGAUAUGAAAAUGAGAUUUUUCAGAGAGCUGGAAUAAUUUUUUGGAGGCGCAGGCAGAGUGAUGCAACCGAAGUUUAAAUGCACGAGUUUUCGCAUCAUCCAAAUAUCCUCUGGUGAAUGAUCUAUGUAGCUUGAUGGCAUUUCUAGUGUUUGAAGGUUUAAAAGAGUGCAUAGCAGUGAAGGAAGGCAUUUGAGCGAGGGGAUAUUCAAUUUCAAAUACUUCAAAUGGAAAAAGUUUCUAAUCCGGGCGGAUAUUGGUCGAGAAUUGCAGAACCCAAGUUCAAUACCCCAAGGUGUUUGAACGUUUGACGAAAAUUCUCGCAAUCUAUCAGAGCGAGAUGAUCGCUUUCUGAACUGUGAUUCAGAAAAGAUUGGAGAUAGAUGUCAGGAUGUUCUAAAGAUAAAAACUGAAUCAGAUGUUCCAAAAUGAAGCACCGUUUAACAUUUGCCAGUGGUUCCUUUUCCCUUUCAUGCAUGCAGACAAAUUCCGUCUGCGCUGCCACCAAAAACAAUGGAGUACAUAAAAAACUUGGAACAUAACACGCUUUAAUUGUGCCUCCGGCUCUUCUCUUACUCACUUGAAUGAAGCCGCAAUAGAUUAGUUCUUUCAAAUAAUGCUCGGCAGUUUCUUCACUGUUGUAUGGUAUGAAACCUUCAGCUACCCACAAAUGAUAUAAUUGCCUCGUAGAUAUUUCAAUACUUGGACGAAAGACACACAAAUAGAUGCAGCAGACUUUCAAGUGAAAAGGUAACUCCAUCAAAGAAUAACUGUGUCUCUAAAUUGUCGGAAUCGCUACGCCUUGAACAUAAUUUUCUAAUGGCAUACUUCCAUAGUGUAGGAUGAAAAAUUGCCAGGCUUUAUGCUUUAAUCUGAUCAAUGGUCCUCCACUGAGCACUGAAUCAAACCGAAUCAUCUCUCCGUUUUCCAUGUCCAACAGCGUAAGGGGGCAUGGAUCAGUGACCAAUAUCAAUACUCUGCUUCCAUUCUGAUUGUCAGGAAGAACUUGUUCAAGAUCAUCCAAUACAUCGUCACUCUCUUCACAGUAAUCAUCAAGCACAAUAAAGUACUUCUUGUUUGUUAGGAAAUCUCGAAGAAUAGAUUUCUUCAAUUGAUAAUGUUCACCGAUAAUUACACUAACCCGAGAUGGAGGCAUCACAGACUUGAUUAUGUCAUCCAAUAUCUUGCCAAAAUCGUAGAGUACAGAAAUCCUGACCCAAGCAAGGCAGUCAGAGAAUUGCAACCACUGCAAGCCGAGGAUGUCCUUCAAUCAAUAAAUCAAACAACUCCUCUCUACCACUUUCAAAUUCGUUGAUAUCAAGCCGAGGUUUUCCCUCAAUCAAUAAGUGAAUGAGUUUGUCCCUUUGUUCAGUGAUUACGAAACCAUUGUCGCCGGGUGGAAGUUGUUGCAUCCGAUUUCUAAUAUCAAUAAUUUUACUGUGGAGUCCAACAAGAAGAGCCAUAUUAGUACUGCUUUCACUUUCUUCUUCACUGUUUUGCUGCUGCAUGAUGUUGAUGAAGAAUGUGUCAAUGGCUUCCUCAGAUUCAUGGACAAAGUCAUUGAUGUCCUUCACAAUUUCCAGAAUGUCUGAUCUUUUAACGUCUUCAUCGCUUUCUUGUAAAAAAGCCAAAUAUAUUUCGGAUUCAUCGAAUUCUCCUCUAAUGAGUUGAAACAAAAGCCGAGCCAUGUCAGCUUCAUAGUUUCCCACCAGAGUAGUAGCAAUGAUUUCUGACUCCGUAAGAAGGUUCUGAAAAAGUGGAGUCAAAUUUGUUCAAUCAGGCAACGUUAACGCGCCUUCUUCACCUGCUAGCACCCUUUUCAACCUCUCACAAAAUAGUCGGAGGUUCACGUCCACCAUAUCUCCUUCCCUCCGUAGCACUCAGAGAAGAUUGGUCCUAUCUCAAAGUGGUUAGUGCUGUAAAAUUAAACACCAUGGAAGAAUUUGAAAGGAAUAUGCCAAGAAACUGGCCAAGUGGCUAAAUUCCACAAAUAUGACAUUAUUGCUCAUUUUCUCUCAGACACGUGAUACACGUUGAUUUAGAGGAAAGUUCAAGAAUUUUGCUUUAAAAAAAAAAAUUGAUGGUGCUUAAAUUAUUAUUUUUUUAAUUUAAAGAGUUUUGCUUUUAAAAAAAAAUUAAUAUCAAAAUGCCUUCAAUGUUAUUACUGCCACAAGCCCAGUAACAAAACUCAUUAAAAAUUUUAGAAUUUCUGGCCAUGGAAAGAGUAGUAUUAAACAUCAGAAAGCAAAGGUUGUUCCGUUAAAGAAUUGAUGUUGACAUAAUUUUAUUUUGGUUUUCGGGAAAAAAAAAAUAUUUGUUGGCAAGCAAAGAAAAUAAUUUUAUACUUUACAAUCUGCUAUACAUAUUUUAUCAUAUUAAAGUAAUUUUAAUAUCUAUCAAAAAAAUAAAUUUAAUAAUAAUUGGAACAUAAUAUUACAAUAAAUAAAUUAAAAUUAUUUUAAAUAUUAGGAAAAAAAUAUUAUUAAUAGGAAGAUAUUUUGUUAAUUGUAAAAUCCUUUUAUUCCAAAUAUUUUAUUUAAAUUUUUUAUAAUAAAUAAAAAUAUAAAAUUAAAAUAAAUAUCAUAAUUUAAAUUUUUUAUAUUAAAAAUAUUUUAAUGUUAUUAGUCUACUACAUAAAUUAUAUUAUUUAUAUUAUAUUCGUAUUGAUUAAAAUCUUUUAAAGUUAAUUUUAUAGUUACUAUAUCCACAGGGUAUUAUAUUAUAUUUAAGAGUAAUUUUUUCAAAUUUUAGGAUUGCAGAUGUCCUUCUUCCGAUAAUUUAUUUCACUUUUGAGAGAAUCCAAUGAGAAAUAUGAUAAGAGAUGGUCAGUUUAAUGUUCUCUGCCUUUAUGGAAAAAAAGUAAAAAGUAAAAACUAUUCAAUUUUGUACUUUUUGUGUCCACCAAAUAAAUUUUACACAUUUAUGUUGUCAUAAAACGAAAAAAAAGGGUUUGCCAAAAAAUGGUACCAAGCAUACCUUUAAUGUCCCACGUGAUUUCUUAUUAAGCCCAUAUUAUAUAUAUUUAUACAUUUUAUUGCAUUAAACAUUUUUAUUAUAAAAGAAGUUGGUCCUUCCCCUAGUGAUAAAAGAUAAAUAUGAUAAUGUUUGAGAUGGGUUUAGUCUUUUAUAUUUGCUGAGUCCAGUGGGUUAAAGAAUUAGAGUAAAGCAUCUGGGCAUUCUUUCAUGCAAAACUAAAAAUCCUGAAAAUAGUUGGCUUUAACUGAUUAAGACAAGCUUGGUCGAAUUGAGUUGAACUUCAUAUAUAAAAGCCAAAUAUAUUGCGGAUUCAUCGAAUUCUUCUCUAAUGAGUUGAAACAAAAGCCGAGCCAUGUCAGCUUCAUAGUUUCCCACCAGAGUAGUAGCAAUGAUUUCUGACUCCGUAAGAAGGUUUUGAAAAAGUGGAGUCAAAUUUGUUAAAUCAGGCAACGUUAACGCGCCUUCUUCACCUGCUAACACCCUUUUCAACCUCUCACAAAAUAGUCGGAGGUUCACGUCCAGCAUAUCUCCUUCUCUCCGAGAAACUGUGUAAGUGGCUAAAUUCCAGAAAUAUGACAUUAUUGCUAUUUUUUUAACUCAAAAAAAUGGUACGCGUUCAUUUAGAGAAAAGUUCAAGACGCGCGCCUUUUGAAAAAUGGUACCCGUUCAUGUAGAGAAAAGAACAGGUAUCCCAAUCGGUAUCCAACCUUUAUCUUCUUUAAUUACCACCACGACAUGAUUUUUUUUUUUUUUUUUUGAUGACAUGAGACUAUUGCUUAAAUUACAACUCAAAUUACAACUCAUAUUACAUGAGAGUAUAAUUGAUAUGUACAAUCAUAUAUACAUACUGAGAUCUAUUGACAUUAAUGCUGAUAUGACACUGCUCAGAUUUUUGUAACCCUCUCAAAUAUUCGAGGGACGUCAAACUCCUAUCCUGGGAGAAAGACUGCCUUCACUCGAGCUCUGUGGCUCCAAGGAAGGAAAUAUAAAUUAAACCUCUACAAUGCGACUGCGGAGGCUCGAACCCCUUCCCUCACAUAUGUGAGGGAGUGGCUCUAGCCACUUGGGCUAGCCCAAGUGGUUCCACGACAUGAUUGAUGGUGCUUAAAUCAAUUGUUUCUUUUUUAAUUUAAAGAAAUUUUCAUUAAAAAAAUAUUUUAAUAUCAAAUACCCUUCAAUGGCAUAACUGCCGCAAUCCCAGAAACAGGAUUAAAUAUUUUUUUUUUUUUGAAUUUUUGGGCAUGGAAAGAGCAGUAUUAAAAAUCAGAAAGCUAAGGUCGUUCUGUUAAAGAAUUGAUAUUGACAUAAUUUUUUUUUGGUUUUCGGGGGAAAAAAAAAAUUGUUGACAAGCAAGAAAAUAUUUUUAUAUUUUACAAUUUAUUAUACAUAUUUUUUUUUUUUGGAUCAAUAAUGGGCUCUAAAAGAGCUAAAGCACCAGUAAACGGGAGUGGGCAACCCCAGACACAUCGUUAUGAAGAAUACUCUGUAAAUUAGGAGGAGCAACAGUAAGUAACUGCAAUCCUAAAGGACAAGACAAAUUAAAUGAGGCCAGAAAAUCUGCUGCUAUGUUUGCUUCUCGAUAGAUGUGGUUCACUUUCACGACCCAGUCCCUGCUGAUCAGCUCACGAAUGGCAAGGAUAAGAGAAUGAUGCUCAUUAACAGGAGUGGUCGGAUUCUCCAAGAUUUGAGAUUUAUUAUACAUAUUUUAUCUUAUUAAAGUAAUUUUAAUAAUAAAUAGAAACAUAAUAUUACCAUAAAUAAAUUAAAGUUUAACUUAUUUUGAAUAUUAUAAAAAAUAAUUUUAAUAUUAUUAAUAGGAGGACAUUGUAUUAAUUUUAAAAUUUUUUAACCCAAAGGUUUAUUUAAAAUCUUUAUUAUAAAUACAAAUAUAAAAUUAAAUAUAAUAAUUUAAAAUUUUUAAUAUUAUUUUAAAUAUUAAAAAUAUUUUAAUGUUAUUAGUCUACUACAUAGAUCAUAUUACUUAUAUAAUAUUUGUAUUAUUAAAAAUUCUUAAAAUCAAAUUUUUAGUUAGUAUAUUUAUGAGGUAUUAUGGUUAAAAAAAAAACCUUAUUAUUACUUUUUAAAACAUUGAGGGCCUGCGUGAUAAUUUUUUCAAAAAGAAAAUGCUUGGUAUCUAGGAGGGUUAGAGAAACAGGACUACCAAAAUCUCUCACCCUUUUUUAAUUAAAAAAAAUUAAAAUAUCAAUAAAAAAAAUAAAGAAAAUAGAAUUUUAUCUGCUCCUUACUCCAUUUUUGUAACUCUCUCACCAUCUCUGUCGAGCAGCCCUCUCUUUCACUGUCUCUCACUAUUUCACAAUCUCUCUCUCACUCACACAGUCCUUUAGAAAAGCCCAAAAUAGGCCCAAUAAGCCCAUAAUUAAAAUAAUCGAAUCGAAUUAUUUCAAUUAAUCGAGUAUUUGAUUAUUUCGGUAAUUUGAUUAAUCGCGAUUAUGAUUUUAAAAUAAUCGUAAUCGAACGAUUAUGAAAAAUUUAGUAAAAAACCGAAUUGAACCGAACCGCACCCACCCCUACAUAAAAGAACAACAAUUACUUGUCAUUUUCAAUUUUUUCUAUAAGCUAUUUAUUUUGAGCAUUAGUGAUCUUGUCUGGACUACUCCAAUUAUUGACGUAACUCCAGUGGCUGCAUCCACUGGAAAAAGUGGAUGAGAACAUUUUUUUUUUUCAUAAAGGUAACUACUCCAAUUAUUGACAUAAUUGAUGGUGCUUAAAUCAAUUUUUUUUUUUAAUUUAAAGAAUUUUGCUUUAAAAAAUAAUUAAUAUCAAAAUGCCUUCAAUGUUGUUACCGCCACAAGCCCAGUUAGAGGACUCAUUAAAAAUUUUAGAAUUUUUAGGCCUGGAAAGCGUAGUAUUAAACAUCAGAAAGCAAAGGUUGUUAUGUCGAAGAAUUGAUGUCGACAAAAUUUUAUUUUAGUUUUCGGAAAAAAAAAAAAAUUUGUUGACAAGCAAGAAAAUAUUUUUUAUACUUUACAAUCUGCUAUACAUAUUUUAUCAUAUUAAAGUAAUUUUAAUAAUAUAUGGAAACAUAAUAUUAUAAUAAAUAAAUUAAAAUUACUUUGAAUUAUUGAAUAUUACAAAAAGAUAAUUUUAAUAUUAUUAAUAGGAAAACAUUUUUAAUUGUAAAAUCUUUUUAAUACAAAAAUUCAUUUAAAAUCUUUAUAAUAAAUACAAAUAUAAAAUUAAAAAAAUAUCAUAAUUUAAAUUUUUUAAAAUUAUUUAAAUAUUAAAAAUACUUUAAUAUUAUUAGUCUACUACAUAAAAUAUAUUAUUUAUAUUAUAUUCGUAUUGAUUAAAACGUUUUAAAGUCAAAUUUUUAAUUAGUGUAUUCAAAGAUACAAAAGAUUUUAGUAUUAUUUUUAAAAAAUUUCAGGAUAUGAAUGAUAAUUUUUUCAAAUUUUAAAGAUGUAAGAAUCUUUUUUUCUGAUAAUUUAUUUCACUUUUGAGAGAAUCCGAAAACGUUAAUUUAACAUUCUUUACCUUUGUGAAAAAAGUGAAAAUCAAGAACUAUUCAAUUUUGUUUUUAUUUGUAAUUCAAAAACUUUAUUCAUUUUCGAUGCUUUUCAAAAGAGACUCCUCUAAAUCCUUUUGGUGUCUGCAGCUCCUGCAAUUCUCAUAAAUCUCCAUCCCACAUCUACACUAUCAAACAAGUUGAUGGAAAUUCUUAUCAAAAAAAAAAAAAAAAACAAGUCGAUGGAAAUUGAUCAAUUACUUUUUGAAGUGGACCCAUUGAGUCAUGUUCAUUUCUGGUCAUUGUCUACUCUUUCCAUCAGCCAUUUAUUUUGACCAUUUGCGAUCUUAAAGGAUAUGAGAACGUAGCUGAAGUGCUGAAGGGGCUAUUAAAGAAGAGUGUCACUUGAUCACAAUCACAUUGAUGCACAACUCACUCGUGGCAAAUUUCGACUAUACGUUCUGCAAAUUCAGCCAAACCAUACAUGCAUGAACAAAACUAAAAUGUAGUUCUAAUCACAACUGCAGUUAUAAUGUUUACCCCUCUGAUUUUUCUCCAAAACAAAUUCAGUUCAAAACAAUAAUUAAAUAGCCACAUUUUGUUCGUCAAAAUAAAUGCCCAAAUUUUCAAUUAACAAAUCAUCUUCUCUAAACUAAAAAUCCCACAUCUCUAAAAUCAAUCUACAUAAUGUUGGAGAUGAGGGGUGAAUUGUUAACUCAGUAAAAAAAACUCAUGCAUAAUAUUACUAAUAAUAUAAAAUAUAUAUUAAUCAUUAUAAAGAAUCAUAAUUAGAAAAAUUAAUCAUUUUAUAAUUUAUUACACAAGUAAGAUAAAUCUCAUAAUAAGUUAUAACAUAAAAAAAACGUUAUCAAUAUAUAAUCAUUUAAGAAGUCAUUUAACAAUAAAAUCGUUCUUUAAUCAGUUGGUCAUGUCACAUAGUGUCAUCUAUAUUUACGGUGAUAAUAUUAUUACUCAGUAUUAUCAAAAAACAUGAUUUAACAUUUAGAGGAAAUUCUUGCCUUUUAAAAAAAACAUGUAUGCAACAACUACCCAUGCUUUAUCUUACCAUGACAAAUAUUUUCUCAAUGAAAGAAAAUUUUUUAAAAAUUGAUUUAAUGCACAAAUAUGAUGAUUUUUCCAAAAAUUAGUUUUGGAAAACAUAGUGAGAGAAAAUAGUGACGAUUAUUGUUUAGAUGUAUAAAUAGCCUAAACAUAAUCCUUAAUACCAAUAUCCUAAUGCAUCUUAUCAUCUUUCAUGAUAUUCUUUCAUUUAUGUCCAUUGGUUCAAGAUUUGAAUUUGAUCAUUAAAUCAUGUUCAAUAAUAUUAGAGAUUCUAACAAAUGAGUACCAACUUAAAUCCCAAUGUUAUGUGUCAUUGACCAAUUUUGUGUCAUUUUGUUAUUAACUAGGUGAUGAAUUUGUAGUUGAUAAAAUCACUUAAAAAUAUCUUAAAAAUCAAACAAUAGUUUGCUUAAUUUUUCCAAGUUAACUGCUCAAGAUGCUCUAUUAUAAAUAAUAACCUAAUUAUAUUCAUAAAAAAUGAUAUUUUUUUUGUGGUGUUGAUAAUGAGAUUAUCAUUCAACAUUUUAAAAUGUGAAAACAUAUGGAAGAUGGUUGUAAAUUGAUUGAAUGAAAACAUUUCAGUGAAGUCUCAAAAAUUUGGUACUUGUUGUCUUAUCGAAAGUUUUCUAAAUUAUAUUCGUGGCACAGCCACUAUCCAAACCAUACAAGUCCAAAGCUAUCCAAACCAUACCUGCAAGUCCGGGGCUUAAAUGGAGUACUUCUAAGCAAAAAAACAUUGACUAAAAUAGAAUAUAUACAUACAGACACACAUACAUACCAGCAUAUUCAAAAUAGCAAAAGGAGUGCAAAAGUUCAAGUUUGUAGACAACAUUGCAACCAUAGCAUGUUUAUAGCAAAUCCUCAAAAUCUGCUAAAUAAAACAAUGCCCUGUCUCAUGAAUCAAUGCUGAAUUAAAAUUGAAACUGAAAGUCUGGAUGGUUUUGUUUGUUGAGAAUGUCAAAUAAAACGGCAUUGAAGGAAGUUUUCAAAGGCAGAAUCCGCACUUGUCAAAGGGAUGAUCUGCACUUGUCAAAGACACUAUCCGCGCCGAACGGAUCGACACAUUUCCUUCCGUAUUCACAUAUGUAAUCUUUGAAAAAAUAUAGCUUCUGCAUCUAUAAAUAACGCUCAGUGUAUAAUGUUUUAUUCAAGAAAUAAAAACAAGUUUCUACAUGGUAUCAGAGCCAUGAAUGCGCUCAAGUUUCUUCAAGUUUCGCUGCUCUGUUUGUCACAAAAACAGAGGAAACCAAUUAAAUUCGUCCCACAACCAUUUUUUCCACCAUUUUCUUCCUUAAAAUCAUUCCUAACAUUACAGAAAUCCAUGCCGAUCAAAAAACAUGAAAGACAAAUUACACAUGUGCAGUAACCAAUGAUCAUAUUUCGUUACUGUCAAACACAAUGCAUCUGAGCAAAACAUUGGAAGCCAACACCAGAAUACAUAUGAAUAAACAAUUAAAGAUAGAGAAAAAAGGCUUAAACCUUGGGGGGAAAAAGUGAAAAAACAUGAAAGACAAAUUACACAUGUGCAGUAGCCAUCGAACUUAUCAGUGACAGCUGCAUCCAUUACAUUGCUCCAACAACACAAUGGCAAACCACCAGUUUCAAAUUGAGGAUAGCUAUCGAGAAUGAGAAAGUGUCCAAAACGUCAUAAAUAGACAUGUUCCGAUUGUGCAUAAUUUACAUUAUAGGCAAAUAUUCUUAUACCAUCAAAGGCAAAACAUGACACUAACAAUUGAUCACCCCCCCCCCCCCCCCCCCAACAACAAAAAAAAGGAAAAAAACAAUACAGAAAAGAUUGAAACAGAUAAGGCUACACUGAGCACAGGAUGCCAUGAAACAUAAUCCAGGAACCAAAUUAAUAAAAAAGGAAGCCAAACCAUUAUUUAACAAUCUGUUUUGUAUUUGGGAAAGUCUGAUAAAAUCUACUUGGGGAUAAUUAGAGAACCUCAACUAUUAAUCACACCUCAUAAAUGAACUAACAUUAAACAUCUACCAUCCCAACGUCACACAAACAUUCUCUACACUUCUGAACCUAAUACUUCCAUCUUCAAUUGGGGUUUUUUUUUCUUUUUCUUUGGGGGGGGGGGGGGGGGGGAUUGAAAUGCUGAUUUCGAAUCACUAACAGUAAAAUUGGAAGCUCAUGAAAAAAUAGUUUUAUCUCAAAAUUACAUCUCGAUAUAAAUUCUCUUUUCAUUUCCUUCAACUUUCUAAUUAAGCUUAAAAAAUGUACCUUCAACCACAAAGGGGUUUAAAAUUUAAAAUAUAAAAAAUAAAUUCAGAUAACAAUAAUUAAUUUAAUUAAAAAUAUAAAUAGAGUUACAGAGAAAGAGAAAAUAGAGAAAGACGUAAUGUUGAGUCCUUUGGCGCAAGUCUCUUCAUAGGUCCGAACCAUUUCUUCGGGCGUGGGUUUCGGGUCUUUAGGAUACUCCAUAGUGAUAAGCCAGUGAUUGUAAUCGCAACCCUCGAACAGAAUCGUGUCGGGUGUGAUCUCGUCGCCGUCCUUAUACAAGUGGUACGUCUUGUUAACCGACGGCGUAGACGAGAGGGAGAUCGUCGGGGACGAUCUGAACGGCCGAGAUUGGAUAAUGAUGGAGGAGGAGAAGAUUAGCGAUGACGACGCCGAUGAAAUGGAAGGGUUUACCAGAGGAGUGGAUGCGAAGAAUGCAGGGACGGCCGCAAAGAGAGAGCGGCGGAGAGCGGCGACGGACGGUAGUGACCAGCGGAGGCGGAAAAUGGCGGUAUGGGCCAUUGCUUGCGCGUCGGUGAGUGUCUCGAGUGAGAGAGUGAAGGGUUUUGGGAAAUGAAAAAUGCAAAUGUUUGAUUUUGUUGCUAGAAACUUCUUCUGCCGCUGCCUUUUAUUUUCGCUAUAAUAAUAAUAAUUUGUUAAUCAAAUAUUUUCUUAAAAAAGAUAAAUUUCUACAACAAAAUUUAUAUUAAAUCAAAUUGUAAAAAUGUCUAUUAGGGUUAAUUUCUCCUUAAUAUUAUUAUUAGUAGAUGUAGAUUUUCGAAUUAGUCUUGAUAUAUUUCAGAGUUGUAUUAUAAAUGUAUAUGUAUCUGGAUUGCAAUUAUAUUUUUAAAAAAUAUAAUUUUUUUAAUUAUUGCACAAUAAAUGUAAAUAGUAUCUAUAAAAUAAUAUUAUUAGGACUACGAAAAAAAUAUUAUUUUAGAGAAGUUAUUUAUUUAUUAUUGAAUGAAUAAAAAAAUUAGUUUGGCAUUUUUAUAACCUCCUUGAAGGUUUUACGAUAAACAUAAAUCUACUGAGAAAGUGGGAAAAAAAAAAGAAAAUGCAUAUAAAAGUAUGAGUUAUCAGAUAAGAUUAAAACUCACCCAAUUCAAUCCAUCAGAUUCCGUAAGGAUAUAACUGGAUGUCAUACCGCCACUCCAUAUCCUCGAAAGUCCGUAGUCCUUGUCUCAACUGUGUCUGAGGCCAGUGUAAGUCCAAUUUGCGCAAGCUCUUUAUGCACCACAGCUCUUCUGGAAGCUUUCUCAAGUAAGCACAUGGGUUGACAAUUAAGCUUUCAAGUUUCGGCAUUGCUCCAGCCCCCAUCGUCCACUCAUCUAGCCAAUACAUUGAUUUCAGGUGCAAAACCUUAAGUUCGGGAAAGCUACUCAAGCCAACACAAGCAAGCUUUCUUCCUAAAUACGAGUUCUGCUUCAGUUUCAGCACUCGAAGGCGUGGAAGAUUUUCCAGAAUUGGCAUGGGAUCCUCCAUUAGCUCAGUAUUUGAUAAGCUCAGUUGGAUCAGACUUGGGGGAAAUUGGUAUUCAGACAGGACCAUCCGUGAGGGCUUGCUCUCAUUCACCAGCUUCAAGCAUUCAAGUUUGUGGAGUUCGCAAAGGCUUUUGGAAACCCCAGAUUGAUAGUAACUCAAAUCUCCAGAUAUCCGAAGAGUCUGAACACUAGGUAGUCUGCCCAAUAUAUCAGGAGUACAACUGCUACGGUUUAAAGCUGAUAUGAAAAUGAGAUUUUUCAGAGAGCUAGAAUAAUUUUUUGGAGGUGCGGGCAGAGUGAUAGAACCAAAGUUUAGAUGCAUGAGUUUUUGCAUCAUCCAAAUAUCCUCUGGUGACUGAUCUAUGUAGCUAAAUGGCAUUUCUAGUGUUUCAAGGUUUAAAAGGGUGCAUAGCAGUGAAGGAAGACAUUUGAGCGAAGGGAUAUUCAAUUUCAAAUACUUCAAAAGAUAUAAAUUUUCUAAUCCGGGCGGAUAUUGGUCCAGGACUGCAGAACCCAUGUUCAAUACCCGAAGGUGUUUGAACUUUUUACAAAAAUUCUCGCAAUCUAUCAGAGCGAGACGAUCGCUUUCUGAACUGUGAUUCAGAAAAGAUUGGAGACGCAUGUCAGAAUAUUCUAAAGGAAAGAAGUCAAUCAGACGUUCCACAAUGAAGCACCGUUUAACAUUUGCCACUGAUUCCUCUUCCAUGUCAGGCGUCCAGACAAAUCCCGCCUUCUUUGCCAGAAAAUACAAUGAAGUGUAUACAAAACUUGGAACAUAACACGCUUUAAUUGUGCCGCCGGCGCUUCUCUUACUCACUUGAAUGAAGCCGCGAUGGAUUAGUUCUUUCAAGAAAUGGUCGGCAGUUUCUUCACCGUUGUAUGGUACGAAACCUUCAGCUACCCACAACUGAUGUAAUUGCCUCCUGGAUAUCUCAAUACUUGGAGGGAAGACACACAAAUAGAUGAAGCAGACUUUCAAAUGAAAAGGUAACUCCAUCACAGAAAAAAUUUGUCUCCAAACUGUCGGAAUCGCUUCGCCUUGAAGAUAAUUUUCUAAUGGCAUACUUCCAUAGUGUAGGAUGAAAAAUUGCCAGGCUUCAUGCUUUAAUCUGAUCAAUGGUCCUCCAAAGAGCACUGAAUCACGCCGAAUCUUCUCUCCGUUUUCCAUUUCCAACGACGCAAGGAGGUCUGGAUUAGUGACUGUUAUCAAUACUCUGCUUCCAUUCUGCUUAUCAGGAAGAACUUCUUCAAGAUCAUCCCAUAUGUCACUGUCAUUGAAGACAUCAUCAAGCACAAUAAAGUACUUCUUGUUUGUCAGGUAAUCUCGAAGAAUAGAUUUCUUCAAGCGAUAAUCUUCACUGAUAAUUACCCUAGCCCGAGAUGGAGGCAUCAAAGAAUUGAUUAUGUCAUCCAAUAUCUUGCCAAAAUCGUAGGCUAUAGAAACCCUGACCCAAGAAAGACAGUCAAAAUAGAACUUGACAUGGUUAUUAUUGUAAGUAUCUGCAGCAAAAGCAGUCUUAUCGAAGCCACUGCUGUCGAGAAUUGCAACCACUGAAAGCCCAGAUGGUCCCUCAAUCAAUAGAUCAAAAAACUUCUCUCUGCCCCUUUCAAAUUCACUGAUAUCGAGCCGAGGUUGUCCCUCAUUCAAUAGGCGAAUGAUUUCGUUACUUUUUUCACUGAUAUCAAAACCAUUGUCGCCGGGUGGAAGUUGUUGCAUCCGAUUUCUAAUAUCAAUGAUUUUAGUGUGGAGUCCAACAAGAAGAGCCAUAUCAGUACUGCUUUCACUUUCGUUUUCACUGUUUUGCUGCUGCAUUAUGUUGAUGAAGAAUCUGUCAAUGGCUUCCUCAGAUUCAUGGACAACGGGAUUGAUGUCCUCCAGAAUUUCCAAAAUAUCUGCUGUUUCAACGUCUUCUUUAUCGCUUUCUUCUAAGUCCAACAGUUGCAAAAAAGGCAAUGAUAUUUUGGAGUCAUCGAAUUCUUCUCUAAUGAGUUGAAACAAAUGCCGAGCCAUGUCAGCUUCAUAUUUUCCCAGCAGAGUAGUAGCAAUAAUUUCGGACUCCGUAAGAAGGUUUUGAAAAAGUGGAGUUAAAUUUGUUGAAUCAGGCAAAGUUAACGUGCCUUCUUCACCUGCUAACACCCUUUUCAACCUCACACAAAACAGUCGGAGGUGGAGUUCCAGCAUAUCUCCUUCUCUCCGCAGCACUCAGAGGUAUAGUUGAAAGAUUAAACACCAUGGAAGAAUUUGAAAGGAAUAUGCCAAGAAACUGUGUAAGUGGCUAAAUUCCACAAAUGCGGCAUUAUUGCUCAUUUUUAACUCAAAAAAUUGAUACGCGUUCAUUUAGAGAAAAGUCCAAGACGCGUGCCUUUUGAAAAGAACAGGUAUCCCAAUCGGUAUCCAACCUCUAUCUUAUUUAAUUACUAUCAUGACAUAAUUGAUGGUGCUUAAAUCAAUUGUUUCUUUUUUAAUUUAAAGAAUUUUUCAUUAAAAAAAUAUUUUAAUAUCAAAUUGCCUUCAGUGGCGUAACUGCCUCAAGCCCAGUAACAGGACUAAUUAAAGAUUUUACAAUUUUUGGGCAUGGAAAUAGUAGUAUUAAAUAUUAGAAAGGUGAGGUUGUUCUGUUAAAGAAUUGAUCUUGACAUAAUUUUAUUUUGGUUUUCGUGGAAAAAUAAAAUUUGUUGACAAGCAAGAAAAUAUUUUUAUAUUUUAAAAUUUAUUAUGCAUAUUUUAUCAUAUUAAAGUAGUUUUAAUAAUAAAUAGAAACAUAAUAUUACGAUAAAUAAAUUAAAAUUUAACUUAUUUUGAAUAUUAUAAAAAAAAUUUUAAUAUUAUUAAUAGGAAGACAUUGUAUUAAUUUUAAAAUUUUUUAACCCAAAGGUUUAUUUAAAAUCUUUAUUAUAAAUACAAAUAUAAAAUUAAAUAUCAUAAUUUAAAAAUUUUAAUAUUAUUUUAAGUAUUAAAAAUAUUUUAAUGUUAUUAGUCUACUACAUAGAUCAUAUUACUUAUAUAAUAUUUGUAUUAUUAAAAAUUCUUAAAAUCAAAUUUUUAGUUAGUAUAUUCAUGAGGUAUUAUGGUUAAAAAAAAAAAAGACCUUAUUAUUACUUUUUAAAAAAUUGAGGGUCUGCGUGAUAAUUUUUUCAAAAAGAAAAUGCUUGGUAUGUAGGAGGGGUAGAGAAACAGGACUCCCAAAAUCUCUCACCCUUCUUUAAUUAAAAAUAAAUAAAAUAUUAAUAAAAAAUAAUAAAGAAAAUAGAAUUUUAUCUGCUCCUUACUCCAUUUUUGUAACUCUCUCACCAUCUCUGUCGAGCAGCCCUCUCUUUCGUUGUCUCUCACUAUUUCACGAUCUCUCUCUCACUCACACAGUCCUUUAAAAAAGCCCAAAAUAGGCCCAAUAAGCCCAUAAUUAAAAUAAUCGAAUCGAAUUAUUUUAAUUAAUCGAGUAUUUGAUUAUUUCGGUAAUUUAAUUAAUCGCAAUUAUGAUUUUAAAAUAAUCGUAAUCGAACGAUUAUGAAAAAUUUAGUAAAAAAACCGAACUGAACCGAACCGCACCCACCCCUACAUAAAAGAACAUCAAUUACUUGUCAUUUUCAAUUUUUUCUAUAAGCUAUUUAUUUUGAGCAUUAGUGAUCUUGUCUGGACUACUCCAAUUAUUGACGUAACUCCAGUGGCUGCAUCCACUGGAAAAAGUGGAUGAUAACAUUUUUUUUUUUUUCAUAAAGGUAACUACUCCAAUUAUUGACAUAAUUGAUGGUGCUUAAAUCAAUUUUUUUUUUAAUUUAAAGAAUUUUGCUUUAAAAAAUAAUUAAUAUCAAAAUGCCUUCAAUGUUGUUACCGCCACAAGCCCAGUUAGAGGACUCAUUAAAACUUUUAGAAUUUUUAGGCCUGGAAAGCAUAGUAUUAAACAUCAGAAAGCAAAGGUUGUUAUGUCGAAGAAUUGAUGUCGACAAAAUUUUAUUUUAGUUUUCGGAAAAAAAAAAUUUGUUGACAAGCAAGAAAAUAUUUUUUAUACUUUACAAUCUGCUAUACAUAUUUUAUCAUAUUAAAGUAAUUUUAAUAAUAUAUGGAAACAUAAUAUUAUAAUAAAUAAAUUAAAAUUAAAAUUACUUUGAAUUAUUAAAUAUUACAAAAAGAUAAUUUUAAUAUUAUUAAUAGGAAAACAUUUUUAAUUGUAAAAUCUUUUUAAUACAAAAAUUCAUUUAAAAUCUUUAUAAUAAAUACAAAUAUAAAAUUAAAAAUAUCAUAAUUUAAAAUUUUUAAUAUUAUUUUAAUAUUAAAAAUACUUUAAUAUUAUUAGUCUACUACAUAAAAUAUAUUAUUUAUAUUAUAUUCGUAUUGAUUAAAACGUUUUAAAGUCAAAUUUUUAAUUAUUGUAUUCAAAGGUACAAAAGAUUUUAGUAUUAUUUUUUAAAAAUUUUAGGAUAUGAAUGAUAAUUUUUUCGAAUUUUAAAGAUGUAAGAAUCUUUUUUUCUAAUAAUUUAUUUCACUUUUGAGAGAAUCCGAAAACGUUAAUUUAACAUUCUUUACCUUUGUGAAAAAAGUGAAAAUCAAGAACUAUUCAAUUUUGUUUUUAUUUGUAAUUCAAAAACUUUAUUCAUUUUCGAUGCUUUUCGAAAGAGAUUCCGUUAAAUCCUUUUGGUGUCGGCAGCUCCUGCUAUUCUCAUAAAUCUCCAUUCCACAUCUACACUAUCAAACAAGUUGAUGGAAAUUCUUAUAAAAAAAAAACAAGUCGAUGGAAAUUGAUCAAUUACUUUUUGAAGUGGACCCAUUGAGUCAUGUUCAUUUCUGGUCAUUGUCUACUCUUUCCAUCAGCCAUUUAUUUUGACCAUUUGCGAUCUUAAAGGAUAUGAGAACGUAGCUGAAGUGCUGAAGGGGCUAUUAAAGAAGAGUGUCACUUGAUCACAAUCACAUUGAUGCACAACUCACUCGUGGCAAAUUUCGACUAUACGUUCUGCAAAUUCAGCCAAACCAUACGUGCAUGAACAAAACUAAAAUGUAGUUCUAAUCACAACUCCAGUUAUGAUGUUUACCCCUCUGAUUUUUCUCCAAAACAAAUUCAGUUCAAAACAAUAAUCAAAAUAGCCACAUUUUGUUCGUCAAAAUAAAUGCCCAAAUUUUCAAUUAACAAAUCAUCUUCUCUAAACUAAAAAUCCCACAUCUCUAAAAUCAAUCUACAUAAUGUUGGAGAUGAGGGGUGAAUUGUUAACUCAGUAAAAAAAACUCAUGCAUAAUAUUACUAAUAAUAUAAAAUAUAUAUUAAUCAUUAUAAAGAAUCAUAAUUAGAAAAAUUAAUCAUUUUAUAAUUUAUUACACAAGUAAGAUAAAUCUCAUAAUAAGUUAUAACAUAAAAAAAACGUUAUCAAUAUAUAAUCAUUUAAGAAGUCAUUUAACAAUAAAAUCGUUCUUUAAUCAGUUGGUCAUGUCACAUAGUGUCAUCUAUAUUUACGGUGAUAAUAUUAUUACUCAGUAUUAUCAAAAAACAUGAUUUAACAUUUAGAGGAAAUUCUUGCCUUUUAAAAAAAAACAUGUAUGCAACAGCUACCCAUGCUUUAUCUUACCAUGACAAAUAUUUUCUCAAUGAAAGAAAAUUUUUUAAAAAUUGAUUUAAUGCACAAAUAUGAUGAUUUUUCCAAAAAUUAGUUUUGGAAAACAUAGUGAGAGAAAAUAGUGACGAUUAUUGUUUAGAUGUAUAAAUAGCCUAAACAUAAUCCUUAAUACCAAUAUCCUAAUGCAUCUUAUCAUCUUUCAUGAUAUUCUUUCAUUUAUGUCCAUUGGUUCAAGAUUUGAAUUUGAUCAUUAAAUCAUGUUCAAUAAUAUUAGAGAUUCUAACAAAUGAGUACCAACUUAAAUCCCAAUGUUAUGUGUCAUUGACCAAUUUUGUGUCAUUUUGUUAUUAACUAGGUGAUGAAUUUGUAGUUGAUAAAAUCACUUAAAAAUAUCUUAAAAAUCAAACAAUAGUUUGCUUAAUUUUUCCAAGUUAACUGCUCAAGAUGCUCUAUUAUAAAUAAUAACCUAAUUAUAUUCAUAAAAAAUGAUAUUUUUUUUGUGGUGUUGAUAAUGAGAUUAUCAUUCAACAUUUUAAAAUGUGAAAACAUAUGGAAGAUGGUUGUAAAUUGAUUGAAUGAAAACAUUUCAGUGAAGUCUCAAAAAUUUGGUACUUGUUGUCUUAUCGAAAGUUUUCUAAAUUAUAUUCGUGGCACAGCCACUAUCCAAACCAUACAAGUCCAAAGCUAUCCAAACCAUACCUGCAAGUCCGGGGCUUAAAUGGAGUACUUCUAAGCAAAAAAACAUUGACUAAAAUAGAAUAUAUACAUACAGACACACAUACAUACCAGCAUAUUCAAAAUAGCAAAAGGAGUGCAAAAGUUCAAGUUUGUAGACAACAUUGCAACCAUAGCAUGUUUAUAGCAAAUCCUCAAAAUCUGCUAAAUAAAACAAUGCCCUGUCUCAUGAAUCAAUGCUGAAUUAAAAUUGAAACUGAAAGUCUGGAUGGUUUUGUUUGUUGAGAAUGUCAAAUAAAACGGCAUUGAAGGAAGUUUUCAAAGGCAGAAUCCGCACUUGUCAAAGGGAUGACCUGCACUUGUCAAAGACACGAUCCGCGCCGAACGGAUCGACACAUUUCCUUCCGUAUUCACAUAUGUAAACUUUGAAAAAAUAUAGCUUCUGCAUCUAUAAAUAACGCUCAGUGUAUAAUGUUUUAUUCAAGAAAUAAAAACAAGUUUCUACAUGGUAUCAGAGCCAUGAAUGCGCUCAAGUUUCUUCAAGUUUCGCUGCUCUGUUUGUCACAAAAACAGAGGAAACCAAUUAAAUUCGUCCCACAACCAUUUUUUCCACCAUUUUCUUCCUUAAAAUCAUUCCUAACAUUACAGAAAUCCAUGCCGAUCAAAAACAUGAAAGACAAAUUACACAUGUGCAGUAACCAAUGAUCAUAUUUUGUUACUGUCAAACACAAUGCAUCUGAGCAAAACAUUGGAAGCCAACACCAGAAUACAUAUGAAUAAACAAUUAAAGAUAGAGAAAAAAGGCUUAAACCUUGGGGGAAAAAGUGAAAAAACAUGAAAGACAAAUUACACAUGUGCAGUAACCAUCGAACUUAUCAGUGACAGCUGCAUCUAUUACAUUGCUCCAACAACACAAGGGCAAACCACCAGUUUCAAAUUGAGGAUAGCUAUCGAGAAUGAGAAAGUGUCCAAAACGUCAUAAAUAGACAUGUUCCUAUUGUGCAUAAUUUACAUUAUAGGCAAAUAUUUUUAUACCAUCAAAGGCAAAACAUGACACUAACAAUUGAUCACCCCCCCCCCCCCCCCCCCCAACAACAAAAAAAAGGAAAAAACAAUACAGAAAAGAUUGAAACAGAUAAGGCUACACUGAGCACAGGAUGCCAUGAAACAUAAUCCAGGAACCAAAUUAAUAAAAAAGGAAGCCAAACCAUUAUUUAACAAUCUGUUUUGUAUUUGGGAAAGUCUGAUAAAAUCUACUUGGGGAUAAUUAGAGAACCUCAACUAUUAAUCACACCUCAUAAAUGAACUAACAUUAAACAUCUACCAUCCCAACGUCACACAAACAUUCUCUACACUUCUGAACCUAAUACUUCCAUCUUCAAUUGGGGGUUUUUUUUUUCUUUUUCUUUGGGGGGGGGGGGGGAUUGAAAUGCUGAUUUCGAAUCACUAACAGUAAAAUUGGAAGCUCAUGAAAAAAUAGUUUUAUCUCAAAAUUACAUCUCGAUAUAAAUUCUCUUUUCAUUUCCUUCAACUUUCUAAUUAAGCUUAAAAAAUGUACCUUCAACCACAAAGGGGUUUAAAAUUUAAAAUAUAAAAAAUAAAUUCAGAUAACAAUAAUUAAUUUAAUUAAAAAUAUAAAUAGAGUUACAGAGAAAGAGAAAAUAGAGAAAGACGUAAUGUUGAGUCCUUUGGCGCAAGUCUCUUCAUAGGUCCGAACCAUUUCUUCGGGCGUGGGUUUCGGGUCUUUAGGAUACUCCAUAGUGAUAAGCCAGUGAUUGUAAUCGCAACCCUCGAACAGAAUCGUGUCGGGUGUGAUCUCGUCGCCGUCCUUAUACAAGUGGUACGUCUUGUUAACCGACGGCGUAGACGAGAGGGAGAUCGUCGGGGACGAUCUGAACGGCCGAGAUUGGAUAAUGAUGGAGGAGGAGAAGAUUAGCGAUGACGACGCCGAUGAAAUGGAAGGGUUUACCAGAGGAGUGGAUGCGAAGAAUGCAGGGACGGCCGCAAAGAGAGAGCGGCGGAGAGCGGCGACGGACGGUAGUGACCGGCGGAGAGCGGAAGAUGGCGGUAUGGGCCAUUGCUUGCGCGUCAGUGAGUGUCUCGAGUGAGGAGUGAAGGGUUUUGUACUUUUGUUUAGGGUUUUGGGAAAUGAAAAAUGCAAAUGUUUGAUUUUGUUGCUAGAAACUUCUUCUGCCGCCGCUUUUUAUUUUCGCUAAAUAAUAAUAAUAAUUUGUUAAUAAAAUACUUUCUUAGAAAAGAUAAAUUUAUAGAACAAAAUUUAUAUUAAAUCAAAUUGUAAAAAUGUGGAAUAGGGCUAAUUUCUCCUGAAUAUUAUUAUUAGUAGAAGUAGAUUUUCGAAAUAGUCUUGAUAUAUUUCAAAGUUGUAUUAUAGAUGUACAUGUAUCUGGAUUGUAAUUAUAUUUUAAAAAAUAUACAUUUUUUUUCAUUAUUGCACAAUAAAUGUAGAAAGUGUCUAUAAAAUAAUAUUAUUAGAACUAUGAAAAUAUAUUAUUUUAGAGUAGUUAUUUAUUUAUUUUUGAAUAAAUAAUUUAUUAAUUUAUUAAUUUAUUGAUAAAUUAAUAAAUAUUAAUUUAAAGAGAGAUUUUUUUUUUUGGGGGUUUUUAAGAAGAGUUUUGUUGGUAUAUGUACAAACUUAUAAAGAAAUACAAAAAAUGCUUCCUCAAGUCAAUAGUAUUUACUUUAAUUCAUAAUAGUAUAGUUUAAUCAAGAAACUUAUAAUUAUACUAUAUCUUUCUUUCUUUGUUCUAUUUGGUGGGACAUUGUGAUAAAUCAUUGGAUUAAAAUGCAUUUCUAAAUGAAAACUUGUUAAAACCUAAUUUAUUUGGGAACGACAUUUUAUUUGUCAGUCGUAUUUCUCAACUUCGUAAGUUAUUUCUAAUUUAUCGGUCUCUAUUGGUUCUCUUAAGUACCUAUUUGGCAUGACUUAUUUAAUAGUAAUAAGUGCUUAUUUAAUCUCAUAAGUUUUUUCCCUCUCUGACAAUUGAGUUAGGGGGUCAAACUUGAAAGUAUCUUAAAAUUAGACAACAAUUUAACUAUUUUUUUUUUUUUAGAUAACUGCUAAUAUGCUCUAUUAGACAAUGAUGAGUGAUAACCUAGGUGUUUGCAUUUAAAGGGAUACUUUUUGUGGUGUUGAUAAAGAGGUUAAGUAUGAUUCAACAAUUUAAAAUAUGAAAACAUAUGGAAGACGGCCGCAAUUAAAUUAAUUGUAUGAAAAUAUUUCAAUGAAAUUUUAAAAAUUUAGUAUUUGUUAUCUUAUCGAGAGUUUUUUAAAAUUAUAUUACUACUUGAACUUGACUGCUUUUGUAUUUAAUUCCUACCGUUGCCAUUGCUUCUACUCAAAAGCCAUUUAAGUUUGUGUAAGCUACGUAUAGUUUGAACAACAAUUUACUCAUGAAUUGUUGUUCAUAAUAGCAUCAGUGCAUGCAUCAUUUUAAUGAGAAAGAAUAUUCUAAGAACGAAAUUGAACGUGGGAGGUAUCGGGAAGGAAUUGGAAUGGAAUAAUAUCGAUUCAUAUAGAUACAGAAGAAAAAGUUCUCUAUUGAUUCAAAUGCUGUGCCUAUGGGAUAAGGAUAGAGAAAGAGGAAAAAACCGAAGCCAGAAAUGUACACGCAUGAGGAACUUUUCCUAGAAGAUUGAUAUUUCUUUGACUAGCAAACCAUACAAGUCCAAAGCUAGCCAAACCAUACCUGCAAGUCGGGGGUUUAAAUGGAAUACUUCUAAGCAUAAAACAUUGAUUAAAACAGAAUACACACAUACAUACCAGCAAAUUCAAAAUAGCAAAAGGAGUGCAAAAGUUCAAGUUUGUAGACAACAUUGCAACCAUGGCAUGUUUAUAGCAAAUCCUCGAAAUCUGCUAAAUAAAACAAUGCCCUGUCUCAUGAAUCAAUGCUGAAUUAAAAUUGAAACUGAAAGUCCGGCUGGCGUUGUUUCCCUCUCCAAUUUUGCCUACAUAAGUGAAAAUAAGAAUAAUAAAUGAAAAUCUGCUUUUACGGUUCUUAUUAGAUAGAUAAAAGGGGGAUCUUUCUUUGUUUCUCUGCUGCAAUGUGUGGCUAUCCCACUCUGUUUUGCCACCCAAGCUGAGUCUAUGCUGAGACAUAAUUUUGACAUCAGAAGCAAUCUCAAUUAGUUUGGCACUUUUAAGCAAUCUCAUAUUUUGCUCACUUGAAGGUUUUACGAUAAACAUAAAUCUACAGAGAAAGUGGGAAAAAAAAAAGAAAAUGCAUAUAAAUAUAUGAGUUAUCAGAUAAGAUUAAAACUCACCCAAUUCAAUCCAUCAGAUUCCGUAAGGAUAUAACUGGAUGUCAUACCGCCACUCCAUAUCCUUGAAAGUCCGUAGUGUUUGUCUCAACUCUGUCUGAGGCCAAUGUAAAUUCAAUUUGCGCAAGCUCUUUAUGCACCACAGCUCUUCUGGAAGCUUUCUCAAGUAAGCACAUGGGUUGACAAUUAAGCUUUCAAGUUUCGGCAUUGCUCCAGCCCCCAUCGUCCACUCAUCUAGCCAAUACAUUGAUUUCAGGUGCAAAACCUUAAGUUCCGGAAAGCUACUCAAGCCAACACAAGCAAGCUUUCUUCCUAAAUACGAGUUCUGCUUCAGUUUCAGCACUCGAAGGCGUGGAAGAUUUUCCAGAAUUGGCAUGGGAUCCUCCAUUAGCUCAGUAUUUGAUAAGCUCAGUUGGAUCAGACUUGGGGGAAAUUGGUAUUCAGACAGGACCAUCCGUGAGGGCUUGCUCUCAUUCACCAGCUUCAAGCAUUCAAGUUUGUGGAGUUCGCAAAGGCUUUUGGAAACCGCAGAUUGAUAGUAACUCAAAUCUCCAGAUAUCCGAAGAGUCUGAACACUAGGUAGUCUGCCCAAUAUAUCAGGAGUACAACUACUAGGGUUUAAAGCUGAUAUGAAAAUGAGAUUUUUCAGAGAGCUGGAAUAAUUUUUUGGAGGUGCGGGCAGAGUGAUAGAACCAAAGUUUAGAUGCAUGAGUUUUUGCAUCAUCCAAAUAUCCUCUGGUGACUGAUCUAUGUAGCUAGAUGGCAUUUCUAGUGUUUCAAGGUUUAAAAGGGUGCAUAGCAGCGAAGGAAGGCGUUUGAGCAAAGGGAUAUUCAAUUUCAAAUACUUCAAAAGGAAUAAAUUUUCUAAUCCGGGUGGAAAUUGGUCGAGAACUGCAGAACCGAAGUUCAGUACCCGAAGGUGUUUGAACUUUUUACAAAAAUUCUCGCAAUCUAUCACAGCGAGAUGAUCGCCUUCUAAACUUUGAUUGAUAAAAGAUUGGAGAUAGAUCUCACCAUGUUCUAAAGAAAUGAAGUCAGUCAGAUGUUCCAAAAUGAUGUAGCGUUUAACAUUUGCAAAUGGUUCCGCUUCCAUUCCAGGCAUCCAGAGAAAUUUCGUCUUGUCUGCCACCAAACCCAAUGAAGUAUAUACAAAACUUGGAACAUAGCAAGCUUUAAUUGUGCCGCCGGCUCUUCUCUUACUCACUUGAAUGAAGCCGCGAUGGAUUAGUUCUUUCAAGUAAUGUUCGGCAGUUUCUUCACCGUUGUAUGGUAUGAAACCUUCAGCUACCCACAACUGAUAUAAUUGCUCCGUAGAUAUCUCCAUACUUGGAGGGAAGACCAACAAAUAGAUGCAGCAGACCUUCAAGUGAAAAGGUAACUCCAUCACAGAAAAAAUUUGUCUCCAAACUGUCGGAAUCGCUUCGCCUUGAAGAUAAUUUUCUAAUGGCAUACUUCCAUAGUGUAGGAUGAAAAAUUGCCAGGCUUCAUGCUUUAAUCUUAUCAAUGGUCCUCCAAUGAGCACUGAAUCACGCCGAAUUUCCUCUCCAUUUUCCAUUUCCAACGACACAAGGAGGUCUGGUUCAGUGACUGUUAUCAAUACUCUGCUUCCAUUCUCAUCAUCAGGGAGAACUUCUUCCAGAUCAUCCCAUAUCUCACAGUCAUCGAAGACGUCAUCAAGCACAAUAAAAUACUUCUUGUUUGUUAGGUAAUCUCGAAGAAUAGAUUCCUUGAAUUGAUAAUCUUCACCGAUAAUUACACUAACCCGAGAUGGAGGCAUCACAGACUUGAUUAUGUCAUCCAAUAUCUUGCGAAAAUCGUAGAGUAGAGAAACCCUGACCCAAGCAAGACAGUCAAAAUAGAACUUGACAUAGUUAUUAUUGUAAGUAUCUGCAGCAAAAGCAGUCUUAUCGAAGCCACUGCUGUCGAGAAUUGCAACCACUGAAAGCCCAGAUGGUCCCUCAAUCAAUAGAUCAAACAACUCCUCUCUGCCCCUUUCAAAUUCACUGAUAUCAAGCCGAGGAUGUCCCUCAUUCAAUAGGCGAAUCAUUUCGUUACUUUUUUCACUGAUAUCAAAACCAUUGUCGCCGGGUGGAAGUUGUUGCAUCCGAUUUCUAAUAUCAAUGAUUUCACUGUGGAGUCCAUCAGGAAGAGCCAUAUUAGUGCUGCUUUCACUUUCGUUUUCACUGUUUUGCUGCUGCAUGAUGUUGAUGAAGAAUGUGUCAAUGACUUCCUCAGAGUCACGGACAAAGUUAUUGAUGUCCUUCAGAAUUUCAAAAAUAUCUGCUGUUUCAACGUCUUCUUCAUCGCUUUCUUCUAAGUCCAACAGUUGCAAAAAAGGCAAAGAUAUUUUGGAGUCAUCGAUAUCUUCUCUAAGGAGUUGAAUCAAAUGCCGAGCCAUGUCGGCUUCAUAGUUUCCCAGAAGAGUAGUAGCAAUAAUUUCGGACUCCGUAAGAAGGUUUUGAAAAAGUGGAGUUAAAUUUGUUGAAUCUGGCAGAGGCAACGUGCCUUCUUCACCUGCUAACACCCUUUUCAACCUCUCACAAAACAGUCGGAGGUGGACGUCCAGCAUAUCUCCUUCUCUCUGUAGCACCCAGAGGUAUUGUUUUUUGCUCCAAGAAAUAUUAAAAGGAUUGGUUCUAUCUAAAAGUGGUUACUGGUGUAAAAUUAAACGCCAUGGGAGAAUUUGAAAGGAAGAUGCCAAGGAACUGGCGAAGUGGCUAAAUUCCACAAAUACGGCAUUAUUGCUCAUUUUUAACUCAAAAAAUUGAUACGCCUUCAUUUAGCGAAAAGUCCAAGACGCUUGCCUUUUGAAAAGAAGAGGUAUCCAUAGAUAUCCAACAUUUAUCUUAUUUUAAUUACUACCACGACAUGAUUGAUGGUUGUUAAAUCAAUUGUUUCUUUUUUAAUUUAAAGAAAUUUUCAUUAAAAAAUAGUUUAAUAGACACAUAAUAUUACAAUAAAUAAAGUAAAGUUUAAAUUAUUUUGAAUAUUAUAAAAAAUAAUUUUAAUAUUAUUAAUAGGAAGACAUUUUGUUAAUUUUAAAAUCUUUUUAACCCAAAGGUUUAUUUAAAAUCUUUAUUAUAAAUACAAAUAUAAAAUUAAAUAUCAUAAUUUAAAAUUUUUAAUAUUAUUUUAAGUAUUAAAAAUAUUUUAAUGUUAUUAGUCUACUACAUAGAUUUUAUUAUUUAUAUUAUAUCUGUAUUGAUUAAAAUUUUUUAAAGUCAAUUUUUUAGUCAAUAUAUUCAAGAGGUAUUAUAGUUAAAGAAAAGAUUUUGGUGUUAUUUUUUGAAAAUUUUAAGGUUUAAAUGAUUUUUUUUUUAAUUUUAAGGAUGUGGGUAUUAUUUUUCCGACAAUUUAUUUUAUUUUUGGGGAAUCCGAUGAGAAAUAUCAUGAGAGAAGGUUAAUUUUACAUUCUUUACCUUUAUGAAAAAAGUGGAAACCAAGAACUAUUCAAUUUUGUAUUUUUUGUUUGUAAUUCAAAAAAUGCAUCCACCAAACAAGCUUAUCUUGAUUUUCCCACUUUAUUCAUUUUCGAUCCUUUAAUCCAUCUAGCAUCUGCAGCCCCCGCUAUUUUCACAAAGAGUAAUGAUACAGCCACAAAUUCUUGUACAAAUUUAUUUUGUAUAAACUGACGUGGCAUGAUAAGAUUGGUUGAAUUAAAUAUCACUUGGCCCACAUGAUUUGUUUUUAUUAUUUUAUAUUUUUAUUCAACCAAUGAAUUAAUGCCACGUCAGUUUGUACAAAAUAAAUUUGUACAAGAGUUUGUGGCUGUAUCAUUACUCUGUCAAGAAUCUCCAUCCCACAGCUACACUAUCAAACAAGUUGAUGGAAAUUGAACAAUUGCUUUUUGAAGUGGACCCAUUAGGUUAUGUUCAUUACUGGUCAUUGUCUAUUCUUUCUAAGAGCCACUUAUUUUGAGCAUUAGCGAUCCUAUCUGGACUACUCCAAUUAUUGAUGUAACUCCAAUGGUUGCAUCAACAGUUGAAUGUAAGAUAGUGUCAGUUCUUUUUUGAGAAUAUAGAGGGAUCUUUAUUUGUUUCUCCGUUGCAGCGUAUUAGUAUAAAUUUCUUGACCUUACAGUUCCUACAGUCUUCCUGUUAAUGAAUUCGCUGAGGCAUUAUUGAUCCAAUCUCAGUGAAGUAAUUGUGGGUGAAAAAAAAAUAAAGGAUAAGAGAACGUAGCUCAAGUGCUGAAUUGACUAUUAAAGAAGAGCGUCACCUGAUCACAAUCACAUUGAUGCACAACUCACUCGAGGCAAAUUUCAUCUAUAUAUACUGCAAAUUCAGCCAAGCCAUGCAUGCAUGAACAAAACUAAAAUGAAGUUCAUAAUCACAACUGUAAUUAGAGCUACAAAAGGUGGCAAACCAUACAUGCAUGAACAAAAUUAGACAUAAAUUGAAGCCACAACAUUAAUUGAAGCCACAAAAGCCAGCAAAUCCAAAUGAAAACUUAAAAGGAAGAUCUUAUCGAAGUUUGUCCCCAAAAGACAGCGGAAAUGAAAAAUAUUGACUAUCGAGUGGAUCAAUGCUGAAUUACAUUUGACCUGGAAAGCUUGGCUGCAGUUGCGAUGUUCCCCCUCUGAUUUUCCCUAAAACAAAUUCAGUUGUAAACAAUAACUGGAGUAGCAACAAUUUAUUCAUUAUAGAAAAUACCUAAAUUUUCAACUAUCAAAUCCUCUUGUCUAAACUAAAAAACUCAUAUCUCUAAAAUCUAUAUACAAAAUGUCAUAAAUGAGGGUGAUCUCUCAAUUCGGUAAACAAAUUCAUGCAUAAUAUUACCAAUAAUGAUAAAUUACAUAAUAAUUAUUAUAAAGAAUCAUAAAUUGGAAACAUUAAUCAUUUUAAAAUCUAUUACAUAAUAAAAAUAAAUCUUAUAAUAAGUUACGUUAGAACAUAACAAAUAUUUAAAAUGAUAUAUAUAAUUAUUUAAGAAGUCUUUUAACAAUAAUUUUUUUUUUCUUUUUCAGUUGAUCAUGUCAUAGCGUUAUCUAAAAUGCUAGCGAUAUCAUUAUUCCCCACUUUUCUCAAAAAAAAGAAAAAGAUAAAGAAAAAAGAAAUAUGAUUAACGUUUGGAGAAAAGUCAUGCCUUUUAAAAAGAAUAUGUAUACAAUACCAAUUCAUACUUUAUCUUACCAUAAAAAAAUUGUUUAAAAUAGAUUUAAUGCACAAAUAUGAUGACUUUUGGCAGAAAUGAGUUUCGGAAAUAUUGGGAUGAAAACCAUAUUGGUUCAGACUUAAAAUUACUUAAUAAAAUUACUUAACUACCAUUUAAUAAAUAAAAAUCAUAUUAGUUGAAAGUUAAAUUAAGAUUUAAAUGUUGAGAUAUCUAACGUUACUCAAUCAGAAUAAACAAUAAUCAAUUCAAAUUAUGACUAUCAUGUAGAAGCAAAUGUUUAUGCUUGGGUCUUUUACUUCUUGAAUUUGAUUGGAAAAAUUUCUGAGACAGGGAAGUGAGUGUUUUGGAUAAUAUUUUUCGGGAUUGAAACCACAAGUUGGUCGAGGAAAAUAAUUUUGGACAAAUUUUUAUUAUAUUGUAGAACCUUUUUGGUUCCUUUUGUGUCGGCAGCCCCUCACUAUUCUCUUAACCCUGAGUUUUGAGAUAGAAAUUUCCCGAACUCCAACCCCACAUCCACAGACAAGUUGAUUGAAACAAUUGCUCUUGUAAUUAAGAGGAUGAGUUAGGGUUCAGUUCUUAUCAUUGUCUGUUAUUUCUUUGAAUCAUUAUCUUAGUUAAUUACAUCAAUUGUUUCUUUUCUUAAUUUAAAGAAUUUUUCUUUUAAAAAAAUAUUUUAAUAUCAAAAUGCGUUAAAUGGUAUUACUGCCGCAAUCCCAGUAACAGGAUUAAUUAAAAAAAUAUUCUUAGGAAGAUAUUUUGUUUAUUGUAAAAUCUUUUUAACCCAAAGGUUUAUUUAAAAUCGUUAUAAUAAAUAAAAAUAUAAAAAAAAAUAAAUAUCAUAAUUUAAAAUUUUAAUAUUAUUUUAAAUAUUAAAAAUACUUUAAUGCUAUUAGUCUACUACACAGGUUAUAUUACUUAUAUUAUAUUUGUAUAAAUUAAAACUUUUAAAGUUAAAUUUUUAAUUACUAUAUUGAAAAGGUAUUAUGGUUAAAAAAAGUUUUGGCAUUUGUUUUUUGAAAAUUUGAGGGUCUGCAUGACAAUUUGUCCAAAUCCUAGAGGUAUAGGUGUCUUUUUUUUUCGAUAAUUCAUUUUACUUUUGAGGGAAUCCGAUGAGAAAUAAGAUAAGAGAAACGUCAAUUUAACGUUCUCUAGGGAAAACCAAGAACUAUUCAAUUUUGUAUUUUUUGUUUGUAAAACAAAAAACAGUUUGCCAAAAAAGGUACCAAACAUAUCCUUAAUGUCUCACAUGAUUUCUUAUUAAGUCCAUACUCGAUAUAUUUAUACAUUUUAGGUAUUUUAGUUAUAAAAGAAGUUGGUCCUCCCUCUGUUUAUAAAAGGUAACUUUAUUUCGAGAUUACCACUAAAGUCUUACAAAGAAUUAGUGUAAUGUUAAGAGAGACUAACACAGUUUUCCAUUACCAUUUUGAAAAUAGAAAGAUAUGGAUGUGUGCAUUUAAUGGUGCGUUUACUUGCCGGAUUGGGGAAUCAGAAUCUGGAAUCAGAAUGAUUGAUGGUGUUUACUUCACAAAUAUGGAGCAGGAAUCGGAAUUGGAAUGGUGGGGCCCACCACUAUUUGGGAAUGGGAGAUUGAUUCCCAUGGGGGAAGGUGGGAAUGAGUCUCUCAUUCCCUGGAUUGACCAUUUUGCCCUCCCUCAAAAUUAAAAAUGCCUACUUUGUCCUCUUUUAUAAUUAAUUAAUAUAAUAUUAUAAUUAAUUAAUUAAUAUAUAAAUAUUUUAUUAACUAUAAUUAUUAAAAAUUAUAGUUCUUGAAUAAAUAAUCACAAUAAUUAAUUUAUUAUUAUUAUUGUUAAUGAAUUAAUAUAAUUAUUACUAUUAAUUAAUAUAUUAAUAUAUUAUUAACAAUAAUAUAUUAAUAAUUAUUGUUCGUGAAUAAAUAAUCACAAUAAUUAAUAUAUUAUUAUUGAAAUUAAUUAAUUAAUAUACUAUUAUAAUAAUUAUUAUAAUUAAUUCAUAUAUUAUUAUUAAUUAAUUAAUAAAAUUAAAAUUAUUAAUUAAAUAAAUAAUAUAAUUAUUACUACUAAUUAAUAUAUUAAUAUAUUAUUAAAAAUAAUUAUUAAUAAUUAUAAUUUUUGAAUAAAUAAUCACAAUAAUUAAUAUAUUAUUUUAAUUAAGUAAUUAAUAUUAAUAUUAUUAGUUAAUAUAUUUUUAUAAUAAUUUUUGAUAUAGUUAUUAUAAUUAAUUAAAAUUUUUUACAAUUAAUUAAUAUAUUAGUUAAUAAUAAUUAUGACAAUAAUUCAUUAAGUACUUUUUAGUAAUUUGUUACAAUCUAAUUCAUUCCGAUUCCGAUUUCAAGACAAAGUAAACACAUUAAUGGCAAUCUAGCUCAUUCCGAUUUCGAUUCUUACAGUUCAAGUAAACAACUUAUUUUGAUUCCCAUUACCUAUUCCCAUUCCAGCCCAUUCUCAUUUCUGCCCAUUUCAAUUCCAGCUCAUUCCGAUUCCAGUUUAGUAAACGCAGCAUAAGAGUUAUCAUGAAAAUCAUACAAUUUAAUUUCCUGAAAUAUAUAUUUUAUUCACAUGUGCCAAAAGAAUAAAUAGAUAGAAAGUAAAUUUACAAUCCUCACUCCCUCAUAAUUGUUAAAGUGAAUAUGCAUUACAACUGUGAACUGUCACUACUUUAGCCCUUUAUUUGUUUUUUCAAUUAUAGUGUGAUGGAGACAGUGAACAUUAAGGAUAAAGUGCUCUGCUGAAAGCCAAACUUCCUUUGGCUAAUUAAUUUAGAAGUAAAGCAGAGAAUAAAGUCCUUGAUGCCUUCUGAAAUUAGAAAUACAUUUUAUAUGCUUUAAUUAUGAUUAUUUGGUAGACUAUUGACCAAAAGACAUGUUAAAGUAUAAAACAGAGCGAUUAAAGAAAAAAAAAAGGAGCGUUUGUGACGUAGAAUAACAAUUUGUAAGCAAAGUCCUAAUUUGAGUUGUCAAAAAGCAAACAUAACAGAGAAGGUAAGAGAGAUGCAAAAACAGAAAACUAUUAGCUUAUCUUGAUUUUCCCACUAUAUUCAUUUUCGAUGCUUUUCAAACGAGAUUCUUUUAAUCCUUCUGGCGUCUGCAGCCCCUGCUCUUCUUAUAAAUCUCCUUCCCACAUCUGCACUACGAACAAGUUGACUAAAAUUAAAUAAUGUUGGAGACGAGGGGUGAGCCGUCAACUUAUUAAAAAAAACUCAUGUAUAAUAUUAUCAAUAAUAUAAAAUAUAUAAUAAUUAUUAUAAAGAAUCAUAAAUUAGAAAAAUUAAUUAUUUUACAAUUUAUUUCUUAAGUAAGAUAAAUCUCGUAAUAAGUUAAGUUUAAUGUAAAAAAUAUUUUCAAUUUAUAAUCAUUUAAGAAGUCAUUUAACAAUAAAAUCUUUUUUUUGAUCAGGUGGCCAUGCCAUAGAGUAUCAUCUAUAUUCGUGGUGAUAUUAUUAUUACUCAAUAUCCUCAAAAGACACUAUUUAACAUUUAGAGAAAAUUUCUGCCUUUUAAAAAGAACAUGUAUGCAAUAGCUAGCCACACUUUAUUUUACCACGACAAAAUUGAUAGUGAUUAAAUCAAUUUUCUCAAUUAAAGAAAUUUUUUUUAAAUUGAUUUAAUGCACAAAUAUGAUGAGUUUUUGCAAAAAUUAGUUUUGGAAAAUAUAGUGAGAGAGAAUGGUGACGAUUAUUUUUCAGAUGUGCAAAUAGCCUAAACAUAAUCUCUAAUACCAAUAUCCUUGUGCAUCUUAACACCUUUCAUGAUAUUCUUUCAUUCAUAACCAUUUGUUCAAUAUUUGAAUUUGAUUAUUAAAUUAUGUUCAAUAAUGUUAGAGACCCCAACAAUUGGGUACCAACUUAAAUCCCAAUGCUAUGUGUCAAUGUAACAUAGCAAAAUCCCAUUAACAAAUGUUGUGUCAUUUAUCAUUAUUGAAUGAAUAAUUCGUUAAUUUAUUGAUAAAUGAAAAUUUAUUAAUUUAAAGAGAGAUUUUUUUUUUUGGUUUUAAGAAGAGUUUUGUUGGUACAUGUACAUACUUAUAAAGGAAAAACUUGUAAUUAUACUAUAUCUUUCUUUCUUUGUUCAGUUUGGUGGGAUAUUGUGAUAAAUCAUUGGAUUAAAAUGCAUUUCUAAAUUGAAACUUGUUAAAAUCUAAUUUAUUUGGGAAACGCAUAUUAUUUGUCAGUCGUACUUCUCAACUUAGCAAGUUAUUUCUAACUUGUCGGUCUCUAUUGGUUCUCUUAAAACUAAUAGUCUCGUAUCUCCCGCAUUUGAUAUCUUGCCAUUACUGUUGGCAUUAACAUGUUACCUGAGAUUGGGAUUCAUUAAAAUCCUCAAUGUAAUCGGUGGAACGAAUGGAUUUCUUCUGUUCACCAAUCCACCAAAAUUUCUGUAAUUAAAUUCAAAAGUCAAGAUCUAUGCUUAUAAUCUAUUCAACAGCUAAUAUUCUAUUUUAUAUUUACUUAAAUAUGAAGAGCUAUGCUUGUAGUUAACUUCAAAUGUGAUCGAAGCAGCCUUACAUCUAUAUAUUACUUAUGCCCAACCUUUUUUUUUGACUUCAUAUACAUUCUUUUCAUGUUAUUUACUCUUUUUUCCCCCUCUCUGACAAUUGAGGUAGGGGGUCAAACUUGAAAGUAUCUUAAAAUCAGACAAUAAUUUUUUUUUUUUAAAGAUAGCUACUAAUAUGCUCUAUUAGACAAUGAUAAGUAAUAACCUAGUUGUUUGCAUUAGAAAUGAUAUUUUUUGUGGUGCUGAUAAAGAGGUUGAUUAUGAUUCAACAAUUUAAAAUAUGAAAACAUGUGGAAGACGGCCGCAAUUAAAUUGAUUGUAUGAAAAUAUUUCAAUGAAAUUUUAAAAGUUUAGUACUUGUUAUCUUAUCGAGAGUUUUUUUAAAUUAUAUUACUACUUGAACUUGACUGCUUUUGUAUUGAAUUCCUACCGUUGCCAUUGCUUCUACUCAAAAGCCAUUUAAGUUUGUGUAAGCUACCUAUAGUUUGAACAACAAUUUACUCAUGAAUUGUUGUUCAUAUUAGCAAUUUGAUUGAAAGUGCGGCUGCACUAAUUUUCUAGAUGAAUUUUUUCCUACAUGCUUGUUCUCGUAUGACCCAAAAUCCUACUACAUCAGUUGUAUUAGAAAUUAAUCAACUGGGUUACAAUUAUGCAUCCCCACCAAUAUUUAAGCAAUUUAAUUACAGAAAUAUUUCUUGAGGAAAGAAACUCAUAUCGCCACUAGGCUUGUAAUGAGGCUCAUUUUUAUGAAUCUGGAUGGCAUUAGAUAUCUCUACGAAUAUUGGUGGGAGUAGAUCGCAGAUCUCUGGGCUAUACUACAAAGUUUAUGUACGUUGACUCUCAAUAAAUACAAACGAUUCUCUGAUAUGAUUCAAACAUCAGUGCAUGCAUCAUUUUAAUGAGAAAGAAUAUUCUAAGAACGAAAUUGAAGGUGCAAUCAGCAGCUAAAAUGAAGCCAGAAAUGUACAUGCAUGAGGAAUUUUUCCUAGAAGAUUGAUAUUUCUUUGACUAGCAAACCAUACAAGUCCAAAGCUAGCCAAACCAUACCUGCAAGGUGGGGGUUUAAAUGGAAUACUUCUAAGCAUAAAACAUUGAUUAAAACAGAAUACACACAUACAUACCAGCAAAUUCAAAAUAGCAAGAGGAGUGCAAAAGUUCAAGUUUGUAGACAACAUUGCAACCAUGGCAAGUUUAUAGCAAAUCCUCGAAAUCUGCUAAAUAAAACAAUGCCCUGUCUCAUGAAUCAAUGCUUAAUUAAAAUUGAAACUGAAAGUCUGGCUGACGUUGUUUCCCUCUCCAAUUUUGCCUACAUAAGUGAAAAUAAGAAUAAUAAAUGAAAAUCUGCUUUUACAGUUCUUAUUAGAUAGAUAUAAAUGGAUCUUUCUUUGUUUCUCUGCUGUAUUUUGUGGCUAUCCCACUCUGUUUUGCCAGUCAAGCUGAGUCUAUGUUGAGACAUAAUUUUGACAUCAGAAGCAAUCUCAAUUAGUUUGGCACUUUUAUGACCUCCUUAAAGGUUUUACAAUAAACAUAAAUCUACUGAGAAAGUGGGAAAAAAAAGAAAAUGCAUAUAAAAAUAUGAGUUAUCAGAUAAGAUUAAAACUCACCCAAUUCAAUCCAUCAGAUUCCGUAAGGAUAUAACUGGAUGUCAUACCGCCACUCCAUAUCCUUGAAAGUCCGUAGUGUUUGUCUCAACUCUGUCUGAGGCCAAUGUAAAUUCAAUUUGCGCAAGCUCUUUAUGCACCACAGCUCUUCUGGAAGCUUUCUCAAGUAAGCACAUGGGUUGACGAUUAAGCUUUCAAGUUUCGGCAUUGCUCCAGCCCCCAUCGUCCACUCAUCUAGCCAAUACAUUGAUUUCAGGUGCAAAACCUUAAGUUCGGGAAAGCUACUCAAGCCAACACAAGCAAGCUUUCUUCCUAAAUACGAGUUCUGCUUCAGUUUCAGCACUCGAAGGCGUGGAAGAUUUUCCAGAAUUGGCAUGGGAUCCUCCAUUAGCUCAGUAUUUGAUAAGCUCAGUUGGAUCAGACUUGGGGGAAAUUGGUAUUCAGACAGGACCAUCCGUGAGGGCUUGCUCUCAUUCACCAGCUUCAAGCAUUCAAGUUUGUGGACUUCGCAAAGGCUUUUGGAAACCCCAGAUUGAUAGUAACUCAAAUCUCCAGAUAUCCGAAGAGUCUGAACACUAGGUAGUCUGCCCAAUAUUUCAGGAGUACAACUACUAGGGUUUAAAGCUGAUAUAAAAAUGAGUUUUUUCAGAGAGCUAGAAUAAUUUUUUGGAGGUGCGGGUAGAGUGAUAGAACCAAAGUUUAGAUGUAUGAGUUUUUGCAUCAUCCAAAUAUCCUCUGGUGACUGAUCUAUGUAGCUAGAUGGCAUUUCUAGUGUUUCAAGGUUUAAAAGGGUGCAUAGCAGUGGAGGAAGGCAUUUGAGCGAAGGGAUAUUCAUUUUCAAAUACUUCAAAAGAUAUAAAUUUUCUAAUCCAGGUGGAAAUUGGUCGAGAACUGCAGAACCGAAGUUCAGUACCCGAAGGUGUUUGAACUUUUUACAAAAAUUCUCGCAAUCUAUCACAGCGAGAUGAUCGCCUUCUGAACUUUGAUUGAUAAAAGAUUGGAGAUAGAUCUCACCAUGUUCUAAAGAAAUGAACUCAGUCAGAUGCUCCAAAAUGAUGUACCGUUUAACAUUUGCAAAUGGUUCCGCUUCCCUGUCAGGCAUCCAGAGAAAUUUCGUCUUGUCUGCCAUCAAACCCAAUGAAGUAUAUACAAAACUUGGAACAUAGCAAGCUGUAAUUGUGCCGCCGGCUCUUCUCUUACUCACAUGAAUGAAGCCGCGAUGGAUUAGCUCUUUUAAGUAAUGUUCGGCAGUUUCCUCACCGUUGUAUGGAAUAAAGCCUUCAGCUAUCCACAACUGACAUAAUUGCCUGGUAGAUAUCUCAAUGCCUGGACGGAAGACACACAAAUAAAGGCAGCAGACUUUCAAGUGAAAAGGUAACUCCAACACAGAACAAAUUCGACUCAAGAGUGUCAAAACCACUUUUUCAUCCAUAUAAUUUACUAAUGGGGCACUUCCAUAGUGUAGGAUGAAAAAUUUCCAGGCUUCAUGCUUUAAUCUGAUCAAUGGUCCUCCAACAGGCACUGAAUAAAGCGGAAUGAUCCCUCCAUGCUCCAAUUCAAAAAAGGUAAGGAGGAAUGGAUCAGUGACCAAUAUCAAUACUCUGCUUCCAUUCUGCUUAUCAGGAAGAACUUCUUCAAGAUCAUCCCAUAUGUCACUGUCAUUGAAGACAUCAUCAAGCACAAUAAAGUACUUCUUGUUUGUCAGGUAAUCUCGAAGAAUAGAUUUCUUCAAGUGAUAAUCUUCACCGAUAAUUACCCUAGCCCGAGAUGGAGGCAUUAAAGAAUUGAUUAUGUCAUCCAAUAUCUUGCCAAAAUAGUAGCCUAUAGAAACCCUUACCCAAGCAAGACAGUCAAAAUAGAACUUGACAUGAUUAUUAUUGUAAAUAUCUGCAGCAAAAACAGUCUUAUGGAAGCCAUUGCUGUCGAGAAUUGCAAUCACUGAAAGCCCAGAUGGUCCCUCAAUCAAUAGAUCAAACAACUCCUCUCUGCCCCUUUCAAAUUCACUGACAUCAAGCCAGUGUUGUCCCUUACUCAAUAGGCGAAUGAUUUUGUUACUUUGUUCAGUGAUAUCAAAACCAUUGUCGCUGGGUGGAAGUUGUUGCAUUCGAUCUCUAAUAUCAAUGAUUUUACUGUGGAGUCCAACAAGAAGAGCCAUAUUAGUACUGCUUUCACUUUCGUUUUCACUGUUUUGCUGCUGCAUGAUGUUGAUGAAGAAUGUGUCAAUCGCUUCAUCAGAUUCAUGGACAAAGUGAUUGAUGUCGUCCAGAAUUUCCAAAAUGUCCCGUCUUUUUACGUCUUCAUCAGUGUCUUCUAAGUCUAACAGUUGCAGACAAAGCCAAGCCAUUUCAGCUCCAUUGAGUUGUUCUCUAAUGAUGCGUCGAAUCACACGACGAGUCAUGUCACCUUCAUAGUUCCCGAGCAGAGUAGUAAUAAUUUCAGUCUCCGUAAAAAGGUUUUGAAAAAGCGGGGCUAAGUUUGUUGAAUCAGGCAACGUUAACGUGCCUUCUUCACCUGCUACCACCCUUUUCAACCUCUCACAAAAUAGUCGGAGGUGGACGUCCAGCAUAUCUCCUUCUCUCUGUGGCACCCAGAGGUAUUGUUAUUUGCUCCAAGAAAUGUUAAAAGGAUUGGUCCUAUCUCAAAGAGGUUAGUGGUGUAAAGUUAAACACAAUGGAAGAAUUUGAAAGGAAUAUACCAAGAAACUGUGUAAGUGGCUAAAUUCCACAAAUAUGGCAUUGUUGCUCAUUUUUAACUCAAAAAAAUACACGUUAAUUUAGCGAAAAGUCCAAGACACGUGCUUUUUGAAAAGAACAGGUAUCCCAAUAGGUAUCCAACCUUUAUCUUAAUCAAUUACUACCAUGACAUACUUGAUGGUGCUUAAAUCAAUUUUUCUUUUCUUAAUGUAAAGAUUUUAUUUUUUUAAAACAGAUUUUAAUAUCAAGAAAAAAUAUCACUCGUAUAUCCUUAAAUGACACUUGUAUCAAACGUACUACAACACUUUUAACAUGUAUCACUUGUAUACCUUAAGUUGACAAAUUGUGUCUACCAUCCACCAAACCGUUAGUUGCCGUUUGCAAGCGCUGACAUCAUAAAGGUAAUCUAGUCUUUUCAAAUGGAAGAAACUUUGAUUAAAAAAACGACAUGUCAUCCCAUUUACCUCGUAAAAAAUGACAUAUCAUAUGAUAUAUAUUGACAAAAAAUGACAUGUCAUCCCAUUUAUCGGAAGAUGAUGUCAUCUAUGUGAAACAACGUUGUUUCAACGGGACUAAAAAAAAAAUGAUACUCCACAACCGAAUCGACUCCUCCAAACUUUAACUUGAAUAUUUGAAGAUCUACUCAUCCAAGCUCCAACUGGAAUUUUUUAUGGUAUAAUAUGUUGUUAAUAAUUUUUUAUGGUAUAAUAUGGAUUAUUUUUUAUGGAUAAUUGUUAAUAAUACGUACCAUUAAUAAUUCAUUUUUUAAUAAAAAAUGUAUUGUUAAUAAAAAAUAAAAAAUAUAUUGAAAAUUUACGUUAAUUUUUUGGGCAAAUAUGUAUUUUUACCUUAUUUUGAGUUUCAAGGGCGAAAUAGUCAAUUUGUCAUAAUUCUGUUAACUUUCUAAUGGUAGCUAACAGUUUGGUGGACAGCAGACACAUUUUGUCAACUUAGGGUGUACGAGUAAUACAUGUUAAAAGUGCUGCAAUACGUUUGAUACAAGUGUCAUUUAAAGGUAUAUGAGUGAUACAUGUUAAAAGAGUUGUAGUACAUUUGAUACAAGUGUCAUUUAAGGGGAUAUAAGUGAUAUUUUCCCUAAUAUCAAAUUGCCUUCGAUGUUUUUACAGCUACAAGCUCAGUAACAGGAUUAAUUAAAAAGUUUAGAAUUGUUGGGCGUGCAAAGAGUAGUUUUAAACACCAGAAAGCAAAGGUUGUUAUUGACAUAAUUUUAUUUUUGUUUUCGAGGGAAUUUGUUUUUUUUGUUGACAAGAAAAUAGUAUUAUAUUUUACAAUCUAUUAUACAUAUUUUAUCAUAUUAAAGUAAUUUUAAUAUUAAAUGGAAACAUUAAAUUUAAAUUAAUUAAUUAAAAAUUGAAUUAUUUUGAAUAUUAUGUAAAAAAUUAUUUUAAUAUCAUUAAUAAGGAGAUAUUUUGUUAAUUGUAAAAUAUUUUUAACCCAAAUAUAUAUUAAAUUUUUUAUAAUAAAUACAAAUACAAAUAUAAAAAUAAAAUAAAUAUCAUAGUUUAAAAUUUUAAUGUUAUUUUAAAUAUUAAAAAUAAUUUAAUGCUAUUAGUCUAUUACACAGGUUAUAUUAUAUUUGCAUUAAUUAAAAGUUUUAAAGUCAAUUUUCCAGUUUCUAUAUUCAAAGGUAUAAUGGUUAAAAGAAAGUUCUUGGUGUUUCUUUUUAAAAAUUUGAGGGUCUUAAUGAUAAUUUUUCUAAAUCGUAAGGGUAUAGGUGUCUUUUUUUCCGAUAAUUUAUUUCACGGGUAUCCAAUAAGAAACAUGGUAAGAGAACGUCAAUUACUUAUCAUUUUCUAUUUUUUCUAUGAGUCAUUUAUUUUGAGCAUUAGUGAUCUUAUCUGGACUACUCCAACUAUUGAUGCAACUCCAGUGGCUGCAUCCACAGUUAAAUAUAUGAUAGUGUUAGCUCUUAUUUGAGAAUUUAGAGGGAUCUUUCUUUGUUUCUCUGUUGCAAUGUGCUAGUAUAAAUUUCUUUACCUUAAAAUUUAUAUAGUCUUGCAGUUAAAGAAUUCACUGAGGCAUUGUUGAUUCAAUUUCAGUGAAGCAAUUGUGGGUGAAAGAUAAAUGAAGGAAAAGAGAACAGAGCUGAAGUGCUAAAUUGGCUAUUGAAGAAGGAUGUCACAUGAUCACAAUCACAUUGAUGCACAACUCUCUGGAGGCAAAGUUUGUCUAUAUGUACUCUGAAUUCAGCCAAGCCAUACAUGCAUGAACAAAAAUUAAACCGUAGUUCUAAUCACAACAGUAAUUGAAGCUACAAAAGCCAGCAAAUCUGAACGAAGACUUAAAAGAAAGAUCUUAUUCAAGUUUGUCCCCAAAAGACAGCUGAAAUGAAAAAUAUUGACUGUUGAAUGGGCCAAUGCUGAAUUACAUUUCAAAUGGAAAGCUUGGCAGCAGUUACAAUGUUUCCCCCUCUGAUUUUCCUCCAAAACAAAUUCAGUUGUAAACAAUAACCGAAGUAGUAAUAAUUUAUUCAUCAAAGAAAAUGCCCCCAAGUUUUCAAUUAAAAAAUCCUCUUGUCCAAACUAAAAGAACUCAUAUCUCUAAAAUUUAUUUGCAAAAUGUUGGAAAUGAGGAGUGAUCCGUUAACUCUGUAAAUAAACUCAUGCAUAAUGUUAACAAUAAUGAUAAAUUACAUAAUAAUUAUUAUAGAGAAUCAUAAAUUGGAAACGCUAAUCAUUCUACUAUUAUAUAAGUAAGAUAAAUAUCAUAAUAAGUUAAGUUAUAAUGUAAUAAAUAUUUGCAAUAUAUAAUUAUUUAAGAAGUCAUUUAACAAUAAAAUAUUUUUUUAUCCAGUUGAUCAUAUAGCGUUAUCUAAACUCUUGACAAUAUUAUUAUUACUCACUUUUCUCAAAAAAACAUGAUUAACUUUUAGAGAAAGUCAUGUCUUUGAGAAAGAAUAUGUAUACAAGCUAUCCAUACUUUAUCUUACUGUGACAAAAUUGAUGGUGAUUAAUUGUAUUUUUUAAAAUAGAUUUAACGCACAAAUAAGAUGACUUUUGGCAAAAAUUAUUUUCGGAAGAUAUAGUGAUAGAAAAUAGUGAUGAUAAUUAUUGUUUAAAUGUGUAAAUAGCCUAAGCAUAGCCCGUAAUACCAAUAUUCAUUUGCACCUUGAAAGAAACUUAGUUCUAUAUUGUUUGGCAAGCAAGAAAGUAAAGGAAAAUGAAAGAGAACUCUAAAGAACCUUUUUUAUUAUACUCAGAUAUCUCAACUUAAUGAAUACUGAUUGACAUUUAUACUAAGCUACAAUCUUCACUACACACACGAGUUUGUAACAUCACAUAACCAUUUGCUGCAUAACUAACUUUACACAUCAGCUCAACCAGCUAACUAACUUUGACAGGUCAGCUCAGUGAGUUGAUCUGCUACAACCAGCUACACAGCAACAGCAUGCUCUGCUCCAGCUAUACAGCAACAUCAUGCUCUGUUCCAGCUUUAUCCGCUCUGCUUUGCUCUGCUCCAGCUUUGACAGGUCAGCUCAGUGAGUUGAUCUGCUACAACCAGCUACACAGCAACAACAUGCUCUGCUCCAGCUAUACAGCAACAUCAUGCUCUGCUCCAGCUUUAUCCAAUUCACUAACAUCCCCCCUCAAGCUAAAAUGUUUAGGAUGAACAUUCAGCUUGCUUCUGAAGUAACUGAAUUGUUUGAAAGUAAGAGCCUUAGUUAACACAUCUGCUGUUUGAUCUGGACUAGGCACAUAGCAUACUGCAACCUCUUUAGCAGUGACCUUAUCUCGGAUAAAAUGUAUAUCCAAUUCAACAUGCUUAGUCUUAGCAUGAUAAACUGGAUUAUAAGCUAAAGCAAUUGCUCCUUGAUUAUCACACCACAUUAUAGGAGUGGAGCUUAAUGUGAUACUAAGUUCACCAAGUAAGGAUUUAAUCCAGGUAACCUCUGAAGCAGCAUGGGCAAGAGAUCUAUACUCAGCUUCUGUGCUGGAUCUGGAAACAACAACUUGUUUCUUUGACGACCAGGAAACAAGAUUAGGACCUAGAUAAACAGCAAAGCCAGCCACUGACUUCCUAUCAUCAUGAUCACAAGCCCAAUCAGAAUCUGAAAAACAAUGUAAUUGCAGAGCUCCUUGAUUGUAGAAAUGCAGCCCCAGAUGGAUAGUGCCUUUUAAGUACCUCAAUAACCUUUUACAUGCUUCCCAAUGUUGAGUUCUAGGACUGGAAAGGAACUGACUUAACUUGUUUACAGAGAAGGCAAUGUCAGGUCUGGUAAGAGUAACAUAUUGAAGAGCUCCUAUAACACUUCGAUAUUGAGAAACAUUUUCAAGUGGCUCUCCUGAGUCUUUGGUGAGAUAAAAGCCUGUAGACAUUGGAGUUGGCACAGGACUGCAGUCUGUCAUGCCAUGUUUAUCCAGAAUAUUAGCAAUGUACUUUGCUUGUGUCAAGGAAACCCCUUGUGAAGAUUUGCUGACUUCAAUCCCCAGAAAAUAGUGAAGUUCCCCCAGGUCUUUUAAAGCAAAAGCUUGAUGCAUAUGCUGGAUAACUUGUUGAAUUAUGGAUGGACUGGAACCAGUGAUGAUAAUAUCAUCAACAUAGACCAAAACAACAGUUAGAUGACCACUGUUCCAGGCAUAAAAGAGAGAGUUAUCAGACCUGGAAUGCUGAAAAUGCCACUUGGAGAUCAUUGCAUCCUUAAACCUAUCAAACCAGGCUCUAGGAGCUUGUUUUAAGCCAUACAAAGCCUUAUUUAGCUUGCAGAUAUGAUUAGGUUUAGUUGAAUCAACAAAACCUUGAGGUUGAGCCAUGUACACAUCUUCAAUUAAAAUGCCAUUUAGAAAGGCAUUGUUAACAUCCACCUGCCUUACAACCCAGUGACUCAAUACUGCUAAGCUAAGAAUAACUCUAACAGUGGAGGACUUAACCACUGGACUGAAGGUUUCUGUGUAGUCAAUCCCAUGUGUCUGAUGAAACCCUUUAGCCACAAGCCUGGCUUUAUACCUUGAAACUGAACCAUCUGAGUUAUACUUUACUCGAAAUACCCACUUGUUGCCAACUAUCUUCACUGGAGUAGCAGGUAAGACUAAAUCCCAGGUGUGAUUGGUUUUAAGAGCUAGAUACUCUUCUUGCAUAGCUUUAUACCACAUAGGAUCAGAAAGUGCUUUGGAAACAGAGGUUGGUUCUGACUUCUGAGCUAGUAAAGCUGACAAGUAGAUCUUGGGCUUGAAGAUACCUGCUUUUGACCUGGUUAUCAUUGGAUGACCAGAUGAUGCAGGUUGUGACAAGGUAUGUGGAGGUGAAUGAUGGGAUGGUGAAGAAGGAGAAGAAGAAGUGGAAUUGAAAUUAUCAGAAAAGUAAACUGGAGUAGAAUUUGGGAAGGAAAUAGAAGCAUGUGACUGAGAAUCAUUAAGAAGAUAUUCUGAUGAUGCUGCUAAAGGUGCUUGUAACUGAGUAACAAAAGGAGUAGAAGAAUUAAAAGAAGACUCAGAAUGAGUUGAUGACUGACAGUUUGAAGAAACUGAAGAAAAAUCUGUUCCUGACUCAUAAGGAAAAGAACGUUCAUAAAAGGUUACAUGAUUUGAAAUAUAGACCCUCCCAGAAGAGUGAAGACACUGAUAUCCCUUGUGUUGUGAACUGUAGCCAAUGAAUAUACAUCUAGCUGUUCUGAAAUCAAACUUAUGUCUAUUGUAUGGUCUGAGUGUUGGAUAACAAGCACAGCCGAAAAUUUUAAGUGUUGAAUAAUCUGGUUGGGAAUGAAACAACUUUUGAAAAGGAGAAAUGCUGUUUAGAACUGGAGUUGGAAGUCUGUUUAUCAAGUAGACAGCUGUAUGGAAUGCAUUCCACCAAAAUUUGAGUGGUAAAUGUGCUUGAGCUAAUAAAGUCAGUCCUACAUCAACUAUGUGUCUAUGUUUCCUCUCAAUUUUUCCAUUUUGAUGAUGAAUGUGGGGGCAAGGAUGUCGAAAAUGGAUGCCAGAAGUGGUGAGUAAUGAUGAAAAUGUUCUGAACUCCCCUCCCCAGUCAGUUUGGACAGUUUUGAUGGAAAGUUGAAGAUGCUUCUCAAUGAAUAUUUUGAAAUUGGUAAAAACUUCAAGAGCAUCAGAUUUUGCUGAUAAGGGAAAAAUCCAGGUAAACCUACUGUAAUCAUCUAGGAUUGACAAGUAGUAAUUAUAUCCUUGGGUAGAACAAACAUGAGAAGGGCCCCAAAGAUCUGCAUAUAUCAGUUGUAAAGGUGCUGAAGUUUUUGUUUCUACUGAAUCAAAAUGCAGCAUGUGAUUUUUACCAUAUUGGCAUGCUGAACAAAAUUUCAAACUGUCAACUUUAUUAAAAGCAGUAGAGUUGUUACAAGCUUUGAGAAUGGUUUUGAGAGUAUAAGAUGCUGGGUGUCAUAAUCUUCUAUGAAGAAGAUUUACAUCAAUAGAACCCUUUACAACAACUGACAGACAUGACUUUUUAUUCAACUCAUAAGAGCUAACAGUAGAGAGCUGAGCAGAAUUAAAAACAGGAGAACAAGCAAAAAGAGACUGAAUUUUGUUUUGACCAACUGAACUGAGAAAGACUGAAUGAACAGCAGCAUGAGAAGAGACUUUAUACAAGCUGUUGUGCAAAUUUUAAUGUACUCGCAAGCGCACGAAUCUAUUAUAGUAUAGAUCAAUGGUGACGAGUGUCGAUCCCACGAGGAGGUAGAUUUUAAUUGUGUAUAGAAUUAAUUUUGCAAAUGGUUGAUUGGAUUUGUAGUGGAAAUGAUUAGGAAUAUGCUAAAACUUAAAUUAAAAUGGCGAGAAUAAAUUCUAAAAUUGGAAUUGCAAUGGCGAGAAUAAAUUGAAGAGAAAUGUAUUGAAAUGACGUACUUGGGUAUCUGGAUCCGUAUCAACAUGCAUCAUGGGCUAAAUAAUCCGUAUUAAUGCCAAUUAAAUCAUGAGGGGGGAAUCCACACCUCAUGAACCACGCUCUAAUCAAUAUGGUGCUAAGGGCUUAUCGUGCCAAAUAAUAAUAACCUUAUACUAGAGAGCCGGUGUAACCAAGGCGGUAUCUAGACAAGAUCAGUAUUAUUUGUCGACGAUAAGUCAAAUCAUCCACAAAAACUAGAGGGGAAAAGAAAAUAAAUUUACCAAAUAAAGCCCAUGACACAUGUUGAGACUUCACCUUCAACCCAAGCUUGAAAGGAAAUUAGCUACUCAUAAUUGAACUAGGGGCAAAAUGGGAAUUUAUUAAAAUACAAAGAAAAUACAAGAUGGAGAGGGAAUUACAGAAAAUGGAUCCCAAAAAUGGAUUCAGAGAUAUCAAAUUAGGGGGGGAGGCCCAUUUUUUAUAGAUACAUGGAGUAAAUCAUGGCCAUCGGAUUAAAAACAGUUUGGACGCUCAGGAUUGCGCCACGUCAUCAGUCAACAGUCAACGGUUUGACCACGCGGAUGAACAGUAACAUGGUUUGGUUGAAAAUAAUCCUGUGUGAUGCAUACACCGUACGCGAGAUUUUUCGUCCACUGAUAUGCUGCCACGUCACCAUCAACAGUACAUAAGAAUUUUAGUCCAACAGGAUCGUGACACCUCAUCAGUCAAUGCCACAUCAUCGGUCAAUGCCACGUCAUCGAUCCGUCUAUGUGAACAGUGUCGUGAACAGUAACGUAGACAGUACCGUAUACGUGAAUAGUACCGUACAUGUGAAUAGUGCCAUUUUUCCUUUUAUGCUCCUCCUAAGGUUUUCGACCGUCCUGAGUUCAAAAGUGAUGUCCGUUUUGCCGUCUGAUCUCUCCUUUAUUGUGAAAUGACUAUAAUGCCCCUAAAAUACAUAAAAUACUUAAUUAAAAUAACACACACGUAAUUACAUCACAAGAGGGUUAAAUACAUAAAAGUAAGGGUUGUUAGUAAGACUUGAAACGUAAAAUGACGGUUUUCUCCUUUAUAAAUAUGCAUUUUCUAACACUCAACACAAGCCACCUUUAGCAACACCUUCAAGUAAAAUUUUCCCUGUGUUCCUGGCCUUUAUAAAACACAAAUUACCAAGAAAUUCAACAGUAACUGGAUUGUCAGCCAACAAUUUUGAGAUGCUAAGCAAAUUCUUAGUAAUAAAAGGGACAUGAAGAACAUGGUUAAGAAAUAAGGAUUGAGAAGCUGAAGUAUUUAGCACAACUGACCCUACAUGUGUAAUAGCUAAUGCAUUUCCAUCUCCAACAAAUAACCUUUCAGUACCAGUGUAAACUUUUGAAUCCAGAAGCUUACCUAGAUCAUUGGUAAUAUGAUUUGUUGCUCCACUAUCAAUAUACCAGGAAGGAUCUUCAAUGUGUUCAGGUGGGAGUGAAGAAGACAUAGCAGAGGAGGAGGAAGCACUUGACUGUUCCAGAUUAUUAUGUCCUAGACAGAAACAAAAUUAGAUGAUCCAGGGUUGAAUGAGAAAUAAGCAGAUGGGUUGCUUUCUGGAUAUACUAUAUUUCCUUGAUAGCCAAAACCCCUGGGGGCAUUACCAAAACCAACAUUUUGUCCAAAACCAGCAUUUGAACCAAAACCUCCAAAACCUCUUCCACUAUUACCAUUAAAGGCUCUUCCUCGACCAUAUUGCCCUUGAUUAAAACCUCUGCCACCAUUCAUAUUACCUCUACCAUGGUUCCUCUGUGGAACAAAAGAUGAGUUGUACCUAUUUCUGCAUUUAUAGGCUGCAUGACCAGGUAUGAAGCAAAUUUGGCAAACAACUUCAGAGAAAUUACUAUUAUUAUUAAACUGACCAUAUCCAUAUCCAGAAUUAUUACCACCUCCAGAGUUAUUUCCAUACUGUUUCUGAAAAUUUCCAUUAUUCUUUCCAGCAUAUGAGUUCUUCUGAACAAUAUUUGCUGUCAUGUUAUGCAUCACAUCACCAGCAAUUUUUCCUUUCUUUUGCUCAACUCUAUUUUCAUGAUUCAACAGCAAAGAAUAUAGUUCAUCUAAUGUUAUCUUUUCACCUCGAGCUAACACAGCAGUGACUAAAGAUUCAUAAUCUGAUGAAUCAAGACCAGUUAAUACAUGCAUCACAAGAUCAUUUAACUCAACAGGUUUUCCAGCUAGAGCUAAAGUAUCAGCUAUACGUUUUACUUUUACAAAGUAAUCAGACAUAUGCAUUGCACCUUUCUUAAUAGUUUGAAUCUGCAUUCUAAGUGUUUGAAUUCUAGCUUGUGAUUGAGAGAUAAACAUACUAGCAAGAGUCUCCCAAAGCUGUUUUGAGGUUGUUGAGUCAAUCACAGUAGCAAGCAGAUUUUGUUGUAUCAAUGACAUCAUCCAACUCAGCAGAAGUUGAUCAGCCUUCAUCCAAGCUACGAACUCUGGAUUAACAGAUCUGGAUCCAGAUUCAGUAACAGAUCUGGAUCCAGAUUCAAUUAAGAUUUCAGCUCCAUUGUUGUUGCCAGAAGAAAGAAACUGCUCAGGACAUUCUCGAUCACCAUUGAUAAAACCUUCCAAACCAUUUCCUUUGAUCGAAGCUAGAAUUUGUGUGCGCCACAAAAUAUAGUUGUUUUGAUCUAGCUUUACAGGCGUAACAAAACUAAAAGAGUUGUUGUUUUGAACUGUAUUUGCCAUUUAUGGCUCUGAUACCAUGAAAGAAACUUAGUUCUAUAUUGUUUGGCAAGCAAGAAAGUAAAGGAAAAUGAAAGAGAACUCUAAAGAACCUUUUUUAUUAUACUCAGAUAUCUCAACUUAAUGAAUAUUGAUUGACAUUUAUACUAAGCUACAAUCUUCACUACACACACGAGUUUGUUACAUCACAUAACCAUUUGCUGCAUAACUAACUUUACACAUCAGCUCAACCAGCUAACUAACUUUGAUAGGUCAGCUCAGUGAGUUGAUCUGCUACAACCAGCUACACAGCAACAGCAUGCUCUGCUCCAGCUAUACAGCAACAUCAUGCUCUGCUCCAGCUUUAUCCGCUCUGCUCUGCUCUGCUCCAGCUUUGACAGGUCAGCUCAGUGAGUUGAUCUGCUACAACCAGCUACACAGCAACAGCAUGCUCUGCUCCAGCUAUACAGCAACAUCAUGCUCUGCUCCGGCUUUAUCCAAUUCACUAACACACCUUCAUUUGUGUUAUCACAUUUCAUGAUAUUCUUUCAUUUAUGACCAUUGUUCAAGAUUUUAAUUUGAUUAUAAACUAAGUUGCAAGGGAGCUUACUUCAGUUUCUAAGCUUUUCAAUCGUGAUUCCUGCAUGCCAAACGUAACUGACCUUAUAAUUGGUCUGUAUAAGAAAUCAAGCCCUUUCAGGAUCGUUUUCUUUUUCUCCCUAUUGUAGUAGUCAACUAAAUAAAGAAUGAACAACUAAACUUGGUCUAUUUCGAGGAAGACUAAGGCUUCCAAUACUAGAUGAACUUUGAAGAAAAUUAAUCCGUUGUUUUUAUUCAUCUUUGGACUAUGAAUUUAUACAAAGACUUUAACAGAAAAUAACAAAGACACAGCUAAAUGAUAGCAAUAAGUGCUGACUUGGUGGACCACUUCUGCAAGUAAAUAAAAACUAAAUAUUUAUUUUGACUAUAACAACAACUACGCUGAUGAAUAGGAUUUCACAGCAGCCACGUGACAACUAAUUUCUCCUUAAUAUUAUUAUUAGUAGAAGUAGAUUUUAAAACUAGUCUUGAUAUAUUUCAAAGUUGUAUUAUCAAUGUAUAUGUGUCUAGAUUGUAACUAUAUUUUAAAAAAUAUAAAAUUUUUAAUUAUUGCACAGUAUAUGUAGCAAAAUAUCUAUAGAAUGAUAUUAUUAGGACUAAGAUUUUUUUUUAUUUUAGAUAAGUUAUUUAUUUAUUAUCGAAUGAAUAAUUUAUUAAUUUACUGAUAAAUGAAUAUUUAUUAAUUUAAAGAGAGAUUUUUUUGGUUUUAACAAGAGUUUGUUUGGUAAAUGUACACACUUAUAAAGAAACAUAAAAAGUGGUUCCUCAAGUCAAUAGUAUUUGCUUCAAUCGCAAUGGUUCAUAAUAAUAUAGCAUAGUUAGGAAAUUUGUAAUUAUAUUAUGGCUCUGUUUGGUAGUAAAACUCAUUUAAGUAGAGUUGUUGUUAAUAGAGCUUUUAUAAAUAAAGCUUUUACUAAAAAAAAUUUAGUUGUUUGCUUGUCAAUGUCCAAAUUGAUAAACUUUUGUUCUUUUGUUAAGAUAUGUUUGUUUUACUUAAUAAUAGCAUCGGCAAGAGUUUUCGAUUGUUGCAACUUGCAAUGCACGCGGUGAGAGAAAAUGAGAAUCUUGUUUAAUUGUCAAUAUAUAAUGACAAACCUAAUCCUUUCAUUAGGAGUAAUUUAAUAAUCGUUUGUUAUAACUGAAUAUGUAUAAAGAAAGGAAAAUUCUAUUCAUAAAUUUCGACUUAUUUUUUGUUUAAAGUAAUUAAUCAUUCAACCAUCUUCAUUUGCCUCUGGCCAAUGCCCUUGUAGAUUAGUUUACUUAAUUAUGAUUAUAUACAUUUUCAUAUAGCAAGUGGCAUUGUAGAUCUAAACUAAGUUGCUAUUUCAAUACCAGCAAAUUCAAAAUAGAAAAGGAGUGCAACUAUUCAACUUUGUAGACAAUAUUGCAACCAUGGCAUAUUUAUAGCAAAUCAUUGAAAUCUGCUAAAGAAAACAAUGCCCUGUCUCAUGAAUCGAUGCUCAAUUAAAAUUUAAAUUGAAAGUCCGGCUGGUGUUGUUUUCCUCUCCAGCGAAAUAAGAAUCAUAAGUGAAAAUAGGCUUUGACAGGUCUUAUUUCUUUGUUUCUCUGCUGCAAUGUGUGGUUAUCCCACUCUGUUUUGCCACUCAAGCUGAGUCUACGUUGAGACAUUAUUUCAGUAUUGAGGUAACAAUAAUUUCGGACUCCGUAAGAAGGUUUUGAAAAAGUGGAGUCACAUUUGUUGAAUCAGGCAACGUCAACGUGCCUUCUUCACCUGCUAACACCCUUUUCAACCUCUCACAAAAUAGUCGGAGGUGGACGUCCAGCAUAUCUCAUUCACAUUUGUUGAAUUUGCAUGGAAUUUGCAAGGAGUAUGCCAAAGAAUUUGCAAGGAAUAUGCCAAGAAUUUGCAAGGAAUAUGCCAAGAAACUGGCCAACCCGCUUAGCUUAAUUCCACAAAUAUGACGUUAUUGCUCAUUUUUCUCUCAAGCACAUAAUACACGUUCUUCGAGACGCGUGCCUUCUGAAAAGGACAGGUAUCCAACCUCAUCUUAAUUACUACCAUGACAUAAUUGAUGGUUGCUUAAAUCAAUUUUUUCUUCUUUUUUUUUUUUAAUUUAAAGAAUUUUCCCUUAAAAAAAAUUUAAUAUCAAAAUGCCUUCAAUGUUAUUACUGCCGAAAGCCAAACUUCCUUUGGGUAAUUAAUUUAGAAGUGAAGCAGAGAAUAAAGUCCUAGAUGCCUUUUGAAAUUAGAAAUACAUUUUAUAUGCUUUAAUUAAUCAAUUCACUGAGGCAUUAUUGAUCCAAUCCCAGUGAAGUAAUUGUGGGUGAAAAAAAAAUAAAGUGCUGAAUUGGCUACUAAGAAAGAGUGUCACUUGAUCACAAUCACAUUGAUCCACAACUCACUCGAGGCAAAUUUCAUCUAUGUGUACUGCAAAUUUAGCCAAACCAUACAUGCAUGAACAAAAUUAGGCCGUAGUCCUCAUCACAACAUUAAUUGAAGCCACAAAAGCCAGCAAAUCCAAACAAAAACUUAAAAGAAAAUGCUUGGUAUAGAGAAGCACGAGAGAAAGACGAGAAAAACAAUGAAGAAAGUGGUAGAGAGAGAGUGAGUGGGUAGAGAGAGAGCAAAAUUCUCUCGUCUUUCUCUCGUGCUUCUCUCUCUCUAUCACUACUCAAACUUAAAAGGAAGAUCUUAUUCAAGUUUGUCCCCAAAAGACAGCUGAAAUGAAAAAUAUUGACUAUUGAGUGGGUCGAUGCUGAAUUACAUUUGACAUGGAAAGCUUGGCUGCAGUUGCGAUGUUCCCCCUUCUGAUUUUCCUCCAAAACAAAUUCAUUUGUAAACAAUAACGGAAGUAGCAACAAUUUAUUCAUUAUAGAAAAUACCUAAAUUUUCAACUAUCAAAUCCUCUUGUCUAAACUAAAAAACUCAUAUCUCUAAAAUCUAUAUACAAAAUGUCAAAAACGGGUGAUCUCUCAAUUCGAUAAAUAAAUUCAUGCAUAAUGUUACUAGUAAUGAUAAAUUACAUAAUAAUUAUUAUAAAGAAUCAUAAAUUGGAAACAUUAAUCAUUUUACAAUAUAUUACAUAAUAAAGAUAAAUUUUAUAACAAGUUAAGUUAGAACAUAUCAAAUAUUUUCAAUAUAUAUAAUUAUUUAAGAAGUCUUUUAACAAUAAUUUUUUUCUUUUUCAGUUAAUCAUGUCAUAUACCGUUAUCUAAAAUGCUGGCGAUAUUAUUAUUCCUCACUUUUCUCAAACAAAAAAGAAAAGAAAAAAGAAACAUGAUUAACGUUUAGAGAAAAGUCACGCCUUUUAAAAACAAUAUGUAUACAAUAGCAAUCCAUACUUUAUAAAAUUGAUGGUGAUUACAAAGAAAAAUUGUUUAAAAUAGAUUUAAUGCACAAAUAUGAUGACUUUUGGCAAAAAUUAGUUUCGGAAAUGUUGGGAUGAAAACCAUAUUAAUUGAGAAUUAAAAUUACUUAAUAAAAUUACUUAACUACCAUCUAAUAGAUGAAAACCAUAUCAAUUGGGACUUAAAUUAAGAUUUAAAUGUUGAAAUAUCUAGCAUUACUCACAAUAACCAAUUCAAAUUAUGACUAUCAUGUAGAAGCAAAUGUUUAUGCUUGGGUUUUUUACUUCUUGAAUUUGAUUGGAAAAAUUUCUGAGAUAGAGAAGUGUUUUGGAUAAUUUUUUCGGGAUUGAAACCACAAAUUGGUAGAGGAAAUUAAUUUUGGACAAAUUUUUCUUAUAUUGUAGGACCUUCUAGUUGGAGUAGUGAUGGCUUUGUCUUCAUUUUUGGUUCCUUUUGUGUCAGCAACCCCUUACUAUUCUCUUGACCCUGAGUUUGAGAUAGAAAUUUAUCAACCUCCAACCCCACAUCCACAAACAAGUUGAUUGAAACAAUUACUCUUUUAAUUAAGAGGACCCAAAUGAUUUAGGUUUCAGUUCUUAUCAUUUGUCUAUUAUUUCUUUGAAACAUUUAUUUUGAGCGUUACUGAUCUUAAUUAUCUGUAUUUCUCCAAUUAUUGAAGAAUUUCAAGUGGCCACUUUUUCUCCUUUUUAUAUAUGUUUAUUUUUUGGAGUGAUCAAACGGGUGAAAAAUCAAGUAUUCGCUGGUCUGUAGUUUAGCCAACGAUGGCUGAUCCACACAGUUGAUUAUAUGAUACUAUUAGCUCUCAAAAUCUUUCUUAUUUGAGAACAUAAAUUGCCCAUUGAAGUUAAACUAUGUUACCCAGCUCCAUGCACAUACAUUAAAUGUUUAGGUAGUUUUACAAAAUGAUAACAGCAUGCCAAAACUUGAUGUUGUCAUAUUCGACAUUUCAAAUUGAAAAAUAUGCAAGCAAUCUUCAGUGACCAUUACGUUUUUAUUGAAUAAUUUAAAUGGCCAGUAAAUCAACAGUCCGUGAGUUUUAAAUCUGUUAUGACUUAAUGUAUCUUUCUGUAUUCGUACACAGGUUAUAUUAUCAUAGUUUAAAAUUUUAAUAUUAUUUUAAAUGUUAUAAAUACUUUAAUGCUAUUAGUCUACUACACAGGUUAUAUUAUUUAUAUUAUAUUUGUAUUAAUUAAAACUUUUAAUGUCAACUUUCUAAUUACUAUAUUGAAAAGGUAUUAUGGUUAAGAAAAAGUUUUGGCAUUUCUUCUAAAAAAUUUGAGGGUAUGCAUGACAACACUACAAGAAAAAUGACCUACCAUGACAGUCCUCUGUGUGACAGUUUUUGGUCUGCAGAGCUACUACGAUAGAUGGAUGAUAAAUUUUUUUUCUAUCAUUCAUUUAUGACAUACUUGUGAUAGAAAUUUCAUCUAUCAAGCACUUAUGAUAGACUGAUGAUAAAUUAUUUGGUUAUCAAGAAGUAAUGACAAGUUUGUGAUAUAAUUUAGAUCAUCAAGUAGCUUUUUUAUUUUGACUUUAUUUCACAAGGUUGACUGAAAAUUUUAAAAUGAAUGAAAAAAAUAAAUAAAGAAUAAACGGUACCGUUUGGAUUAAAAGUUUCUCUUUGGACAAGAAACGACACCGUUUAGAUUGAAGCUAAAUAAAAACAAAACCCUCUUCAGUUUUCACUAAUCGAAUUUUUUUUCCCUAAGUGUCGGCACUCUCACUCACUCUCGUCUCUCGCUCAGUCAUUCUCGUCAAUCUCACACUCACAAAGCCCUUUUCACCCGAAAUCCUUGCAUGGGCACUGAACCACUGCCGCCAUUCUCUUGUAUUUGACUAUCAAUUUUGGCUCUCACCGAGAACUAUAUGGAAUACCCACCAAACGCAUGUGCUUCUACUAUUGAAUUUCAAUACCCUAACUGAGAGCCCACGCUCACCCACUAUUGUAACCGUUCGAUCAAUACAGGUAAAUAAUAUUUCUAGUGUUGUGUUCCAUUUCAAUUUUAAUGUUCUUGUCAAACUCGAACCCUAUAUAUGUAAACUUAAAAACCCUAGAUGUGUUCUUGUCAAAUUCGAACCCUACACACCUAAAUCUUGUAAAACCUAGAUGUUUUCUUGUCAAAUUUGAACCCUGUACGUGUAAAACUUGAAAAUCCUAGGUGUGCUCUUGUUAAAUUUGGAUCUAUUUGAUUGGUCUUCUAUGUUUCUUUAUUUAUGGAAUUUUAAACAUUUAUUUGAUUUUUUUGGAAUUUAAUUAUUAUAGUUUUAUUGUUAAAUUAAUUUGAUUUAGGCUGUAAAGAUCCUUGCCAAUUUAAUCGUGAUGGGUGUUGGGAUAUUGUCUAGGCUGCUUUAUCUUUGGGGUUUUCUAAUAACUAAUUUUUUUUUUUCACUUUUUUGUGGAUGCAUGGAACUAUAUAUAUAGAUAAUUCUCAAAUUCGUUCACUGUGAUGCAAAGUCUUUUUUUUUUCAAUUUCAUUGGUUAAAUUCACUAAUUCGUUGAAAUUAGUGGUGAUUGUGGGCCGAGUCGCAUGUGCAGGAAGUGGUGUCAGGUCUGGGCGCACAUUGAGUCAUGCACUUGGUGGGCAAUUGGUAUUGUUUCUAUUGUGUGUGUUGGAAAUAAUGUCAAUAUCAUCCAACCAAUGUGUGUUUCUAGUGGCUGUUUUUGCACCGAGCAGAUAAUUUAUUAUUACAUCAGAGUUCCCCAUCCCUUGUUUCUCUUUUGGGUAAUGCAGGUAUUGACUAGUUCAUUUCCAUUUUCAUUUGUCUUGAGGGAAUGUUAUCAAUUUUUCGAUCUUACAAGAUAUUGAUUGAUACAUAUGUGUACAAUACAUUAAAAAUCAUUAAACAUUUUGCUCUUAGUUACAAUUUUGAAUGAAUGUCACAUGGAAAGAUCCUCUAAGAAUAUCAAUAGUAUUGUGGUUUCUACUCAAUUUCCACUCUCCGCACUCAUAUGAGCAUGGUUUGAAUCUCAAGCCUUUUGUACCAUUCAAAAAUUUAUACCAAUUAACAACAUAGCUUGCUAGCACCACAAAUUGUUUCAACUCCAAGGCAGAGAAUUCCUAGAAGAUAUAUACAUAUUGAUAUAUACUUGCAUGUAGCCGUAUGCUCACUACCUUCGAAUUGGGGAUAUAGUCACUAUUUUUGUAUUCCCUCCAAGUGUUUGAUAAAAAGCAUGAAUGAAUCUUGGCUCUUUAAUUGUUGCAGGCCAUUUCUACCUAUGAGGAGCAAAGGAAUAUGAAGCUUAUUAUAUUCAUUCACAAAGCAAAGCUGAUAUAAUUCAUGGCAAAGCUUGAUGAGGUGUUGUAUUUAAUCUUGCUCAUGAGAUCAAUUACCUAUCUUGUUGGACUUUAUUCUUGUAAUUAAGGUCCAUCCAAAGUUGAUGGCUUGUUUGUCAGAAAGAUAAUCUGAAGGCUAUGAUUGAUUACUUGCGGGCCGAUGGAAAUGUCUCCAUGAUUGGUUUAUGAGGUUGUUAAAUUACUAAAUAGGUAUAUUUACUUUUCAUGAGCUUUAUCUUCGUUUUUCCAUUAUGGAAAUGUCUCUAUGAUUGUAACUUUUAACACGUGGAACUCUUGAACCCUAUGUUUAGUUAUAUACUUAUAUUGGGACUUGUAUAAAUUAAUAUGAUGGUUUUAUUAUUAUUAUUAUUAGUAGUAGUAGUAGUAGUAGUAGCAGCUACAAAAGAUCAAAAGAACUUAAAGGUGUGGCUUGUGGCUUUCUUGCUGUUUGGGCUUUAACUGCUGCCUCACUUGUCAUUGUUGCUAAUCUGGUGUGCCACGUCCAUUUCAGUGUAAUUACAUAAGUUAGUUUGCUUGAUUAAUUAAUUAAUUAGUUAGCGGAUUGAAUAGCCAGAGUACUACAUUUUGCAUAGGUCUGAUGCUGGAUGAAUUUUCAUGUCUUGGCUUUGGGGCUGCUGGAUUUUGCUGCUGGAAGACUAGAUUUUGCAAUUUUGUUGCUGGAAGACUACAUUUUGUGUAGGUUUGUUGCUGGAUGUUGCUGAAUGCGGAGUACUUUGCUUGGUUUUGGAUUGGCCUUUGUUGUCUAUUGGCUCGACUUUGGAAUAUGGAUUAACUAAUGUAAUGUACUUUGGAUAUUUUUAUGGUUAAUAAAGUUCACUAAUUUAGUUCAUUAGUUUUGGAUUUAAUUGCAUUUAGUAAUUUAUUUUCUUUCAUAUAAUUUUAAUAAUUUUAAUAAUUUUAAUUUUUAAAUUUCAUAAUUUUUAUUUUAAAUUAAUAAAUAAAAUAAAUAAUCAAUUUUUUCAAAAAAAAUGUGAUAGAAAAUACUAGUCAUACACACAAUUGAUAUCCCAAAAAAAAAUACAAUCCAAAAAUUUCUAAAAAAAUGAAAAUAUAAAAUAAAAAAAUAAUUUCCCUCUUCUAAGUAGUAUGACAUAAUUAUGAUAGGUAAAAUCUAUCACAACUUGUGACGCGAUUUUAUCUGUCAUCUUUUCUUGACGCUGACUAUAAUGACAGUAAGGAUAACCGUCAUCUACCCCCUAAGAUGACAGUUUUUACCUAUCAUAAUAGGUCAUUUUUCUUGUAGUGCAAUUUUUCCAAUUCUAAGGGUAUAGGUUUGAAAAUUUAACGUUAUUUAACUUAAUGAAACAAAAGGGGAAACCAAGAACUAUUCAAUUUUGUAUUUUUUGUUUGUAAUUCAAAAAAUACAUCCACCAAACAAGUUUUACACAUUAAUGCUGUCAUAAAACGAAAAACAGUUUGCCAAAAAAUGGUACCGUCACAUGAUUUCUUAGUAAGUCCAUAUUAGAUAUAUUUAUACAUUUUAGGUAUUUUAGUUAUAAAAGAAGUUGGUCCUCCCCCUAUUUAUAAAAGAUAACUUUGUUUCGAUAUUACCACUAAACUCUUACAUAGAAUUAGUGUAAUGUUAAGAGAGAGUAAUGCGGUUUUCCAUUACCAUCUUUGAAAAUAGAAAGAUAUGGAUGCGUGCAUUUAAGAGUCAUCGUGAAAAUCAUACAAUUCAAUUUCCUGACAUAUAUAUUUAUGCACGUAUGCCAAAAGAAUAAAUAGACAGAAAGUAAAUUUAUAGUCCUCACUUCCUCACAAUUGUUAACGUGGAGAUGCAUUACAACUGUGAACUGUCACUACUUUAGCCUUUUUUUUUUUUAAUUAUAGUGUGAUGGAGACAUUAAGGAUGAGCAUAAUAGUUAAAGAUGACUCAUUUCUCAUUUUCUUUUUAAAGUGCUCUGCUGAAAGCCAAACUUCCUUUGGCUAAUUAAUUUAGAAGUAAAGCAGAGAAUAAAGUCCUAGAUGCCUUCUGAAAUUAGAAAUACAUUUUAUAUGCUUUAAUUAUGAUUAUUUGGUAGACUAAAGACCUAAAAGAUAUGUCAAAAGUAUAAAACAGAGCGAUUAAAGAAAAAAGAAAAAAAAAACAGAGUAUUUGUGACGUAGAAUAACAAUUGGUAAAUAAAUCCUAAAUAUUUGAGUUGUUAAAAGCAAAUAUAACAGAGACGGUAAGAGAGAUGCUGAAACAGAAAACUAUUAGCUUAUCUUGAUUUUCCCACUAUAUUCAUUUUCGAUGCUUUUCAAACGAGAUUCUUUUAAUUCUUCUGGUGUCUCUUAUAGAUCUCCAUCCCACAUCUGCACUACGAACAAGUUGAUUAAAAUUAAAUACUGUUGGAGAUGUGGGGUGAGCGGUCAACUUGGUAAAAAAACUAUGUAUAAUAUUGUUAAUAAUAUAAAAUAUAAAAUAAUAAUUACAAAGAAUCAUAAAUUAGAAAAAUUAUUUAUUUUACAAUCUAUUUCUUAAGUAAGAUAAAUCUCGUAAUAAGUUAAGUUAUAAUGUAAAAAAUAUUUUCAAUUUAUAAUCAUUUAAGGAGUCAUUUAACAAUAAAAUCUUUCUUUUUUUGAUCAAUUGGUCAUGCUACAGAGCAUCAUCUAUUCGUGGUGAUAUUAUUAUUACUCCGUAUUCUCAAAAAACACGAUUUAACAUUUAGAGAAAGUUCCUACCUUUUAAAAAGAACAUGUAUGCAACAACUACCCAUACUUUAUCUUACCACGACAAAACUAAUAGUGACUAAAUCAAUUUUCUCGAAUAAAGAAAAAUUUCUUAAAAUUAAUUUAAUAUACAAAUAUGAUGACUUUUUGCAAAAAUUAGUUUUGGAAAAUUAGUGACAGAAAAUAGUAACGAUUAUUGUUUAGAUGUGUAAAUAGCCUAAACAUGAUCCCUAAUACCAAUAUCCACGUGCAUCUUAACACCUUUCGUCAUAUUCUUUCAUUCAUGGUCACUGGUUCAAGAUUUGAAUUUGAUCAUUAAAUCAUGUUCAAUAAUAUUAGAGAUCCCAACAAUUGAGUACCAACUUAAAUCCCAAUGCUAUGUGUCAUUAACAAAUGUUGUGUCAUUUAUAAUUAUUGAAUGAAUAAUUCGUUAAUUUAUUGAUAAAUGAAAAUUUAUUAAUUUAAAGAGAGAUAUUUUUUUUUUGGGUUUUAAGAAGAGUUUUGUUGGUACAUGUACAUACUUAUAAAGAAAUAAACUUGUAAUUAUACUAUAUCUUUCUUUCUUUAUUCAGUUUGGUGGGAUAUUGUGAUAAAUCAUUGGAUUAAAAUGCAUUUCUAAAUUAAAACUUGUUAAAAUCUAAUUUAUUUGGGAAGCGCAUAUUAUUUGUCAGUCGUACUUCUCAAGUCUCAACUUAGCAAGUUAUUUCUAACUUGUCAGUCUCUAUUUGUUCUCUAAAAGCUAAUAGUCUCGAAUCUCCCGCAUUUGAUAUCUUGCCAUUAUUGUUGGCAUUAACAUGUUACCUGAGAUUGGGAUUCAUUAAAAUCCUCAAUGUAAUCGGUGGAACGAAUGGAUUUCUUCUGUUCACCAAUCCACCAAAAUUUCUGUAAUUAAAUUCAAGAGUCAAGAUCUAUGCUUAUAAUCUAUUCUAACAGCUAAUAUUCUAUUUUAUAUUUACUUAAAUAUGAAGAGCUAUGCUUGUCAUUAACUUCAAAUGUGAUCGAAGCAGCCAUACAUCUGUAUAUUACUUAUUCCCAACCUUUUUUUUUGACUUCAUAUACUUUCUUUUCAUGUUAUUUACUCUUUUUUUCCCCUCUCUGACAAUUGAGGUAGGGGGUCAAACUUGAAAGUAUCUUAAAAUCAGACAAUUUUUUUUUUUUUUAAGAUAGCUGCUAAUAUGCUCUAUUAGACAAUGAUAAGUAAUAACCUAGUUGUUUGCAUUAGAAAUGAUAUUUUUUGUGGUGCUGAUAAAGAGGUUGAUUAUGAUUCAACAAUUUAAAAUAUGAAAACAUGUGGAAGACGGCCGCAAUUAAAUUGAUUGUAUGAAAAUAUUUCAAUGAAAUUUUAAAAAUUUAGUACUUGUUAUCUUAUCGAGAGUUUUUUUAAAUUAUAUUACUACUUGAACUUGGGUACUUGUUAUCUUAUCGAGAGUUUUUUUAAAUUAUAUUACUACUUGAACUUGGCUGCUUUUGUAUUGAAUUCCUAGCGUUGCCAUUGCUUCUACUCAAAAGCCAUUUAAGUUUGUGUAAGCUACCUAUAGUUUGAACAACAAUUUACUCAUGAAUUGUUGUUCAUAAUAGCAAUUUGAUUGAAAGUGCGGCUGCACUAAUUUUCUAGAUGAAUUUUUUCCUACAUGCUUGUUCUCGUAUGACCCAAAAUCCUGCUACAUCAGUUGUAUUAGAAAUUAAUACUGGGUUACAAUUAUGCAUCCCCACCAAUAUUUAAGCAAUUUAAUUACAGGAACAUUUCUUGAGGAAAGAAACUCAUAUCGCCCCUAGGCUUUUAAUGAGGCUCAUUUUUAUGAAUCUGGAUGGCAUUAGAUAUCUCUCCGAAUAUUGGUGGGAGUAUAUCGCAGAUCUCUGGGCUAUACUACAAAGUGUAUGUACGUUGACUCUCAAUAAAUACAAACGAUUCUCUGAUAUGAUUCAAAACAUCAGUGCACGCAUCAUUUUAACGAGAGAGAAUAUUCUAAGAACGAAAUUGAAGGUGCAAUCAACAACUAAAAUGAAGCCAGAAAUGUACACGCAUGAGGAAGUUUUCCUAGAAGAUUGAUAUUUCUUUAACUAGCAAACAAUACAAGUCCAAAGCUAACCAAACCAUACCUGCAAGUCCGGGGCUUAAAUGGAGUACUUGUAAGCAUAAAACAUUAAUCAAAACACAGUAUAGACACACACACACACCCCUACAUACAUACCAGCAAAUUCGAAAUAGAAAAAGGAGUGCAACUAUUCAAGUUUGUUGACAAUAUUGCAACCAUGGCAUAUUAAAGCAAAUCCUUAAAAUCAGCUAAACGAAACAAUUCCCUGUCUCAUGAAUCGAUGCUCAAUUAAAAUUGAAAUUGAAAGUCCGGCUGGUGUUGUUUCCCUCUCCAGGUUUGCCUACAUAAGUAAAGGGAAAUGAGAAUCAUAAAUGAAAAUCUGCUUCGAUCACUGUUCACAAAUCACUGUUCACAAAUCCCUAAUUCAAAAAUUACUGUUGAUUAUCGUUUUACAGCAGCGCCUCAGCUCCAGCCUUCACCCCGCAACGCAAGCAGCAGCCAGCGCGAACCAGUCGCGCCCAACGCAAGCCCCAGCAACCCAGAUUGUUAGCUCCAGCCGCGCGCAACGUAGCUGAGCAGCAGCAGACCAGCAGCGCGAACCAGCUCUCGCGCGCAACACAACGCGAACGCAGCAGUGCGUAGAUGCAGCCCAGCAACGCAGCGCGAACCAGCAAUGCAGCCUCACCAGCGCGCAACGCAAGCCCCCGCACGCGCAGCACCAGCAUCCCGUUUCUCGCAGCGCAGCAGCGCGCAACGCAGCGCAGCACCCGCAAAGCAAGCCUCACCAGCGCGCAACGCAAGCCCGCAACGCAGCAACGAGCACGCCCUGCAACGCAACCAGCUUACGCCUUGUAUUCCAGCCGGGUAAAUCGAAAUCCGUGAGUACAAUUAUUGUAACAAUGCCGAAGAGGAAAGCAUCCACUUCCAAGUCAUCGAAAAAGACACCCAUCGCAAAGAAAUCUAAGAUUGCCGCUCCCACUACGGUUCCAUGGAACACAAUUUCAGAUUCACGCCAAGCCGUGAGACAAAGAUCGAAGCAUGGAAAAGGCAUGAGUAUUUUGCCACUUGCGGAAUCCAAUCUCGAAGGGUGCCUUGCAUUCGCGACUCAACAAGAGAAAGAGAGGUACAAAGAUAUUUCCACGGGCAAAAUACUUCCAGCUAAGAAUUUUUGGAUAUGUCUAUGUUUGAAAGAACAUGUGUGGUUGAAUUCAAGGAGGGGAGAUUUCAGUUUACUGAACCAGGACCCACUCAACUUCCGAAGAAGCUUUAUGCUAGGAGUGGUGCUACCUCUGAUGACGAGUUUGACGACGACACUGCUGCCCCGCCAACUAUUCCUUCUACAUCCGCACCACCUUUGAGCAUUCAAUUAGAGAAAAUGGAGCACAAGCUGAACAAGAUGGAGCAGAAUUUGGCCGCAUACUUCGAGAGUGUGGGAUUUACCCCACCAUUUCCGCCAAGCCCAUAGACGUUAUGUGGAUCAAAGCUCACAAUUCAGGGAAGUUUCUUUUUGCCCUUAAUCCUUUAUCCUUACGCUUUAAUUUUUAUGUGAGCUUUGAUUAUCUUACAUUGGGGACAAUGUAAGUUCUUGGUGUGGGGGAGGGAUUUUUGCAUUAUUGAUGUCUGGAAUUAUUGUUUUCACUCUACUUAUUUUUUUUUUUCACUCUACUCAUCCUUAAAUGAUUUUGGAGUUAGUAUGCUUUAUAUAUUAUUAUUUUUUCUUUUCUUUUAUUUCUCACAACUUUUUUUUUCCCAUCUAUCUCAAAUUAUUUACAUCUAUUUUUAUUCUAUCAUACUGUUUCAUCGCUCACAUUUUAUCUUUCACUUUUCAUCUUUCUCACUUCUUAUCAUUUUUACCUUUCCUUUUAUAUAUCACCCAUACCUUCUUCUCAUUCUACACCACUAUUGAUGGUUGAUUCAUUUGAAGAGUGUACAUGAUUUGAUGGCAAAUUUACCAACUUUGUGAGGAUUUGAGCCUAUGAGCAACCACUUUGCUCUAAUAUUUUUGUUAUGUGAAUAUCAAUCUUAGUUUGUUUAUUCUAGAACUUGCUUUGUUAUGCAUGUUGAAGCCGCAUUACGGGAUUUUAUGCACUAAAAUGAUAAGGGCAAACCCUUUUCCAUUUUUCUAUUCUCGCAUUUUUUUUCUCUACCCGAAGAUCUUUAUUUGCUAUCUUUGUUUGAGCCUUAACAAUUACCCAUCUAAUUCUCUCCGUCUACUUAACCAUUUUUCUUCUUUUUUUUGAGCCUCAAUUUAAGGAGAUUUUUGGACUCAUUGUGUGGAUAUAUUUUGUUGCUUUUUCUACCUUGUAAUAAAGUUUCUCAAUUAGAUCAACAAGCAUUAUGCUUGAAUUAAAUUGUGCAAGGUUCGUUUCUUUUGUUUGAUUCAAAAACAAAAACAAAAAAAAAAAAACAAAAAACAAAAAAAAAAAAGAAAAAAAAAGAAAAAAAAAAAGAAAAAGAAAAAUCACAAAAAAAAAACAAAAAAAAAUGUUUACAUUCUUGGUGACUUAAGUAGAAAUAAGCAUUUUGAUAUCAUAAGUUCAUUCAAUGAGUUCAUUUUUCUCGUUUUAAUCUCUUUUUCUUUCGUAAACCUUUCUUUUUCAUUUAACCCAUUUAACCCCAUUACAACCCUCUUAAGACCCUUAGAUUUUUGCAUUUUAUUCAUGUUUUGUGGAUUGAGAUGUGAUAUAUGAGCAAGCUUAUGGUAAUAGCAUUCUUUGAUUUGAUUUGAGUGGAUAAAUGACACCCUAAAAACUUUGAGUGCAUGGAGUGAAGUUAUUGAGAGGGCUAUUAAAUCUUGUUGCACUUGAAUUUUGAAUGGAUCUCCUUGGUGGUUGAAUGUUCUUAUUCUAUCUUAUGAAAUUCUAUGCUUUAAAAUCCUUGUCUCUCGAAUGUUAAUCGACUUAAUUUCUUGAGGUAUGCUUUCUUAAAAUUGUUUUUGGAUGAGUUGAGAUGAGAAUUGAGUGGAGAUUUGAGAUUAAUCUUGAGUUAUAUGCUUGAGGACAAGCAUCAUCUUGGUGUGGGGGAAUUUGUUAGAGUGCAAUUUAUGCACUAGUUUUGCAUUGUUUACUUCCCUUAAUAUCGAUGUUUUACACUUAAUAAUAAUGUUUUACUUGUGUUUUACUUUUGUAGGUGCAAUUCUAUUGAUUGGUGAUAAAAUUGAGCUAAAAGAUGAUGUUUAAGGAGGAUUGUUCUCUUGGAGAAAUUAUGAGCGUCGAAAGAACUUUGUUGAUAAGGCGUGGGCGCGUGCUGUCAACUGCGGACCUGCAGUUUUUAGUUUAACGUGUUUUGUAUUUUUGGUUAUUUUUGUAAUUACGAAUUUAAUAUUUCAGAUAUUAGUAUUUUAUUUUAAAUAGAAUUCUAAAAGAGAAGAGAGAGAGAGUAUUUAAGGGAGGAAUCUAUUGUGAAAAGGGGGAUUUGGAUUGGAGAAAAAGAAAGAAACCCUAGAUCUAAUUUUUCUCUUCUCUCUAUGAAGAACUAAACCUAUUUUUCUGGUUGAAGGAUAAUGACGCUUUGAUUCAUCACUACUGUGAGAUUUUUCUUAUGCUUUAAUUGUUUUAUUACUUUUUGGGUAUUUGUUUAUUCUCUGAAUUAGUUUCAUGAUUAUGUUUGUUAAUUAGGUAAUUGUCCACUAUUUAAUUAUCAACUUAAUCUAUUGUCAAUUAAAGGAUUCAUCGUAUGAAGAAUUUAAUGUUUGUGACAAAUAACAUAGCAGAGAGUUGUGUUGUGAGAAUAAACAAUCUAAUUUAAAUGAAUCAUCAUAUGUGUUGAUUAGGAUUUGGGUCUCUCUGGUUUUUCAGGCUGUCAAUUGAUUAAAUCCUAUGAUCGUAUCAAGGGUUGUCUAUUGAUUAGGGAAAUAUCCAACGGUCGUACCUUGGUUAUCGACUAGUUAAGGAGAGAUUGGCUAUUAGAGGGUCUCAAUAGCUAUAACCGGUCUAUUCAUAAGUAAUAAUAAUAUAUAUUUGAAUCAAUGAUCAGUAGUCGAAUCAAGCUGAGUUAAUUCCUUCAACCAGAGCUUUCUCCAAUUUGAAUUACAACUUUAAUUUGCAUUUUGUAUUUAAUUUGAUUUUUAUUAUUGUCUACAAUUCCCCCAUUUUAUGUUUUACGUUUCAAAAGGAUUUAAAUAAUUACCGAUCUCUGUGGACACGACCCUGCUCAAUCACUAUACACAAUUUAUUUAGAGUAGGAAUUUAUUUUUGUUGGCUUCGACACCCAUCAGUUGAUUUGUGUUGUUUAUUGCUAGAUUUCGCAUAAUUGUUUGCUGAUUACUAGAACUGGCUCUGUUUGGAUCUGAUACCAUGUUUAAAAACAUAAAAAAUCACUGAUCAGUUUGUUUGGUUGCUAAGAAAAUUUGCUCUGUUUGCUGAGAAAGUUUCAAAGAAGAUUCUCGAUUUUUUUUAUUUCAUCUUUCUUACUUCACGAAUGAUUACAAACACACCUUUUAUACACAACUCAACUAGCUAACAGAAAGAAAGCUACAAAACAGAAUCUCAGUAAGCUUAACUAAUUUUGCUGAGCUGGCAUUACACACUUAACUAACUUCGGCUAACUAAAUUCUCACAUGUGCUAAGCAUGAGCAGACUGUUUGUACACAUUAUGUGCUUCUUUAACACAAUGGAGUUUUAAAAAUUUGGUACUUGUUAUCUUAUCGAAAGUUUUCAAAAUUAUAUGAAUGUUCAAACUUAGCCCCUCCCGGCACUGCCACUGCUUCUACGUGAAAGUCAUUUAAGUUUGUGUUAGCUGCCUAUAGAUUGAAUAACAAUUUUACUCCGGAUUUUUUGUCCAUUAUGAAAAUUUGAUUGAAAGUGCGGCUGCACUAAUUUUCUAGAUGAACUUCCCUACAUGUUUUUUCUCAUAUGACCCAGAAUACUGCUAUAACAAUUGUAUUGGAAACUAUUCAACUGGGUUACUAUUCUACAUCCCCACCAAAAUUUAAACAGUCGACAUUGUGGAAAGAAACUCAUUUCGCCACUAGGCUUUUAGUGAGGCUAAUUUCUCUGAAUUUGGACAGAGUAGAUUUCUAAGCUAAUGCUUGGAAGAUCUCUGGCGAUAUUACAAAGUGCAUGUACAUUGAGUCUUAAUAAAUAUAAACGAUUCUCUAAUAUGAUUCAAAACAUCACUACAUGCAUAAGUUAAUAAGAGAAAAAAUUAUAAGAUUAUUUAUGCAUCACCAUUUAUAGUUGCACCCUCUCUAAUGAAAUUGAAGGUGCAGCCAGCAAUUAAAAUGAAGCAGAAAUGUACAUUGACCCUUAAUAAAUAGAAACUAAGGCGUUAUCGAUUCAACUUCAGUUGAUCAAUUGCGGGUGAAAGAUAAAUAAAGGAUAAGAGAAUAGAGCUGGAGUGCUAAAUUGGCUAUUGAAGAAGGGUGUCACAUGAUCACAAUCACAUUGACGCACAACUCUUUGGAGGCAAAUUUUGUCUAUGUGUACUCUAAAUUCAGCCAAACCAUACAUGUAUGAACAGAAUUUAAACCGUAGUUCUCAUCACAAUAGUAAUUGAAGCUACAAAAGCCAGAAAAUCUGAACAAAAACUUAAAAGGAAGAUUUUAUUCAAGUUUGCCCCCAAAAGACAGUUGAAAUGAAAAAUAUUGACUAUUGAAUGGGUCAAUGCUGAAUUACAUUUCAAAUGGAAAGCUUGGCAACAGUUACAAUGUUUCCCCUCUGAUUUUCCUCCAAAACAAAUUCAGUUAUAAACAAUAACUGAAGUAGGAAUAAUUUAUUCAUCAAAGAAAAUACCCUAGUUUUCAACUAACAAAUCCUGCUAUCCAAAUUAAAAAAACUCGCAUCUCUAAAAUUUAUUUGUAAACUGUUGGAAAUGAGGAGUGAUCUGUCAACUCCGUAAAUAAACUCAGGCAUAAUAUUAAUAAUAAUUAUAAAUUACAUAAUAAUUAUUAUAAAGAAUCAUAAAUUGGAAACGCUAAUCAUUCUACAAUCUAUUAUAUAAGUAAGAUAAGUCUCAUAAUAAGUUAAGUUAUAAUGUAAUAAAUACUUUCAAUAUAUAAUUAUUUAAGAAGGCAUUUAACAAUAAAAUAUUUUUUUUUCUAUUCGGUUGAUCAUAUAGUGUUAUCUAAACUCUUGACGAUAUUAUUAUUACUCACUUUUCUAAAAAAAAAACAUGAUUAACGUUUAGAGAAAAGUCAUGCCCCUUAAAAAUAAUAUGUAUACAAGCUAUCCAUACUUUAUCUUACCAUGACAAAAUUGAUGGUGAUUAAAUCUACUUUUAAAAUAGAUUUAAUGCACAGAUAUUAUGACUUCUGGCAAAAAUUAGUUUUGGAAGACAUAAUGGUAGAAAAUAGUGAUGAUCAUUAUUUAAAUGUGUAAAUAGCCUAGGCAUAGCCUGUAAUACCAAUAUCCAUUUGCCUUUAUUUGGAUUAUCACAUUUCAUGAUAUUCUUAUAUUUAUGACCAUUGUUCGAGAUUUGAACUUGAUCAUAAAUUAAGCUGCAAGAGAUUUUACUUCAGUUUCUAAGCUUUUCAAUCGUGAUUCAUCCAUGCCUUUCUUGGAUACCAUUAUGUUACGUGCCAAUGUAACUGACCUUGUAAUUGGUGUGUAUAAGGAAACAUGCCCUUUCAAGAUUGUUUUCUUUUGUUUCCUUAUUGUAGUAGUCAAAUAAAUAAAGAACGAACAAUUGAACUUGGUCUACUUCGAGGAAAACCAAGGCCUGCAAUAUUAGAUGAACUUUGAACAAAAUUAAUCUACUGCUUUUAUUCAUCUUUGGACUAUGAAUUUAUACAAAGACUUUAACAAAAAAUAACAAAGACACAACUGAAUGAUAGCAACAAGUGCUGACUUAGCGGACUACUGCAACAACUAAAUAAAAACUAAAUAUUUAUUUUGACUGUAACAACAAUUGCCCUGAUGAAUAGGACUCCACAGCAGCCACGUGACAACUAAUUUCUCCUUAAUAUUAUUAUUAGUAGAAGUAGAUUUUCAAACUAGUCUUGAUAUAUUUCGAAGUUGUAUUAUUAUCAAUGUAUAUGUAUCUAGAUUGUAACUAUAUUUUAAAAAAUAUAAUUUUUUUAAUUAUUGCACAGUAAAUGUAGAAAAAUAUCUAUAAAAUAAUAUUAUUAGGACUAAGAAAAAAAUAUUAUUUUAUAUAAGUUAUUUAUUUAUUAUUGAAUGAAUAAUUUAUUAAUUUAUUGAUAAACGAAUAUUUAUUAAUUUAAAGAGAGAUUAUUUUGGUUUUAAGAAGAGUUUGUUUGGUACAUGUACACACUUAUAAAGAAACACAAAAGGUGCUUCCUCAAGUUAAUAGUAUUUGCUUUAAUCGCUAUAGUUCACAAUAAUAUAGCAUAGUUUGGAAAAUUGUAAUUAUACUAUGUCUACGUUUGGUACAAUUUUUCAAGAAGAACUUAUUUAAAUAGAGUUUUUGUUAGUAGAACAUUUAUAAAUAAAAUUUUUACUGAAAAAAUUUAAGUUAUUUGGUUGUCAUUGUCAAAAUUGAUGAACUUUUGAUCUUUUGUUAACAUGUGUUUUUUUUACUAAAUAAUAAAUGUUAGGUUACAAUUAUUUUCAAUAGUUUUUGAAGGAAUCAAGUUAUGAAAUUUUUAUCAAUGAACUUUCAAUAUGUCAGCAUAUGGUCUGUAAAAUUUGAGAGUUUUCCAAUGAGGGAAUAAUUUAUUAAAAAUAAGAGAAUAUGGAUUGUUCUGUUUUAAGGGCCGAUUAUUGAGGACAUUUGAGGUUGAGCUUAGGAGAUGUUUAAAUUGAGAUAUUUGAGGACAUUAUGUUAGCCUAAAGGGCUACACAUAAUGUAAUUUUGAUGAUAACAAACAUGUGUCUUAAGUAAAAAUAAUAAAUAUUGUAUUUCACAUUUUCACUAGUUUUUGAAGGAUAAUAUUUAUGCAAGUGAAUCAAGUGAAAUCAAGAUUGAAGAUACUCAACGGACAACGGCGACAUCAAGAAUAUAGUUUAGAGCUCAAUGAACAAAUUAGUGCGAUAAAUUCUUGUAAAGCCGGUAUGAUUUAAUUGAUGCAUGAUUUAGCAUUUGAGAAGCUCAAGAGAUUAAUUUAAUUAAAUACUUUUCAUAAACUAAAAGGUUUUAUUUUUAUAAAGUAAAGUAUUUUGUGGAUUUGAGUAAUUUGGACUUAAAUGCUAAGAUUUGAAAUCUUUGAUUUUAAUAAGUAUUAAAUUUCGGAGUUGGACGUUUUGAUAAACAUUUGAAAUGUUUUGGGUCAUACUAUAAUUUAUAAAUAUUUUGGACUAAAGUGAAAGGUUUUGAGAACUUUGAAAAAUAUGGGUAUUAUGUUGAAAAGGACCUUUGUGCGAACUAAAAAUUUCUUUGGGGCCAUAUCAUAAUUUCAGAAAGUUUGGGAAGACAACUACUCUUAGGAAGUUCUGAAAUUGGACCUAUUUGCAAAGUUUUAUGACAUUUUGAGCCAUAGUAUAAUUAUAGAAAGUUUUGAGCCAAAGUAUAAUUUUAGUGAACAGUGUUACUAUAGCAAUUCAAAAAUAACGGUAAUAUCACUGUUCCUGAGCGGCUAGCCGGAUAAAUCAAGCGGCUAACUGCUUGGGCGAGGGAAUUUGCCUAUAACGGCUAGUUUUCAGGCUUUAACUAUAAAAACUCAGCUCAAACUUCAUUCUAAGUACUAAUGCAUGCAAAUAUAAGAUCAUACAACAUAUAUUGAGCUUCCAAAAUGCAAAUCAUCAUUGAUUGAAUCAUUGUUGAGCUAUUAGUUGCAUAUCCACUCUUAAAGAGAGUUUUUGUUGUAAUUUUCAUUUCUUAUCAAAUUGUGAGUGUGUGAGUGUGUAAGUGUGGGAAACACUUGGGGUGAAGAGAUUGGGGAGAUAAUCUCUUGGUUGUAAAGGUUCAUUGACACCUUGGAAGUCAAUUGUAAAAACUUGAACCCUUGAGAGGCUUGGAUAGUGAAAUCCUCGAGCAUGGUUGGCUUGGAGGCGUGGACGUAAGCAGGGAUUGCCGAACCACGUAAAAAUCCGCGUGUUUGUUUCUCUCUUCCCUUGCUCUUUUAUUUUUACGCUUGUUUGAAUUUAUUGUUCUCUAUUUCAUUAAGGCGUUAGAUUGAUUUAUUGUGCGAAUUGUAUUGCAUUAUUUUUAAAAACUCAAUUCACCCUCCCUCUUGGGUUGCAUUACUUGCAUUUACAUUAGAGUUUAUGAUUGAGACUCGAUUAUAUCUUAUGAGAAAUUUAUUGAUGAUUUUAGGUUGAUGAUAACAGUACGCAUUUGUUACAUGAGGAUGCCAAGAGGUAAGUAAACUAGACUUAAAAACGAAUCACAAUAAACAAUAUAUAUGUUUGACUUGUAUGAAAAGUCUAUUUUGAUAUGUACGAAUAUAGAUUUAUAUGUCUCUACUCAUGUGUUUAUGUGAUGUGUUGUUAUGUAUUGGGCGUGAUUAUGUACAUAGGCAUAUGUAUGUGUGAUGGUUCAUUGUCAUGAGCACGAAAAUGCAUUGAGUUUUCUAUGAAUGAAAAGUGGAUUUUAGCAAAUGAGAUUUCUCUUUUAUGAGAUUUUGCAUUGGGGGCCACCUCUUGAGGGCCAGAGUGCCGCAAAGUACCACGCACAACACAAAGUGCCACAUUGCAGGAUACGUAUUUUAUUGAAAGGAAAUAUGAAAGUUUGAAAGCGACAGAAAGAGAUUUUUAUGAAUUUGUUUUACAGUAUUUCCAAAAGAUCAUGGCAUAGCAUCCAUCUACAUUAUGUAUAAGUAUGCAUGUUUGCUUAUUGAGUUUUGUACUCAUUAUAGUUUAUUAUGAUUCAGUUUCCAGAAGUCAGGAUUGAUUCGUGAUGAGUGAGAAGAUGAAUUUAAAUUGAGGAUGGUAGAUGGUUUGGCUAAAUUUUUAAGUUAUUCCGCUGGCUUUUGUAUUCGAGGCUCGAAUUUUAUCGGUUGUAAAGAGUUAUUUAAAUUCAUAUGUGAGUUGUAGUCAGAUUUGCCCUCGGAGUUCGGGUUGGGGCGUUACAGAUGCAGAAACAGAAAACUAUUAGCUUAUCUUGAUUUUCCCACUAUAUUCAUUUUCGAUGCUUUUCAAACGAGAUUCUUUUAAUCCUUCUGGCGUAUGCAGCCCUUGCUCUUCUUAUAAAUCUCCAUCCGACAUCUGCACUAGGAACAAGUUGAUUGAAAUUAAAUAACAUUAGAGAUGACGGACGGUUGAGCCGUUAACUCGGUAAAAAAACUCAUAUAUAAUAUUACUAAUAAAAAAAAAUAUAAUAAUCAUUACUAAGAAUCAUAAAUUAGAAAAAUUAAUUAUUUUACAAUCUAUUUCGCAAGUAAGAUAAAUCUCAUAAUAAGUUAAGUUAUAACGUAAAAAACAUUUUCAAUUUAUAAUCGUUUAAGAAGUCAUUUAACAAUAAAAUCUUUCUUUUGGUCAGUUGGCCAUGCCACAGAGUAUCAUCUAUAUUCGUGGUGAUAUUAUUAUUACUCCGUAUUCUCAAAAAACUUGAUUUAACAUUUAGAGAAAAUUCCUACCAUUUAAAAAGAACAUGUAUGCAGCAGCUACCCAUACUUUAUCUUACCCCGACAAAAUUAAUGGUGACUAAAUCAAUUUUCUCGAUUAAAGCAAAAUUUUCUUAAAAACGAUUUAAUGCACAAAUAUGAUGACUUUUUGCAAAAAUUAGUUUUGGAAAAUAUAGUGAGAGAAAAUAGUGACGAUUAUUGUUUAGAUGUGUAAAUAGCCUAAACAUAAUUGCUAAUACCAACAUCCACGUGCAUCUUAACACCUUUCGUGAUAAUCUUUCAUUCAUGGUCACUGGUUCAAGAUUUGAAUUUGAUCAUUAAAUCAUGUUCAAGAAUAUUAGAGAUCCCAACAAUUGAGUUCCAACUUAAAUCCUAAUGCUAUGUGUCAUUGACCAAUAUUGUGUCAUUUUUUGUUAACUGGGUGAUGAAUUUCUAGUUGAUAAAAUUACUUAAAAAUAUCUUAAAAAUCAGAUAAUAGUUAGCUUAAUUUUUUGAAGCUAACUGCUCAAGAUGCUCUAUUAGAAAUGAUAACCUAAUUAUAUAAAAAAAAAAAUGAUGUAUUUUUUUCGGUGUUGAUAGUGAGAUUAUCAUUCAACAUGUUAAAAUAUGAAAACAUAUGGAAGAAGGUUGUAAAUUGAUUGAAUGAAAAUAUUUCAGUGAAGUCUAAAAAAUUUGGUACUUGUUAUCUUAUCGAAAGUUUUCUAAAUUACAUUCGUGGCACUGCCACUGCUUCCAUGUGAAGGUCAUUAAAAUUUGUGUUAGUUACCUAUAUGUUGAAUAAUAAUUUUAUUCAUGAAUUGUUGCUCAAUAUAGCAGUUUCUAGAUGAAUUUUCCUACAUGUUUGUCCUCAUAUGACCUAGAAUGCUGCCAUAUCAAUUGUAUUGGAAAUUAUUCAAGUGGGUUUGUGCUCUAUACCCCCACCAAAAUUUAAGCAAUCUACAGAACAUUCCUUGUGGAAAGAAACUUAUUUCGCUACUAGGUGGGAGUAGAUUUCUAAGCUAAUGCUCGGCAGAUCUCUAGGCUAUACUAAAAAGUGUAUGCACUUUGACUCUCAAUAUAUACGAGUGAUUCUAUGAUAUGACUGAAAACAUCAGUACAUGCAUGAUUUUAUAAGAAAGAAUAUUCUAAAAUUAUUUAUGUAUCACCAUUUGAAGUUGUACCCUCUCGAAUGAAGGUGCAAUCAGCAACUAAAAUGAAGCCCGAAAUGUACACGCGUGAAGCAGUUUUUCUAGAAGAUUGAUAUUUCUCAAACUAGCAAACCGUACAAGUCCAAAGCUAGAAAAAGGAGUGCUUCUAAGCAGAAAACAUUGAUUAAAACAGAAUGCACACAAACAUACCAGCAAAUUCAAAAUAGAAAAAGGAGUGCAACUGUUCAAGUUUGUGGACAAUAUUGCAACCGUGGCAUAUUUAUAGCAAAUCCUUGAAAUCUGCUAAAUAAACAAUGCCCUGUCUCAUGAAUCAAAGCCGAAUUAAAAUUGAAAUUGAAAGUCCGGCUGGUGUUGUUUCCCUCUCCAGUUUUGCCCACAUAAGUGAAGGGAAAUGAGAAUCAUAAACUAAAAUCUGCUUUUACAGUUCUUAUUAGAUAGAUAUAAAGGGAUCUUUCUUUGUUUCUCUGCUGCAAUUUGUGGCUAUCCCACUCUGUUUUGCCACUCAAGCUUAGUCUACGUUGAGACACAAUUUUGACAUCAGAAGCAACCUCAAUUAGUUUGGCAUUUUUAUGACCUCCUUGUACGUUUUACGAUAAACAUAAAUCUACUGAGAAAGUGGGAAAAAAAGAAAAUGCAUAUAAAAGUAUGAGUUAUCAGACAUGAUUAAAACUCACCCAAUUCAAUCCAUUAGAUUCCGUAAGGAUAUAACUGGAUGUCAUACCGCCAUUCCAUAUCCUCGAAAGUCCGUAGCCUCUGUCUCAACUCUGUCUGAGGCCAAUGUAAAUCCAAUAUGCGCAAGCUCUUUAUGCACCACAGCUCUUCUGGAAGCUUUCUCAAGUAAGCACAAGGGUUGACAAUUAAGCUUUCAAGUUUUGGCAUUGCUCCAGCCCCCAUCGUCCACUCAUCUAGCCAAAACAUUGAUUUCAGGUGCAAAACCUUACGUUCCGGAAAGCAACCAGGGCCAACGCAGGCCAGCUUUCUUCCUAAAUACGAGUUUUGCUUCAGUUUCAGCACUUGAAGGCGUGGAAGCUUUUCCAGCAUUGGCAUGGGAUCCUCCAUUAGCUCAGUAUUCGAUAAGCUCAGAUGGCUCAGACUUGGAGGAAAUUGGUAUUCAGACAGGAUAAUCCGUGAGGGCUUGCUCUCAUUCACCAGCUUCAAGCAUUCAAGUUUGUGCAGUUCGCAUAGGCUUUUGGAAACCCCGGAUUGAUAGUAACUCAAAUCUCCAGAUAUUCUUAGACUUUGGACAAGAUAUUCUUAGACUUUGGACAUUUGGUAGUCUGCCCAAUAUAGCUGGACUGCAACUACUAGGAUGUAAGGCUGAUAAGAAAAUGAGAUUUUUCAGAGAGCUUCAAUAAUUUUUUGGAGGUGCGGGCAGAGUGAUGCAACCGAAGUUUAGAUGCAUGAGUUUUUGCAUCAUCCAAAUAUCCUCUGGUGAAUGAUCUAUGUAGCUAGAUGGCAUUUCUAGCGUUUGAAGGUUUAAAAGGGAGCAUAGCAGUGAAGGAAUGCAUUUGAGCGAAGGGAUAUUCAAUUUCAAAUACUUCAAAAGGAAUAAAUUUUCUAAUCCGGCUGGAUAUUGGUCGAGAACUGCAGAACCCAAGUUCAAUACCCGAAGGUAUUUGAACUUGUCGCAAUCUAUCAGAGCGAGAUGAUCGCUUGCCGAACUGUUAUUCAGAAAAGAUUGGAGAUACAUGUCAGAAUGUCCUAAAGAUAAAAACCCAGUCAGAUCUU